RNAcentral lists this long non-coding RNA (95982 nucleotides) under Gossypium barbadense (sea-island cotton). RNAcentral's name for it is "long non-coding RNA (GBAR_LNC013000)". The stretch from base 89405 to 89546 matches the Rfam family "MIR7502 microRNA precursor family". The record is from RNAcentral. Lineage: Eukaryota; Viridiplantae; Streptophyta; Magnoliopsida; Malvales; Malvaceae.
UUUUUUUUUUUUUUCAUCAAUGGAGAAAUUUUAAUGCUUUGGGUGCCACCAUGUCCAACCAAAUCAGGAGAUCCAAGUCACAAGUUUCUUGAAAACUCAACUCCCCCAAGGAUACCUACUCCGUUUCCGGGUUCAAAAACAGUUUAAUAAUGGAUUCUCUCGUCACUUUCGAACUGCAGGCCCUCCAUACCUUUGAGGGCAGCUUCGUAGUUCUUGGCAUGAGAGGUGUUUCUCAUGGACGAGGCCCGCUUAGGGUCAGAAGAUUCAACGGGGCUUUGUCGGCUUGAGUUUCUGUUCAAACCUCCAUGGCUAGCAUCGGUUGUACGAGAACGUUGGGGGUCGGCCUCGCUACCAGCAAAAGCUUCACGGCUACCAGCAAUGUGCCUUGAAGAGGAUCCACCGGAUUGCCCCAUAUACUUGUUGCCAAUAAAAUUCAAAUUAGCAGCAAAAGAUAAGAAUGAAAUAGAAUAUACAUAUAUAAAUGCCUACAUAUAUAUAAGCUUUUAGAUUAAUAUUGAUCAUCCCAUGUAUCUGCAGAUACAUCCUAAAUGAAAAGGAAGCAAGACAGUAACUAGAAUCUACACUAGUAAUACAAGUGCAUAUAAUCAUAAAAUAAAAAUACCAUAGCGUCUUUAGUAAUUGCAGGAUCAUUUGCAACUGGACCUUUCUGCUUUGCGUGACUUCCGGAAUUCAAGGGUCCUGAUGUUUUCCGCCGAGAUGAAUUCAUAGAUGACAAACCAGCUGCUCGCAGGUUAUCACCGGCUGCAGCCAAGAGAUACAAAUGGUAUAACUCAAAACAUAACUUGACAUUUCAACUUAAAGAAAUGGUUCAAGACAAUUCUUAUACUUACACACCAAAUGCAUUUUUGUAUUAAAUAUCAGAUAAAGUUAUAAAAUUCAAUUUUGGAAUACGGAAGGGUGUCAGAAACAAAAGGUUAUAAAAUUCAAAACAUCGUAAGCACUGCUAUUUAAAAUACUCAAUUGUAUAAAAGGAACAACAGUUACCUGCUUGUCGGUCAGCAUUGGCAAAAGCAGGGGGCAUGGCAGCACUUGUUCCAGCACCGGGGCCCUACCAGAGACAAGCAUUAGAAAAGAUACAUUCCAUACAGCUUAAUAACAGGAGCAAAACAUCCUACUAAGUACUCACAAGGGCUCGAGCUGGAGGAGUGGUCAGCUGUGAUUGCUGAUACUUCAAAAUGGUCCAAUCAAAGACAUAAUCGAACUGGAAGCCUGUUUAGUAAGGAUCAACAAGAACAAAGAGAUGUGACACUACUGUGAUCUAUGGAAAUAAUACAAGUUGACAGUAUGGAUUGUUAAAAACGCAAAUUCAAACCUUCACGAAUAAAGAGAUCACGAAAGAUUCUUUUGAGAUAAGAAUAGUCUGGCUUAUCAUCAAAUCUUAGUGAACGGCAAUAAUGGAAGUAUGAUGCAAAUUCUGUUGGAUAACCUCGACAUAAGGCCUGAAAAGCGCAUCUAUCUUUAGUCAUAAUUUUUUUAACACAAAAUCAGAAGCUCCAAGACACAUGAACAUCUUCCGAAUAUCUCAUUCCCUUUACAGAAACCUAAUGCAAUUGCAAGAUUUACAGACAUCCUUACCUCAAUUGAAGUAGAAACCUUCUUCUCACUAAUUUUCUCAUACUUCUGUUUCUUUGUUCCAGCUUUCAGACCUUGCCAAGGAAGACUGUUAAAAGAGGAGACACCAAAAAUGGUAACUAUUAUGAAAUACACACAAGACAAAAAGGAAAGUACUAUAGGUAACAAGAAUUCACCUUCCUCUUAGGAAGUACAUAAGCACGUAUCCAAGAGACUCCAAAUCAUCCCUACGGCUUUGCUCUACAUGGAAUAGGACAGAUAAUCAAAACUGAGAAGGCUUGAAAGAUCCAGACAUUAAAGAAAUUACAUCAGAAUAAAAUUGACCACACAUACCGAUGCCCAAGUGUGUGUUCAUGCUUGCAUAUCUUGCAGUUCCAGUCAGAUUCUUAUUCUCCCUGAAAUGGACAUGACCAAGUAAUAUAUUUAUGGUUUCACAAGUGCACCACAAACUAUGAAGAAAUAAAUCAGUAAAAUGAAAAUUGAAAGAUAGACUCUUAUUCUCCCUGAAAUAGACAUGACCAAGUAAAAUAUAUAUAUAUGUAUGUAUGAUGCAUCAACAUUGCCACCACAGGUAAUAACAAUUACCCUCAUGACAAUUCAUCAAAAUUCUUUAUUUUGGAAACUCCAAUACAAGCCAUACUAAAAGAUUAUAGCCAUAAGUUAAAAUGUUUUAACCAAGCUGGGGAAAUUUCAUAACUCAGAACACAAAACAGACCAGAGAACCGGACAUGUAUCAACUAAUUUUGAGACAGAAUAUGGACCAAAAUUGAAAUGUAAAUCAGGUAAAUGCCUCAGGUAAAAGCUUGAUAAAUUUAAAUUCAUCAGCAAAAACUCUCCCUUAAUUGAGUUUAAUAUCAUUUCUCUAUCAAUAUUUUCAUGUCAAAACAUUAUAUAGUAAGUUGCACAUGCCAUUUAUCAAAAUCACAAAAGAAAUAUGGAAUCCAUCAAAAUCACAUCUUCUAAAAGAGGAUGCACCUUCACUAUAAUAACCAGUCAAUGAUGAAAAACAUGGGAAUCUCAAAGUAGAUUCAGCUCAGAUUACACUAACCGUAUUAGUUUUUUCUUUUCAUUUUUAGAAAUGGGGGGGGGGGAUUGGGAACAAACCAGGAUUUUUAACCUGCACGUAUAAUACAAUACAUCACAUUAUGCAAAGUUCUCUCACCUGUAAGGAAUGUGUUGAUGUGAACUGUCUCUAUAUUUCUUAGCAAGACCAAAGUCAAUCAUAUAGACCUAUGUGAAAAUGAAAAGCAAUGGCACAUUAGAUUUUCCUGCAACAUAUAAAAGAAGGAAGAAAAAGAACACAUAAAACAUAAUAAUAUUUUGAGCAGAAAGCAGAAACCUGAUUUGCACGCCUUCCCAAGCCCAUAAUAAAAUUGUCUGGCUUGAUAUCCCGAUGUAGAAAUGAUUUUGAAUGAACAAAUUCAACACGAUUGAUCUGAGAAAAAAAAAAUAGAAUUAAUUGACAAGAAAGUAAAGGAAGAGGAACUGAAGUAACCAAUCUAUAGAAUUCUAAAAAGCUACCAUUUGAUCAGCAAGCAUGAGAACUGACUUCAAUGAGAGUUUCCUACUGCAGAAAUUAAAUAGAUCUUCAAGACUAGGUCCAAGUAAAUCCAUAACCAUAACAUUAUAGUCUCCCUCAACUCCAAACCAUCUAACAUUUGGAAUCCCAGCUGACAAGUAAAAGAUAAGAUAGGGAAAGUUAAUAUUUGCAGGCAUAAGAAACAAAAGGAUAAGUAAAUAUGAAAUUUGAAAAAACAACCAAAGGUUGAAACACGAGCUUUAUGUUCUUAAAAAAAUGAAACUAGAAGUAUCAUUACUUCCUCCCUGCAGGAUCCUGUAUAACUUCGAUUCAUAUAACAAUUGAGGAUGCUUUGUCUUCACAUUUUCCUGUUCAUUAAAGAAAAGGUCAUUAAUUCCCUUAUGUACCAUAAAGAAUUAAAUAUGUUUAAAACAACUACAACAAAGGAGAAAAUUAUUAUCAAAUUUAACAUAAGCAAGCUAUUGUUUUACAGAAUGUCAAAACUUUAACUGAUCGAAUCAAAUUAAUAAUUCAAGCAGAAAAUUAGUUUAAUAAUAAUGUCAGUCAAAUUGAAAGUGGGCCCUUAAAAAGCUUAUAAAGUAUCAUUGAUUAAUUAAAAGACUUCAAAUCAAAUCUCAAGAAUAUAAUGAGAAUAAUGCAUAUACAACAGUAAAUUGGUAAUCAACAUACAAAGUAAGUCAUCCCAUUUAACCUUAUUUAUUUCAGGUGAUAACCACCCAAAGUAUCUUCUUCUUGUCUACUGUGCCAGCCAGCAAUUAGAAAAUAAGAAAUUUUUACUUAUGAACAAAUCCAAUCCUCCUUUUGAUAAUUGUGAUGUUCCUACCAAGUUAAAUCAUGAUUAAUAGUUUUCUUCUCUGUUUCUCUCUCUUUAUUGCCAAGGGAGUCCACGAACUAUGAUUAUCAUUAAUUUAAUGCAACCCUAAAACUAUAACAAAAAUAACACCAAGUAAAAACUGUAAUUGCUAUGGAACAAACGGGAAAGUGAAACAAUGGUCACUUCAUUUGAAUUUCUGUUUAUUUCAGUUAAUCUUUUGUUUAAUUGUAAACGUUGCAUAUUGGUUAAUUUUAAUGAUCCGGUGCGUUUUGGUGGGAGGAGAGGGGGAAUAAGUAUUGUCCAAAACAGGGCGUUUUGGACUAAGGAACCGUUUAAUGAAACGGUGCGUAUUAAGCUGUUUAGUUACCAGCUCUAUUCGAGCUGUUAUUUCUCUAUUUAGCCACCAAUCAGGCAAGGGAGGCAGUUAUGUAAUUGGAAAUCAGUUUUCUCACUCUCUCUUCCUCAUUUCUCUCGUGCUCUCUUCUCUCUUCUUCCUUCUCCUUUCUGGCUACUUUCUUUCUUCAAAUUCCAACCGUAUCAUAAACAUAAACCAAUGUGUCAAGGGCUCCAAACAUCUGCACCGUUGUCAAGCUUUCCCAGAACAUUACAAUUCUAUCAAGCAUGGUGCAUCUUAACCACCUUGACAAAUUAGAAUCAAAUUCCUUUCCUUCCCAUGCCCAUUUGCUAGAAUCUGAUUACCUAAAGAAUUAUAUAUUUCUACAGUUAAUUGCUUCUACAUAUCCUACGACUAAAGUGCAGCACUAAGUUAUAAACGAUCUUGUUAAAGCAAGAAAUCGAAUGAACAUCAGCUCUAAUAAAAACCUAACCAGAAUAUCAACAACAUUGCCAUGCUAUAGAUCAGUACGCAAUAAAUUAAAGUUACAAACAAGAAAAUCAUACAAAAUUAAACCUCUUCGUUUAAUGGCAAGCUUAUUUGCAAGGCUACUUACAAGCUUAAUGGCAACCUCUUCGUUUGUCUGAAUAUUCGUACCUGCAAAAGGAAAAAGAAAUUACCAACCUAUAUUCAAAAUCAUACCAAAAAAAAAAAAAGGAAAAAAUAAAAAUAUGCAACAAACCCAAAUAAAUCUCUCCAAAAGAGCCGCUACCGAUCUUACGACCAAGUCGAAACUUAUUACCGACACGAGGCUCCAUCAAUUCAACUUAAAAGUAGUAAAGAAAGGAAGAAAAAUAAUUGAAGCCCUAACUAUAACCGGAAACCCUAAUUCAGAAAACUCCCACAAAUUUAAAACAAAUAAAAAAACGAGGAAAUCAUUUUGAGACACUGAACACCAAAUCAACCGCUCCAACAAUUCAUAUACAUCAUAAUUUUCGAUCACGUAAUAGAAUUAAAACAAAUCAAAAGGAAAUAAAAAUAAAAAGAUCUAGAAUCCCAUCUUGGUUUUAAGCCAAAAAAACAAAUUAAAAUUAACAGAAAAGCUAGGGUUAAGCUAGCUUAACCGUAAGGGGAAAAAAAAGAAAAAGAAGAGUAGCUAAGAAAUCAUAAUUCUGUUUCUAUGAAACGCUAAAAACAGAUAAUUAGUAUUAUUUUCUAUCUCCAAAAAGGGUGGCUUGAUAAUUGAUAGGGAAAUUCGAUGGGCUCCGUGGAUUGGAUUUUAGUGAUCAAUGCGACAAUGGAAAUGUCUGAUUCACAUGAUUUUCUCUUCACUAAUUUUGGGGGUUUUUUUAACCCCCCUUCUUAUGUAUUAAUCAAUUGACCCCAUUGUAUAAAUAUUUUCAAUGUUUUUUAAGCUGUAAAAAUAUUAAGGGUAAACUACUUAGUUGGUCACAUAACUUUUAGAAAACUUUCAGUUUGGUCACUCAAUGUUUAGGAUGCUUUCAUUUUAGUCACUCAAAUGUUAAAUAUCUUAUGACGGUUAAUUGUACGUGCCACGUCAUGUUUUCGCUUUUGUGUAGGUCACCCGACAUUUAGGCCACUUGCAUUUUAGUCACCCAAAAAAAUUUCUUUUUUAAGUAUAAAUUGGGGUAAAAAAAUCAAGGAUUAAAGUGAAAAAGAGUUAGGAAUUAAAAUAAUACACAAAAAAAUUCAAAUUAUACUUGUUUAUCCUACCGUUGAAAAUUCUAAAUUUAGGUUUUGAAAUAUAAAAUUUUAAAUAUUAAGAUUCUAAAUUAUAGUAGUAAAUCGAUUGACAUUAUCUUGAAUCUUUUCUGCUAAACUAAAAGCAAUGAAAAAUCCUUACAAUUAAUAAAUUUUGUCUUCCAUUCCCAACAAAAACUCAUAAAUUUUCAUUACUUUUUUACCCCAAACGAAGAACAAACAAUUAAUUAAUUUUAAUCUCGUAGUAAGAAAUCAGUUGAAUUUAUCAAAGAAUAAAAAAUCUUCAACAAUUUAUUCCAUUUAUUUUGAUGUUUUGAAAUUUAAAAUUUUAAUAUUAAAAAAAUUAGGAUUUCAAAAAUGGGAUAAAUAAGUACAAUUUGACAAUUUUGUGUAUUAUUUUAGUUUUUAUCGUUUUUUCACUUUAAUCCUUGAUUUUUUUGCCCAAAUCAUGGUUAAAAAAAAUUUAGGUGACUAAAAUGAAAGCUACCUAAAAGUUGGGUAACCAAAAUGAAAGUGUAAACAUGAUGUAGUGUGUACAGUUAAUUGGCAUAGCGCCCUAAAAUUUGGGUGACCAACUAGGUAGUUUACCCAAAAUUAAUAACAAAUUCCACUUGCGGUGAUAAACUAUGUUUUUUAUUUAAUUACUAUGCAUCCCCAAAUUAUUAUAUCAUUCUAAAUUGGUCCCUAAACUUGAAAACAUUCUAAUUACAUUCUAAAACUAUCGAGGUCAUAUCAGUAAGGUCUUUUUUGUUAAAAUCAUUAAUUUAACCGUUAAAUUAGCUGUAAUAUCUGUGAAAAAUAAAAUAAAAUAAAUAAAUAAAAAACACACAGAUUUUUUCGUGGAAACCCUUUCGGGAAAAAAACACGGGCAAAGGAGAAGAAAAUUUACUAUGUCGAAUUCAAAAAUAAAAUUGUUACAAGAGGAAUAGGCUAAUCUAUGUCGAAUUCAAAAAUAAAAUUGUUACAAGAGGAAUAGGCUAUGUUUAUUUAUAGGCUUGUAAAGCCAUAUUCUAGUAAGACUGAAACACCUUAUUCUAAUCAAUAUCAAAUAGAUAGAUUUUAAUAAGGUUUAAAAAACCUUAUUCUAAAAUUAAAUAAAAGAAAUGUAAUUCUAUAUGGAUUCUUCUUUUAUUUUAUUUUACCACUGUAUUUUAUUUAAAUAAGGAUUUGGGUCACUUAAUUCUAACAAUCUCUACCUUGACACGAAUUCUUAAUGAACAAGUUUUUCAUCGCGAACUCUCAACGAACAAGUUCUCCACCUCUUCCAUAAAACCCCUUAAGGGUUUAACUUCAACAAUGAACACCAACCAAGUCUAAGCAAUGUUCAAACUUGGUUAUAGGAAGUGACUUAGUCAUCAUAUCUGCAGGAUUUUCAUGAGUACUAAUUUUGCUCACAACAAUAUCAUCACGAGCAAUAAUAUCACGGACAAAAUGAUACCGAACAUCAAUGUGUUUUGUUCUCUCAUGAAACAUUUGAUCUUUUGUAAGAAAGAUGGCACUCUAACUAUCACAAAAUACUGUGCUGAUUUGAAGGUCUUCAUUGAGUUCACUAAAGAGUCCCUUCAACCAAAUAGCUUCUUUACAAGCCCCAGUAAUCGCCAUGUACUCAGCUUCAGUGGUAGAUAAAGCGACUGUAGUUUGUAAAGUGACUUUCCAACUGAUUGCACAACCUCUGAUUGUAAAGACAUAACCUGUGAGAGAUCUUCUUCUAUCAAAGUCUCCAACAAAAUCAGAAUCAACAUACCCAAUUACUCAAUCUCUAGUUCUUCCAAACUGUAAGCAAACAUCAGUAGUUCCUCAUAAAUAUCUUAAAAUCCACUGAACUGUUUUCCAAUGUUCUUUACCGGGAUUCGCCAUAUAUCUGCUAACUGCACUAACUGCAUAUGAUAAAUCUGGACAUGAACAAACUAUAGAAUACAUGAGAGAUCCCACUGCACUAGAGUAUAGAACAUGUGACAUGUACUCAAUCUCAUCAUCUGAUUGUGGAGACAAAGCCGAUGAAAGUCAGAAAUGGGCUGCUAAUGGAGUACUAACAGGCUUAGCACUCUGCAUAUUGAACCUGCAAAGAACUUUCUCAAUUUACCCCUUCUGACUUAGGUACAAUUUACUUACUUUUCUAUCUCUAAGAAUCUCCAUAGUAAGUAUCUUAUUUGCUGGUCCCAAAUCUUUCAUCUCAAAUUCUUCACUUAAUUGUGCUUUGACCUUUCUUAUCUCUCCUUUAUCUUUUGUUCCUAUCAACAUGUCAUCAACAUAAAGAAGUAGAUACACAAAAGAACCAUCACUAUUUUUCUUAAAGUAAACACAACUGUCAAAACUACUUCUUUUGAAAUCAUGAUAAGUCAUAAAGGAAUCAAACCUCUUGUACCACUGUCUUGGUGACUGUUUCAAACCGUAAAAGGGACUUUUUCAGCAAGCAAACAUAGUCCUCUUUUUCUGAGACUGUAAAACCCUUUGAUUGUUGCAUGUAAAUAUCUUCUUUAAGUUCUCCAUGCAAAAAUGCAGUUUUUACAUCUACCUGCUCAAGCUCCAAAUCAUGCAUGGCCACAAUACCAAGCAAAGCUCGAAUCGAACUAUGCUUUACAACUGGGGAGAACACAUCUGUGAAGUCCACUACUGGAAUUUGACUGUAACCCUUUACAACAAGCAUUGCUUUAUAUCUGGGUUCUUCAACUCCUGGAGUCUCUUCUUUCUUUUUAAACACCCAUUUACAACGAACAGUCUUUUUACCUUUAGGAAGUUUCACAAGAUCCCAUGUUUUGUUUUUGUGAAGUGAUUCCAUGUCCUCUUGCAUAACAAACAUCUAUUUUUCUGAGUCUUCACAACUAACCGCCUCAGAAUAAUUAGAUGGCUCUUGGUUUACAUCUAUAUCUUCAGCCACAUUUAAAGCAUAAGCAACUAAAUCAGCUUUGACAUACUUCUUUGGAGGUUUAAUUUCUCUUCUAAUUUUGUUUUUGGCGAUAGAGUAUUGUGGUGAAGAAGCAACUCUAUUCUCAAUUUUUGUACUGGCUUGAAGAGUUGAGUCUGUAUUAAUCUAAUGCUCCACCUGCUUUUGAUUUUCUUUAUUGGAAGAGUCUUUAAGCGAUAAGUUAGGUAGCAUAGCAGUUUCAUAAAAAACAUCUCUGCUAAUCACAACUUUUCUAUUUUCAUUCUUUUACACCAGCUUUAUAACCAAGAAAAACGCAUUUAAUGGAUCUCGGUUCCAAUUUUUCAUUAUCAACAUGAACAUACGUAGGACACCCAAAAAUCUUUAAAUCAGAAGAAUUAGCAGAAUUACCAGGCUAUACCUCUUGUGGAGUCUUUUUCUCAAUGGCAACGGAUAGAGACCGGUUGAUAAAAAAUAUGCAGUAGAGGCUGCUUCUGCCCAAAACGACUUUGGUAAGUUGGCAUUUGACAACAUAUAUCGAACUUUCUCCAUGAUCGUUCUGUUCAUUCGUUCAGCGACGCCAUUUUACUGUGGAGUAUGGCGAACUGUCAAGUGUCUUACGAUCCCUUCUGACUUGCACAAUCUAUUAAACUCAUCAGAACAUAACUCUAAGCCAUUGUCUGUACGAAUGUAUUUUAUUUGUUUUUCCGUCUAUUUUUCAAUCAUAAUUUUUUAAGACUUAAAUGCGGAAAACACAUCGCUUUUCUGCUUCAAGAAGAACGCCCAAACUUUUCUGGAAAAAUCAUCAAUAAAGGUUAACAUAUAAUUAGCUCCACCUCUCGAAGGCAUUUUGAAUGGCCCCCACAGAUUAGAAUGAAUAUAUUCUAACGUUCUUUUAGUGUUAUGGAUUCCUCGGUGAAUCAAACUCUCUUUUGCUUCCCAAAAAUACAGUGCUAAAAAAAAAUCAGUUUGCAAAUUCCUUGCUCAUCAAGAAGUUCUCUUUUGCUCAAUUUUACCAUGCCAUUCUCACUCAUAUGCCCUAGGCGCAUAUGCCAAAGUUUAGUAAUAUCAUCAUCUGAGCUGCAUCACCAGUAACAGUAGAACCCUGCAAAAUAUAUAAUUUGGCAAUCUUUCUCUGCCCUUUCAUUACAACAAGGGAACCUUUGGAAAUCUUUAAAACCCUACUUUCAGUUGUGUAUCUGUACCCUUUUGAAUCAAGAGUACUCAAUGAGAUUAAAUUUCUUUUCAAUUCUGGAACAUGUCGUACGUCACUAAAUGUUCUGACAACUCCAUCAAACAUCUCAACUUUAAUUGUUCCAACACUUGCGAUUUUACACGAAGUAUUAUUUCCCAUCAAAACAACACCUUCAGACACUGUUUCGUAAGUUGUAAACCAAUCCCAAUUGGAACUCAUGUGGAAGGUGCAGCUUGAAUCAAGUAUAUACUCCUCGAUUUAACUCAUGUGGAAGGUGUAGCCUGAAUCAAGUAUAUACUCCUCGCUUACUUUAGAAUCAUUGACAGAAGCGAUUAGAAGUUCACCAUCACUGUAGUCUUCUACAACAUCAGCUUCACCGAAAUUUUCUGGUUAUUUUCCCUUUUGAUUCGCAGCUUCUCUUUUAAUCUUAUUAUGUAGCUUAUAACACUCAGAUUUAAUGUGCCAUUUCUUCUUGUAGAAGUUGCAAGUUUUACCUCUGUUUGAAGACUUUGAUCUACCCUUAGAUUUACCGCGAGGAUUCUGUUCCUGUGUCAUUCCAUGAUCAUCAUCAGUAUUCCGAUCUUGUCUCCCACAAACAAUGAGACCCUCUCCUUGAGAGUCAAGUUUAACCACAAGAUGCUUCAUCUUAUCAUACAAGGUCAAAGUAUCAUAAACCUCAUCAACUGUGAGGGACUCGCGGCUAUAUAAAAUCGUGUCUCUAAAGGUUAAAUAAGACGGGGGCAACAAACAAAGUAGAAUCAACCCUAGAUCUUCCUUAUCAUACUGAACCUCUAUGGCUUCCAAGUUUGAGAGAAUUUCUUUAAAAACUGUUAAGUGUUCGUGUACAGACGCACCUUCCUCCAAACAAUGAGUAUAAAGAUGCUGCUUCAUAUGCAAUUUGCUUGUUAGAGUUUUCGACAUACAUAUUUGUUCUAGUCUCUUCUAUAAUGCAGCGACAGUCUUCUCUUUCAUCACAUCCUGCAAAAUUUCGUUGGACAAAUGCAGAUGUAAUUGUGUUAAUACCUUUCAAUCCUUACGCUUCUUCUCUUCAUCUGUUAAUGUCGAAGGAAUCUUAUCUAUCCCUAGCAGGGCAUCCUUCAGAUCCAUCUGCACAAGAACUGCUUGCAUUUUAAUUUGCCACAAUGCAAAUCUGGUGUUGCGAUCCAACAACAGAAUUUCAUAUUUUAAAGACGCCAUUACCGUGAUCGAGAUGAACAACCCGGAAGCUCGGAUACCAAUUUGUGAAAAAUAAAAUAAAUAAAUAAAUAAAAAACACACAGAUUUUUCGUGGAAACCCUUUUGGAAAAAAAACCACGAGUAGAGGAGAAGAAAAUUUACUAUGUCGAAUUCAAAAAUAAAAUUGUUACAAGAGGAAUAGACUAUGUCUAUUUAUAGGCUUGUAAAGCCAUAUUCUAGUAAGACUGAAACACCUUAUUCUAAUUAAUAUCAAAUAGAUAGAAUUUAAUAAGGUUUAAAAAACCUUAUUCUAAAAUAAAAUAAAAGAAGUGUAAUUCUAUAUGGAUUCUUCUUUUAUUUAUUUUACCACUAUAUUUUAUUUAAAUAAGGAUUCGGGUCACUUAAUUCUAACAAUAUCUUAUGCGGCUUCAUUAAAAAUGAAAUGUUAGCAGAUAACUUUUAAAAGUAAAAACUAAAAAUAAGGUAAAACUGAAAAAAGAAAAGUAAAUGUUGUCACGUAACGUUUAAAAUUUUCAUUCUAAAUCAUGCCAAAUCUUAUUUGACAUCUCGUUUAAUAGUUAAAUUAACAAUUUUAGUAAUGAAAGGACUUAAUUAAUAAAACAACGAUAGCUUAGGGAUGUAAUUAGAAUGUAUUAAAGUUUAGAGACCACUUAGAAUGAAGAUCAUAGUUUAGGGAUGUCUAAUGUAAUUAAUUCUUUUUCCAUCGUUUUAAAAGUUACUAUUAGUCACCCAUAUUAUCAAGUUGUAACAUUUUGAUCACCCACCCGUUAAUUAUUUGUUGCUUCUUUUAACGAAAAUAUAAUGUGGGCCAGCACCUAAUUGCCAUCUAUUUUCUACAUAAUUUACUUUAAAUGACCACCUAAUAAACAAAUUGUCCGACCUUUGUUUGGCUUUAAAUCGUAGCUCUCGACCCCUUGAACUCGAUUUUAUCCUUCAUUUCUUCGAAUAUUUCACAUACUAUUAAUAUUGUAAUUCUCGACCUCUUGAACUCGAUUUAAAAAUCAUGAAUAUAAGCCAAAAGGUGGAAACUUUCGACUCUCCAUGAGCUUGUGUAAUAUGCAUAAAUUUGUUUCUUUCUUCGUUAUGAACAAAUUGAAGUUGAUUCCUAUACUACACUACUGAAAAAUCAAAGCGCAUUUAUUCCGAGACAAAAUACAAAUAAUAUUAUGGUGAUAUAUGAAUUGAUUUAUACGUUGAAAGUGAGAAUGAUAGUAAUGGAAAGUUUACCCUCAAAUUAGUAUGAAUACAACGAUUGAUCGAGUUAAAUGAAAUUUUUUUAGGCCAUAAUGUAAAUAAUGGAAUUCAAUGGUUGAUGAACUACAUUAAUCAUGUCAUGUGCAAAGACAAUUUCAUACAUGGUUUCUUUAAUGAGAAUGGUACUUCCCUUUCUUAGCCUUCAGAAGUGGUAUUAGGUUUCAAGCUAAUGGCCAAUCGCUGGCUGCUACCCUUUUCCCCUCCCUUCUCUCAUUACCUCAUCUCUCUCGUCUUUUCAUUCCUUUUCCCUCCUUUGUUACCGCUCUUGCCUUCUUUUGUUGUCGGCAUAACCUCAUUCCCUUUGUCUCUUGACCUCCGCAUUUCUUUCACCGUCUACCCCAUUCAUCUCCUAUUUUUGAGCAAAAUAAUGGCUUCGACUUACAUUUUUCAUGGGAUUCCCCAUUGUGGGGCUUGUGCUAAGCCUCUUAUAACUCGAGCUUGCAAAGUUGUUUUUUCUCCAACCACUAGAGGCUCACGUUCUCAAGUUUGUGGCUUUGUGUUUUCUCUUCAAUUGAUCUGAAAAGCUUUUUUACUUUUAUUGAGGCUAUGCUAGAUUUAUCCAUGUACCAGGCCGGUUUUGGGACGGAUCUUGACAAAAUUUCAAGUCUGUUUGAUAAGUUCAAGCUUGACUUGACUUGAAAAAUAGACUUAAAAUUUUGUCUAAGUUUAACUUGAAUAAAAAUACUAAAAUCUGAGCUCGACUUGUAUUAAAUUAUUAUUUUAUUAUUUUUUAAAUAAAUAUAAUGCAUUAAAAAUACUAAAAAUAUUAAAAUAAAUGUUUCCCAAUAAAUUGAAAAUAAAUUUUAAAAAAAUAGUGAGAAAAAACAUUUUUUUAUCAUAUUCAUUGGGCCAGACUGUAAUACCCCUACCCGUAUUCAUUGCCGGAAUAGGGUACGAGGCAUUACCGGAGUUUACGAAUUAAAUUUUUUUUAUAUUCAAUAUAGCCCCUUUAUAAAUAUCUAACAUUCCCUGCAAUAUUAAAUCGAGACCAAUCCACAUCAACCAAAUCAAUUCAACAUAUUUUCAAGAUAAAUUCAUGCAUAUUUAUAAGAUAACGUCAUCACAUAUCUAAAACCAGGUUUGUUAACCAUACUAAUGGCUAACUUUACAUUCAUUUCACGUUAACAUUUACUUUGUUAGCUUAUACAUGCCAUUGAUUUCCAAAAUAAAGUUUCUUUAUAUACCGAAAUCCUGAGGUUGAUAGUGUGAUGUGUCUUAGACCAAAUCCGACCUCUGAGCUCUUAACACUACAAAACAGGGAAAAAGGAAACGGGGUAAGCACUUUGUGCUUAGUAAGCUCAUGUAACAAGAAUUAUACUUACCUAAUAUUUUCAAUACAAUAUAAUAAACAUUCAUAUAUCCAUUCAAUGCAUUAUUACCCUAACAUGCACAAACUCAACAUUCAAGUUAGUACAAUAAUUUACAUGUAUCAAUAAUAUAUACCAUGAUUGAUGAGCUCAUCAAUAUCAUAAUUUCCAUUUCCUUGUUAUUUUUUUUAUACUUAUCCCGUUGAAUUUAUCAGAAUUUCGAUGGAUUUUCAAAGGUACACAUUUAUUGUACAAUUCCGAGUCCAUCAAUUCAUAUUCAUGUGCGCACAUUUCCAUUUCAGAGAACACACUCCAGCGAACCUCAAUCUUACAGCGGGAUUACCAGUCCAGGCUAAAUCCCCUGCAAUAUAAACUCAUAGAGUAUUGUCGGGAUUACCAGUCCAGGCUAAAUCCCCUGCAACGACAAUUACUCUAAUGAGCUUGGAUCUGAAUUACCAGUCCAGGCUAAAUUCAGACCCUAAUUCGGAUUACCCGUCCGGGCUAAAUCCAUUUUACACAUAUUCUUCGGGAGGGCUAUAUCAGGAUAGGAUCACCCGUCCGGGCUAGAUCCUUUUUACCGUCAAUUCCUUUUCAGAGAUCCAUCGAAAUUUUCCUUUUAUUCAACUGGGAUUUCUUCCCAUUUUUAUCAAAUAUAUCAAUGUUUUAUCAAUUUUCAUACAAUGAACAUUCAAAUCAUAUUCAUAUAAAAAAAGGUGCAUUUCAAGCAUUUAAGAAUAUAAUUCAAGUUACAUGAACUUUCCUUGAUACUUGUUUAUAAACAAUAAAAAUCUACUAAUUCCAAACUUUUUCCUUUUCUCGAUCUAGCUUUGUAUUUGAGUCUUCCGGAUCUACAUAAAUAAAUUUAAUUAUCAAUUUAAUACAUUUCAUGUUCAUAUGCAACAUUCUCUAUAAUUCAACUAUUAUUUAUAGUUCAUUCAAAGCUGUCUACUUGAGUCAUAGUCACUAAAUUAUUUAUAACUUGAGCUACGGAACUCCAAAUUAAGAUCUGUUAAUUUUCCCUGAAACUAGACUAAUAUAUAUUUUUACCAUAAAAUUUUAAGAAUUUUUUGUUUAGCCAAUAAGUAUAUUUUAUUCUUUAAAGUCACCCAUGUUCUGCUGUCAACAGUUCUGACCCUUCUUCACUAAAAAUUAAUUAUCUCUUCAUACAGAAUUCAAAUAAUGUUCUUGUUUAUUUAUAUUAAAAAUAGACUCAUUAAGGAUUCUAUACAUAUAAAUUUAAGCCUAUAAUUGUUUUUCUUCAAUUUUUUAUGAUUUUUCAAAGUCAGAACAUGGGAAAUCGAAUUUAUUCUGACAUUGUCUCACAAAAUUCAUUAUAUCUCAAAAUUUACAAAUCCAUUACUUACACUAUUUCUUCUAUGAGAAACUAGACUCAAUAAGAUUUAAUUCCAUAUUUUUUCAUCUUCUAAUUCGAUUUCUAAAAUUUAUGGUGAUUUUUCAAAAUUAGUCUACUGCUGCUGUCCAAACUGUUUUUGUGCAAGCUGUUUAUUACCAUUUUUCCCCUACUCAAUUAGCCUCUCAAUUGAGCUGAUUUUUCUAAAUUAACAUUUUAUUCUAUCACCUUAAACUAGUUUACAACCUUUAGGAAUCAGAAUUUCAGCAAUAGACUUUAAUUCCAAGCAUUUUCAUAAUUAGGUCCUAAAAAUCAAUUUCUAUUGAAAUUACCUAAUAAAAUCAUCUCAUAAACAAAUUAAAGCUUUAAUUUCAUUCUAUUUCAUCAUAAACUUACAGAACUCAACCAUGGUGACUUUCAAUUUCAUCCAUGAAAUCAAAAACUAAUGAAUUUAAUAGUAGGACCUAGUUGUAAAAGUCUUAGAAACACAAAAAUUACAAGAAAAAGGCAAGGAUUAACUCACUUGGUGCAAAAAUUAUGAAAUACCAGCUUAGAGAACCCUCCUAUUGCGUUUUUAGCUGCUGGAAUUGAAGAGAAAUGAAGAGAAAUCUAGAUAUUUCCUAUUUAGUCCUAGUUUUAUUUAGUUAAUUUUGCAAUAUUCCAAUUUUACCCUUAAUUUAUCAAUUUUUCUGCUGAUUUCAUACCCUUGCCGUCCAGCCCAAAUAAAUUUUGGGUCUAAUUGCCUUUUAAAUCCUUUCUCAUUAGACUUUUAAGCUAUUUAAUCAUUCUAGCAACUUUUACACCUAUUACAAUUUAGUCCUUUUCAUUUAAUUGACUACCCAAACAUUAAAAUUUCCUAAUGAAAUUUUAAUACCACAUUAAUAACAUUUCAUAAAUAUUUAUAAAAUUAUUUUUGACUCGGUUUUACAAGAUAGAGGUCUCGAUACCUUAUUUUUACCCAAUUUCUUCAAUAAUUUCUUUUUCUAUCCAAUCACUAAAUCAGUAAAAUUUUUCUAUCAAUAUUUUCAUACGAUUUCCCUAUUAUAUCAAUUUUCAUGCAAAAAUAUUGAAAUAAAUUUCUCUUUAAAUCAGAUUUGUGGUUACGAAACCACUGUUCCGAUAAUUUUGAAUUUAGGCCAUUACACAAACUCAAGCCAAAAAUUUUUUAUACAAGACCCGCAUGUUUUUUAAGAUGAGCCUUAUAUUUUUACUAAUCUCAUUUUUCGAGCCUAUAUUUUUAUCUGGAUCAUUCUACUUUUUCGGAAAGGCUUCCAAAUUGGGCCAGGUAUGCAACACUGAGAUCUACUAAAACAUUAUAGACAUCAGCAUCGAAAACAAUGCCCUGGUGUCACUAGGCUAGAUCUUUCGUCUUGCGAUCCGUGCGGCAUUAGGCGACCCGUUCGUCCAAACUCACCUAAGUCAACCUUUACUCAAGUGAGGAUUCCUUAAGAACUCCUCCAAGGCACCAGUUGUAGAGCUGAAACAAACUUAUGCCAAAAGAAGCAAUAAAGAACAAUAGAAAGCCACAGAAAAGAUUGCACACAAGUUGUUUAAGUAAAUGCUCUCAGAAUUCUAUUACUUUUAAGAAUUCACAAUUAAAAUGGAUGGAGUGAUUACAAAUGAGGGGGAGACUCUCUAAUUAUAAUUGAGCUCCCUAAAACCGACGAAUGAGAUUAACCAUAUCCCAUGAUUUAAGGGAUUUACAAGAUAUGCCAUAUUAAAUCCUGUCUAAUCUUUAUAAGAUAUGAUUUCCUCUAUCUUCUAAGAUUAGUUACCAAAUUAGCCAAAGUUUCCAUAUUUUUGUUAUCGGGCCAACCAGGCUUCUUUAACAAUUCCUUGAAUCGGGCCAGUUCUCAUGGGCCAAAUGAUCCCCAUCUAAACAAUAGACAUCCACUGAACGCAUUUGGUGCGAUGGUACGGGCUUUGAACUGCGGCCCGUGACAUUAGUUCAUAGUGCUCACAGGGGUUGAAACCCAACAAUGGGUUUGCUUUCAACUUGUUUGUAAUUUACUAGUGUUCUUUCUUCUUCUUUUUCUCGUUUUUUAAGAUCAAGUGUUGUUUCCGGUAUGGCGUGAUCUUCGGUCAGGUGCCACAUGUUAUUCUCUUCGACGAUGGUAUGCGACAAGUCCAGCUUAGAUCUCUUAAGGUUCAUUGUAUGGGUUUUAGGCAUCACAAGUUGGGGUUAAGCUUAAGGUCUCUAGUGUUGUAUGUAUUCUUCUCCCUUUUAGGAUUUAGGUCACAGUGGAACCAUUCUUUCGUUGUAAUGCUAUAGAAAAUUUGAUUGACUUAAUAAUGAUUGAUUACAUACAAAACAAAAUGAGCAAUGAAUACAAAAAAUACUAAUGAAUUAACAUUUUUGGCUAUUGAACUGGCUUUUAGUUAGAUGUUGAUAUGGAUCUUGGACUUGGCAGACCCAUGGUUGCAAUCCGUGGGGAAAGAUGCAUCUUUGGACUAGGCCUUGGUGAAGGGAUUGGUCCAUGGUUCACCACACUAGGAGCCACCCUUGGUGACAGGUUAACUUGUUCCAGUGCUUUGAACUGGAGCUCAGUUGGGUAGUCCCGAACACAACUGAUACGUGGUCCGACCCCUGUGGUCCACUUACAAGACAAUCUGUUGCCCGGAUUGAACAUUGGUGGUUCCAACUCGGUACCCUCCAUUAGUUCUUCUGGUUUGGGUUCAUUAGCCGAGGCUUGUCCAUAAUAGUCAUCAUCAGUGGCACAUCUCUGUAAACAAAAAAGGGUCAUAGAUGUUAGAAUUCGAAUUCUGAAAGCAUUAUAUACGAUGUCGAGCUGAAUAGAGAUUUUUUUUACCUUAACAUUAGUGAGAUUUACAUGGUUUUCCCCAAGGAAGUUGAUGAAUUCCAUGAAAUGCUCUUCUGUGGGAUGAUAGUGACCACUGUAUGGCCAUAUAGCCUAAAAAGCAAUGUCAAAAAGUGACAAAGAGUUAAGCACAUAAAUUACACCAAUACGGUUAAGUCGAGCGGUGAAGGCUGGACGAAAGUGAAAUGUACCUCAAGAACCCCAUCACAAGCAACUAAUCUUCCGGCAGCGGUGGUGGCACCACCAGCUAGAAAACUAGAAUGUUGAAAUUUACCCUUUUCUUUUUGACCGACAUACAAGGCUCUAGUUGUGCUAAGAACAAAUAUCCAUUUGAAUCCCCCUGUUGUAUCAACUAGUAACCCACUUUGCUUAAAAACAAGUUUCCCAUUCUCAAUUAUUACCUCAUAUUCUUCCCUUUCUUUCUGCAAAUAUAGUCAUUGAAAAAUGAUUUAUUAAAUUGAGGCAGCCAUUGUUGAAUCAUAUACAUUUUCAAGCUAAUCUUGUUUUAGAACAUACUGGUCCAAGAUAUGUGAUGCAUUGCUGCAGUAGUUUUUUCCUUGGACAUUUGCCGAGAUUUAAUUCUUUCCCAUCUCCAAUAUCCAACCUGUUUCAAAACAUCAAAAGACAAGACAAUGUCUUUACUAUGUUAUGAGAUGAUUUAUUUUGAGUUCACAGGGAUGUGAUGAAGGGCUGAUUUGUUACUGUUUUGUACCAGUAGAAGAAUGGCUGAGUGCUUUCACUUGAGAACCAAACAUCAUAGUACAGGUUUAAGUUAUGUCCAUAUCUAUGUCGUGGAUCAAUCUGCAAUGAAGAUAAUGUAAUGUCAAAGCCAUACAGUUAAGAUUAUGUAUAUAUGUAUAUAUGUGUGUAUAUAAUCUACAAAGAGGGAAAAGUCCCCGUCUUGAGUACUAGCCUCCGAUGAUUUGGAACAUGGAGUUGCAGCUAAUUGUUAAUGUUUCAAAGUAACUUACGGCUUCAAGCCAGUGUUGAAGGGCUAGUUUUUGAGCUUUUUCAUCUUUGGACAAUCCCUUUCCUACCUGCAAUUUAAUAAGGAAAAAACACCAUUGAUAUGGUUAAAUGGAGACGUAUUUGAAUGUGUUAACUGUAAGGAAAGGAUUCAUACCUUUGCUGCUCUUGUUUUGGCUCUUGCCCAUCGCGAAACCAUGGAUUCUGGUUUUUUGACAUCGAAGAACGACACAGAACUUUGCUUGAGCUCUGCAAGGUCUAAUACUUUCCACCAUAGCUCCUCAACGACCACUGCACAAUCGGCAAGGUUUCUUCGAGUCCGGUAGCCCUUGUACACCUUCUGAAGCUUAACAGCAGCCUCAUCGAGCUCACUAACUGGUCUUGGUGAAAACAAAAUCGUCGGUUCUGGUAGAGAAAGCGUGGAAAACGGCUCGUGCAAGAGUCCAUUUGAAUUCGAUACAGUCAAACCAAACUUCCCUUUAUCUGUAACUAAAUCCUUGAAAGAAAACGUUUUCUUGAGUACCACUUCAUGAUCAUGUGUGCCAUCUCUCAAUGUUCUUGAAUCUUUUCUUUGAAAUUCAUCUGAUUCAACCGAGUUAGUCAUGGAUUCUGAAUCUGUUCCCUUCAAACUAUUUGCCUUCAAUAUCACUUCUGUCUUUCGAACAAAGACUGACGUUGUAAGCCGAAUCGAAAAACCAGAACAAUAUGAAUUCAAUAUUCCAACACACUCACUCUAUGUAAAAGACUAAACCCUUUUCAUCAAGUUCAUAUAUACUGAAUUUAAUUGGCAUAUCUAUCUGCAUAUAUACUGAAUGCAUAAGAUAUAUACGAUAUAUUACAGGAUACAAAUUAUUCUAUAUCAUAAAGUUCAUAUAUAAGAAGAAUCAAAUCAAAUCAUUUCAGUCACUAAAUUCUAAUCUGAGCGACAUGAAUUCAAUAUCAACACACAGAUUCCAUGUAAAGGAUUAAACCCAUUCAUCAAGCACCUUAUAUGCAAACGCAAAACAACUUUUUGGCAUAUCUACUUGUAUAUAUACUGAAGAUUAUAUCAGAUACUUUACAGAUUGUCCCAUAUCAUAGUGUUCAUAUAAGAAGAAUCAAGUUAUGAAUUCAAUACGAACAGACAGACUCUAUGUAAAGGAUUAAACCCUUUUCAUCUAGCAUGCUACGUGCAAAAUCAAACCAAAGUUUUGGCAAAGAAUAUUAACUGCCAUACAUAUAUCUACCUGAAUAUAUAUACUGGAUAUAUUCUCUAUGAAAAUCCUGUACGAAUCGAUCAAAACGUUGUUUCAGAAUCUGACAACUCGCUCUCUCUUAUAUAAUACAAGCAAAAAAGAAAGCUAUGGAGUCCACUAAGCCUUAAAAUAAGUAUACACCAAACCUACCAAAAAAACAGGCAAUGGAAAGUCAUUGAAAUCGUGUACCUAACACCACAUAGGGCUUUGACUGAUAAAAAUGGGAUUAAAAAUAUGGGUCUAAUUCAACGGUUUUCGAGCUCGUGGUUGAAGACCACGAGCUGUUUGAUGAAUUCAAAGCUUGAAAUAUUGGGAUUUCUUAAUGGAAAACUUUGAAGGGCUUACAUUUUUAGGUCAACCUCUUCCUUUCUUGGAACCUUGAAAUUUUUCAAAGAAAGUAAGCUUUUUAAACAGAGCUUCCAUGGAAAUAAACGGAAGAAAAUGGUUUAAAAAUCUUUCAGACACUGGGAUUUUGUUGUCGUGUAAUUAUUUUUAACAGUCGACGAGUGUUCGGUCAUGGGAUUGAUCAUGCAAAUGACAUUUUUAUAAUUUCUUGAAAAUUACUGUUAAGAUUUUUGUUCUGCUCUUGUUGUCCAUUGUUGCCGCAAUCAUCCUGCAUUCAAUUCUUUUUCCUACCACUUUUCUGGCUUUUUUAUAAAAUCACCUUAAAUUUUUGAUUAAUUACGAAAAUGAACUAAUUUUCUGAUUAUAUAUAUAGGGUUUUUUACCCCAAUAUUAUAAAAACAAAAUUAUACACGAAAAUGGGUUCUCAACAAGAUUAAUUAUAAAAAUGGUAUACUUUUUGGGUCGUGCCUACCUGACAGGUACAACCUAUUAUUUUAUUAUUAAAUUUUUUAUUUAAAAAAUUUAUUAUAUUAUUAUUUUUAAUAUUUAUAUUAAUAUAUGGAUAAAAAUCGGAUUUUACACGGAUAAAAAACCCGAAAUCGGUCGAGCCUGACAGGCAGGCACAACACCCAGCACAUUUCCCUUUUCUUUCUUUGCAUGUUACAAAAAAUUGGUCUUAUAUCACUUUUGGUCCCUCUACUAGGCCUAAAAUUAAAAUUAUAUUUUUAUACUUGAAUUUCUACAAUAAUAUUUGGUCCUAUUUUUUAUAAUUUUUUUUCUAAAUAAUUAAUAUUGUUAAUUACUCUGAUAAAAUUUUUGACGUGUUUAGCUUAACAAAACAAUGAUAUGUUAAGCUGUAAUAAGUUUUAAAUAAUAAAAUUUCUAACAAAAAUGUAUUCCAACUUAAAAUAUCAUUGUUUUGUUAAACUAAUAUUUUGUUUAAAAAAACAAGUCAAAAAUUUUCAAAAAUUUUAUCAGAGUAAUUAACAAAAAUUUUAAUACAAUUUUGUUAGAAAUUUUAUUAUUUAAAACUUAUUCCCACUUAACAUAUCAUUGUUUUGUUAAACUAAUCAAAAAUUUUAUCAAAGUAAUUAACAAAAAAUUUAAUACAAUUUUGUUAGAAAUUUUAUUAUUUAAAACUUAUUCUAACUUAACAUAUCAUUUUAAAAAAACACGUCAAAACUUUAACAGAGUAAUUAACAAUAUUAAUUAUUUGGAAAAAAAUUAUAAAAAAUAGGACCAAAUAUUAUUGUAAAAAUUCAAGUAUAAAAAUAGAAUUUUAAUUUUAGGCUUAGUAGAGGGACCAAAAGUGAUAUAAGACCAAUUUUUUGUAAAAUGAAAUGUGCAGGGUGUUGUGCAUGCCUGUCAGGCUCGACCCGUUUCGAGUAUUUUUUAUCCGUGUAAAACCCGUAUUUUUAUCCAUAUAUUAAUAUAAAUAUUAAAAUAAUAUAAUAAUAAUUUUUUAAAACAAAAAAAUUAAUAAUAAAAUAAUGGAUUGUGCCUGUCAGGUAGGCACGACCCCAAAAAGUAUAUCAUUUUCGUAAUUAAUCUGACUGACAAUCCAUUUUCGUGUAUAAUUUUUUUUUAUAAUAUUGGGGUAAAAAACCCUAAUAUAUAUAUAAAGGGUUUUUACCGGAAUAUUAUAAAAAUAUAUAUAUGAAAAUGAGUUGUUGCUAAAAUUAAGUAUCAAAAUGGUAUAAGUGGAGGGUGGUGCAUAGGCGACACUACCCUAAUUUUCUGACACUAUACAAUAAAAAUAUAUAUUAUUUUAGUAGUGGAGGGUGUUAGACAGGCGACACCAAUUAUGCCUAUAUGAUAGGCGGCACUGGUGGUGUCUAUCUGAUAGAUAGCACACCCAAUAUAUUCCCCACACUCCCCCAUCUGGCUCGUAUCAGUUUGGAAAAGAAUAACAAAAACAUAACAUGAGCGAUACAUAAUAAAUACAAAUAUUUUUAUUAUUACUUUAAAAUGAUAAUAAGUAAACAUUUUUGGUUUAAAAUAUAAUAUAUAUAUAUAAUAACACCCCAACUUAAUUAUUAUAAAAAAUAUAUAAAUUUUUUUAUAGAAGUUCAAAAUAAAUUUCAUUUUUAUUAUUUAUAAAAAACAAAAAAUAAUUUUUUAAAAAAACAUAAAAUCUUAAAAAAUUAAAACAUAUAAACUAAUUCCUAAUUUAUCUCAUAAAUUCCAAAUUUCAUAUCAAUGAUUUCAUCUUUUACCUGAUUAAAAAUAAAAAAAUAUUAAAAUAAUAAAAAAAUAACAUGCCUUUCAUAAAAAAUACACUGGGUGGAGAGGAAAAAUAUACUCGGUGUUACACUAGGUGGAGAGGAAAAAUAUACUUGGUGUGCUGCCUAUCAGAUAGGCAUAACUAGUGUCGUCUAUCUGACACCCUCCACUACUAAAAUAAUAUUUUUUAAUGUAUAUUGUCAGAAAAUAAGGAUGGUGUCGCCUAUGCACCACCCUCAACCCAUCUAAAUGUACCAUUUUGGUACUUAAUCUUAGCAACAUACUAUUUUGGUAUUUUAUUUUAUUUUUAUAUAUUAUUAGGGUAAAAAACUCAUAUAUAAAUGACCUGAAAUUAAUUGUAAAAGUUAGAGCCAAAGCGAAUAGUGCCAUCAAUAUGUCACGUCAGCACCUGAAUAAAAAAAUUAAUAAAAUAAUAUAUAUUUUAAAAUUUUAAAAAUAAAAAAAAACCCUUAUACAUAAAAAAAGGUGAUGGCGUCGUUCUUAAUAGCUCCACCAAAAAAUUAAUUUUUUAAAGACCCUAAUUAUUGAGAAAUAACAAUAUUUUCGUGAUAUUUAUACAGGUAGCUUAUUCUCCUUGACACAUCAAAAAAUUGAUUUUUUUAUUCGAGUACCUAACGUAGCAUGUUGAUGGUGCCAUUUUUUUUUGCUCUACUAACUUUUACUAUUCGUUUAAGGUCAUUUAUGUAUAUAACCAGAAAAUUAAGUUAUUUUCAUAAUUAAUCAAAAUUUUAAGGUUAUUUUUAUAAUAAUAAAAAAAGCCCACUUUUCUUUACAUCUCACGUCACCCAAAAUUAGUUUCUAAUUUCCUUCAAAAGUAACAGUAUAUAAUUUUUAAUUUAAAACCCAAUUGGAAACUUGAAUUUGUAAUUUGUUUAUAAUUUAUAAUGAGUCAAAAUUGAAAACUUGAAUUUUUCUUUGGAUAAAGUAACUAGUUGUUGACCCAAUUUUUUUAGAUGUUUUUAUUUCGGUCACCUAAAUAAAAUUAUUUGUAAUUUGGUCAUCAUUAUUAGAGAAAUUUUUAUUUUAGUCACCCAAACAUUAAAUCCCUAACGGUGGUUUACUGUGCAUGUCAUGUCAUCAUGUUUUUUUACUAAUUUAACCCUCCACACAGUAAAAUUGGGUGACUAAAAUGAAAAAAAUUCUCUAACAGAAGUGACCAAAAUGAAAGCAUUGAAAAAGUUAAGUGAGCAACUAGAUAGUUCACCCUAAAAAAAACUAUAAAAUUACCCGUCGGGGUUGACAAGAUCAUUUGGGGAGGUACCUCGACAGGUUCCUUUUCCCUUAAAAAUGCCUAUGAAAAGCUUCAGGAAGGGUCGUGGAAUCCGAAAAAACAUAUUUGGCAUAUCCCCUGAAAAUUCCAAAACCCCCAAUAGAUUUGGUAUUUUAUUUGGCUGACUUUCAAUCAACGUCUGCUUACUGAGGUGGAACUAGCAAGGCGAGGACUAGGUCAUAAUUCAACAUGUGGGGUUUAUGGUCAUGGUUUUGAGGAUGCGCUUCAUGCGAUUAGAGACUAUUUUGCAACGAUGAAUGUCUGGGAUCAUUUAAUUCCAACUAAAUGGCAUGCUAGGUUCUAUGUAGGAAAUUUGUAUGAUUGGCUUAUGUUAAACUUGCAAAAUUAGCAUGACUGGUGUUUAGGAGAUGUAGACUAGCGAUGUCUAUUUGGGAUCACCGCAUGGCAUAUUUGGAAGAAUCGUAAUCUUCUCAUUUUUCUAGGGUGCUUAUUGGAGUGUUAAUGAAUCUAUUAAGGUGUCUUACAGUUAGGGAAAGCAAUUUGUCUCUUCUACUAGGGGCAAGAUGACUGAGAUACGAGGUAAGUUUUCAACUUUAUGUUUAUUUAACGAUUCAGUCAUUUUAAGUACAGAUGGGUCUAUCCAGAAAGAAGCUGGUUUUGCGACCACAGGGAGAAUAGUGCGUGAUCGAGACAGAGCAUGGAUUAUUGGUUUUAAUAGACAUUUGGAAGAUUGAUUUGUUUUUAAUACUGAGUCGUGGGGUAUUUUGAAUGGAUUGAUUAUUUUAUCUGACAGGGGAUAUAAUAAUGUGUUAAUUCAAUCGGAUUGUCUUAAGGCAGUUACAUCUAUUUAAGAGAGGUCUCCAGAAAGGUUAAAUUAUGCUUUGGUUAGAAUAAUUCCUCAGAUGUUGUCGCAUUUCAAAUAGUGGAUCAUUAAAAACAUUUCUAGAGAGAAAAAUUAAGAAGCUAGUCGUUUGGUCAAACUGGUCCAGCAUGGAUCUAAAGAUUUCUGCUUGUUUAAGAUCUCCUUGUUGAAGGGACUAGGUCUAGUUUAUGUAAUUAAUUUUUUAUAUUCUACUUUUCCAAAAAAAAAAGGUCAAACAUCAAUUUCCUCAAUUAAGUUAUCUAUUUUUGGUAAAAAUAAAUUAUAACUUUAUGGUAAAUUAUAUCAUUGGUCACCCAAGUAUUAACUUAUUUUUAUUUUAGUCAUUAACUUAAAAAGUUUUUCGAUUUCACCAUUAAAGUUAUCUAAAAUUAAAUAUUUGAAUCACUGCUUCGUUAAAUUAGGAGGUUCCAAGACUAAUUUGAUUGGUAUGAAAAGUAAAAUCCAAAGGCAUUGGGAGGUUAAGGUGUCGCAUGUUGCGAGGAGUCGGAAUUUAGUAGCGGAUGGCAUGGAAAGAUUAGCAGUGAAGCUUCCAUCGGAGAGACAACUCAUUGAUCUUGCUCCUCUUUCUGUUACCGAUGUAUAUACAGCCGAGUGUGCUGCUUUUCAAAGAUCCCUGCUGCAAUACUUUGUUGCUUUCCCUUUCAAAAAAAAGAAGGUUAAAUUUCAAAGAUUUUUUUUAUCAAAAUAUUAUUCAUGUCCAUUUUACAAUCAACAAAGAUUAAUUCUUUUAUGGUUCGUAGUUCCAUCACAAAAUAUUGUUAUUUUCAGAGUUUGAAUAUGAGAUUUCCUUUUAAGAGUACAACUUCCCUUACCAUUACACUAAAAAAAUAAGUUUAAGGGUGUAAAAAACCCUCAAACUUUUUUAAAAAAGAAGCAAUUAAGCUAUUGUCUUUUUCCCCCCACUCAAUUGAGUACUUAAACUGCUAAAAUGCAUUAAAAAAAUUUUUUUGAUCGUUAACUUUAACAGUUGAUUAUUAAAGUUAAUUGCCUUUAAUUUUUUUAGUUAAAGCCACCACGUGUCACAACCACGGCGUGACAUGUGGUAAAAAAUGAUAAAAAUAAAAAAAUAAAAAAUUAAUUUUUAAUAAAAAUAUAAAAAUAUAUUAAAAAUUAUAACAUUUUAUAGAGUCGUAAGAAAAUUAUAAAAAAAGUAAAGAAAUAUAAAAUUCGUAAAAAAAUUAUAAAAAGAAAAUUAUUAAAAGAAAAUUUUUAUAAUUUUUUUAUAACUUUUAUUCAUUUUUAUUUUUUAUAUUUUUAGUCACACACAUUUUGAAAUAAACAUGAAUUUAAUUGCUUUUCUUUUAUGUAUUUAAAAGUUCAAAUACAUUUUACACUCUAAAACCAAAAAAAUAUUGCAUUAAGCCCAAAAAAAUCUCGACCAAGUAAAAUUAUAUUGUUUACCGUGGAUUUAAAAAUUGAACUUUUUUUUUAUUUAAAAAAAUCCAACAUUUUUCGACCGAAAUAUAUGAAAGGAAGACACCAUGUUGAUCCGGCGACAUUCAAUGUUGGCGUCUGGUCCCAAAAAGUUCCAAAAUCUCCACCUUAAACCGGCAACUUUUAGAAUUGUCUCGUCCAUUCAACCUCUUCCUUCCAAAGUUAAUAUUAAAAUAUUUGAGAGAUGUUUCCAUCCAUGCAUAUGUAUAUAUUAUAACUAAAAAAACAUAUACGAUCAGAUUUUUAAUUGAUAAAUUAUAUUUAAAGGUGUUCAUGGGUCGAGUCAGAUUAAGUUUGGGUCAGGCUUAAGCAUAAUAUAUACUUUAUGCUUCGUCAAACUUGAUUCGGCUUGAAAUAUGAACAUUAAAUUUUCUCAAACCUGUCCAUAUUUGUAAAAUGUUAACACAAGCUUAUUUUAAGUCUGUCCAUAUUAUUUUUAAUUUUUUAAUAUUAUUUUAAUUUAAUAAUUUUUUAUUUAUUAAAAUUUUCUAUAUAAUCAUCUUAAUAUUAUUUUAAUAUUUACAUUAAAGUAGUAUUAUAUAUUUAAUAUAAGUAUUUUUGUAAUAUGUUAUAAAUUACAUAAUAUAAAAUAUUAUAAACUUAAAAAUAGGUCGAGCCGAGUUGAGCUCUAGUAAUAAAUGUUCCAGUCCAAGCCCGACCUAUAUUUUAAACAGAUUUUUUUUUGCACAAGUCUAUUUUUUAGGUCAAAUAUUUUUACCCAAAACCCUCUCAAAAUUUGAACGACCUUCGAGUUUGAAUAAAUAAUCCGACUUAUGAAUAAAUCUAAUGGUAACAAAUGGCGUCAAAAAUCUAGAACUAAGGAUAAAUUAUGACAAUUUGAUGAAACAACAUUGAAUUACGACAUUUCUCAUUUUUUUCCAACCAUAUUUGGCUGCCUCUUUUAAACAUUUAAAUCACGAGGGAAUACAAAAUUAAUCACAUUUAUUUUUUAGAAAAAAAGAAAAGAAAAAAGCUUUAUUAUUAUUAUUAUUAAUUUUAUAUUAUUUUAAUUUAAUAUUUUUUAUUUAUUGAAUUUUUUAUAUAGUUAUUUUAACAUUAUUUUAAUGUUUACAUUAAAUUAGUAUUAUACAUUUAGUAUAGAUUUAUUUUUUAAUGUAUUAUAAAUUAUAUAAUAUAUAAAAAUAACAUAAUAUAAAAUAUUAUAAACUUACAAACAAGUCGAGCUAGGCUCGAGCCUUAAAUGUUCAAAUUUAAAUUCGACUCAUAUUUAAAACGAACCUAAUUUUUUUAUCAAAACUUAUUUUUUAAAUUUAUAUUUUUAUCUAAACCCUCUUAAAUUUCGGAUGAACUUUCAUGCAUAAAUAUAUAACCUGACCAUGAAAUGGUAUAGAAAUAAAUACCUUGGUCAAUUAAAUAUUUGAAUAUACUUUUCUUAAAAAAUGUCAUAAAUAAAGUCCCCUUUUAUGCUUGGUUUACUCCCAUCUUAAAAGACAUGGGUCACUCAACUUUUCUUUGUUAGCCUUACGUACCUACAAUCCGAGUAACAUAAUAACAUUGGGGAAGUUACAAUGAUGUUUUUGGUUACAGUUGUGAAGUUGAAUCUGCAAAAAUUUGGGAUUGUAGCAAUAGGUUCUCUUCAUGGACCGAGACAUGAUUGACAGGAAGAUUGCUAUAAAUUAAUUUUGAUAUCAAUGUAGUUAAUAUCGUAUCCAUAGAUUUAUCGUUUUUGUUUUGGUACCAUUAUAUAUCGAUACGGGCAUGUUUGAAUGUAUUGUUUCGAGUUUAUUGAUGUUUUUAAAUAUUUUUUCACAUAUAUAUAUAUGUUUAUAAUCUCGUUUUUAGUUUCUUAAUGAUUAUAUAUUAUUUUGAUAAAAAUAAAAUAUAUAUUAUAUAUACAUGCAAAUAUAUUCUCAAUUACAUCUAUAUAAAUAUAUUUAUAUGUAAAUAUAAAAUAUAAAAUUAUUAAUUAGAUUCAUCCUUAAAAAGAACUAUUAAAUAAAUUCAAUAAUUUAAUUUAAUGGCUUUUAAAAAUAUAAUUAUAGAAAAAUUAAUGUAGUUAAGAUUAAAAAUUUUAAAAGUAGAAUAAAAUUUAGAUAGAUAUUGGACAUUUUAACCGCACUAAAAAGAGAGGGAAACAAAACCCAACCCCAAAACCCUAACUUCCACAUUUCACAUGUCACAGAGCAGGGUGUCACUUUGUUUCUCUGCUCUCAUUUCUUCUUCCUUUUAAACCCCAAAUGAAAACAAAAAGACCCCAAGCAUUUUUUAGUCCAUGGAAUAACAUUUAAGCUCAAUUAAUUUGUUCUUCAAUCCCCUUCCUUCAAAACCCAUUGUUUUUUGCUAAUUUGUUCUUCCCGUGCUUGAUAUGGCGAGGUUUCUUCGAAAUAUUUCUCAUUUGAAACAUUCUUUCCAUGCUCCACAGGUUUUAAUGCUUACCCUUUUGUUUAUUUUCUUCGAUAAGAUCACACCCCUUUUGUUUUUUUUCAUGUUAAAAGUAUCUGAUUGUAUUUCACUGUGUUCAUGGAACUUCGAAUCUGUUCUUUUUUGCAGAUAUGUAGAGGAGGGGUAUUAGGGUCAUAUUCACAGCUAUGUAACUUUUCUUCUAAAGGUAUUGAAACUUCCAUUUCGAGCUUUUAAUUAGAAUGUUGAUACCCAAAUUAAUGUUGCAUGUGACUGUAGAAGAGUGUUUUUUUUCGUGGCAUUUUUUAUUAACUUAAUUCAUGUUUGAAUGCUGUGAUGAUAUUUAAUUGAAAGAAGUCAAGUUUACCAUAGAGUAUGGUGGUUAAUUCAGGGUCCUUUCUGUAAAAAAAAGAAAAAGGAAGUUUGAUCUAAAUGAUGGAGCUCUUUAGUUAUUUUGCUUGAGUUGACUUUAUUUUGAGUUAAAAAAUAAUUAUGGUACUUACUUAAUGCAUGUACGCUUUGAAGGUAGGAGGAAAUCCAAGUCAGAUGGAAGUGAUUCUGGUGAGGAGAAUAUUUCGAAGAAAGAUUUAGCUCUAAAGCAAGCCCUGGAUCAGAUUACUAGUUCUUUUGGAAAAGGAUCUAUUAUGUGGCUUGGUCGUUCCGAGUCUCCUCGAAAUGUGCCAGUAGUUUCCACCGGUUCUUUUGCUUUGGAUGUAGCACUUGGUAUCGGUGGCCUUCCAAAGGUACCCCGCAAUUCUCGUUUUGUUUAUUCCCCCUUUUCCUGCUACUAAGUGAUAGCUGCCUAUGAUGUUUAUUAGUUCCUUAAACACCACUUUAUUGGACUAUUACAGGGCCGUGUUGUGGAGAUAUAUGGACCAGAGGCUUCUGGGAAAACAACACUCGCACUUCAUGUAAUUGCUGAAGCACAGAAACAAGGAGGUCAUUUAAUGUAGUUUAACUUAGUACUGUCUGAUUUAUGAUUUGUUACGACUUACGACAAACUUCUCAUUCAUAUGACAUUCAUUAUUCAUAAACAAUUCUCUUAUGCUUUGAUGAUUAAAACUGAUAGUAGGAAGCUACGGCUAGACCUCUUGUUACUUUCCAAUAUCAUUAUGUGAGUUUUGUAUGGAGCGAUUUGACAUUCUUAUAUUUAUAAGGUGAUUACAUUUGGAGGGUGGAGGAGUUUUUGUUGUGACUACUGUUCUGUUGAUGUUGUUGCCGAUAUCUCUGUGCUGGAUGCUUACAUGUUUCUAGAAUCUUAUAAUAUGCAGGUUAUUGUGUUUUUGUCGAUGCGGAGCAUGCUCUUGAUCCAGCUCUAGCUGAGACAAUUGGAGUAAACACUGAGAAUUUACUUCUUUCGCAACCAGAUUGUGGAGAACAAGCUCUCAGUCUUGUAGACACCCUUAUACGGAGUGGAUCUGUUGAUGUUGUUGUUGUUGACAGUGUAAGGUGUUUUCGGAUUUAUUUCUUUUUCCAUUAUGGAGUCUGGUCUAAUAAAUACUGCUGUUAGCUGGUAGAACAUGCUGUGAGGAGGAUUUUUUGUAAUAAUUGUUUUUUUGUGCCAAAUCAAUUGGAAUAGUCAUUGUUGAAGGGUUGAAUUCUAUAGUUUUUUUCUAUGUUAUAUUCUGAUUUUCUUAUAUUUAUUUGGAAGUGAGUCCUGAAAUAAUUUUGUUUUCAUGCCAGGUAGCUGCUCUAGUGCCUAAAGGUGAGCUUGAUGGUGAGAUGGGUGAUGCUCAUAUGGCAAUGCAAGCUAGACUGAUGAGCCAGGCUCUCCGUAAAUUGAGUCAUUCCCUAUCAUUGUCACAAACCAUAUUGAUUUUUAUAAAUCAGGUAUACGAUUUAUAUCCUGAGUAUGCCCUUGAUAAGUUUUGUUGAUAAACUUAAUAUUAGCAUGAUAGUUCUCUAAAGCUUCAAUUUGUUAAAAUGCGCAACUUUUUUGCUUUGAGGUGGUUUAAUCAAAGAUUAAGAUUAUACUCCAUGUCAUUGACAUCGAGAGUUUUGCCCAUUGGCAAACUUUUUGCUCCUUUUUUUAAAGCUUCUAGUCAGACUGAUAGAAUGUUCCUAGCUGAACUGUUGCCCCCAAUUCUGGUCAGGCGUGGAGUUCUUGCAAGAUUCUAGGUUUGCAAUACCAAAUGAAUCAUGGAAAUUUCAUGCUUUUAUAUAAGAAAUUAACUUUUUUACUUUUAUCAGGUGAGGUCAAAACUUUCAACUUUUGGAUUUGGUGGGCCAACCGAAGUUACAUGCGGUGGUAAUGCCUUAAAGUUCUAUGCUUCAGUUCGUCUAAAUAUUCGGAGAACUGGGUUGGUCAAGAAAGGAGAAGAGGUACCAAGCUGUAUCCUUUCUUUCCUUGCAUGAAUUGAUUUUGGAUGUAGCAGUUUAAGAAAGUCUCUGAUCUUAUAAUUCACCUAAAAUUUUCUUAGGUGCAGUGAUUUGAUUAUUUUCCUUUAUCUUGGUUGAAUCUCUGUUGAGCAACACAUUAAAAUUUCCUUUCAAUGCUCUUAAUCUCUGUUGAGCAACUCACUAAAAUUUCCUUUCAAUGUUCUUACAUUCCCAAGAAAGUUAAACAUGCAGUUAUAUUGUUUUUGCUCAAAUCUACAGGCUGGCUAAUAUAAUUUUGAAAGGCUUAAAUUCUUUAAUCAAUCUUCACUAUUUACUGCCUUGCAUAUCCAGUUUUGAGUGCAAAAGACUUGUCAUGAAGAUUAGGAAAUUAUAAAAUAUCCAAAUCUCGAUAAUUCUCUUUGACAGUCGAACAAAUUUGCUAUAUUUUUCCAUGUAUCAUAGUGUUUAUUGAUGUUUCUAUGAUCUUUAGACUAUUGGAAGUCAAGUUCUCGUGAAGGUUGUGAAGAACAAACACGCUCCGCCAUUUAAGAAUGCUGAAUUCGAGCUUGAGUUUGGAAAGGGAAUCUGCCGGGAAGGGGAGAUCAUAAAUUUGGCAACGAAACACAAAUUUGUUACAAAGGCUGGCUCAUUCUACACUUUCAAUGACCAGAAAAUCCAUGGCAAGGAAGCCUUCAAAAACUUUUUGGUUGAAAACGAAAGUGCACGGGAAGAACUUGCUACGAAACUUAGAGAAAAGCUACUUGAACCUGAGAACAAAAAGGAACGGCAGGGUGAUAUCUCUGAUGGGGAUGCAUCAGAAGAAAUAAUUUCAACUGAUACUACCGAUGAAGAAGCUGUUACUGCCAUUGAAGCUUAAGUAUGCAUGUGACUCGGAACGAAACCCCCUUUGUUCCCCUUACAGGUUCAUUCCUUUGCUGAUUGAAUUUUUCAGUGGACAUGAUGACUGAAGGAUUUGAAGGUUCUUCGAUUCACAGUAAACAUUCAACCUUUUGCCAUACGAAUAGACAGCAUUGUAAGGUAAAGUUUGUUAAGUUGUAUUUGUUUUGUACAUGUAUGGUCUAGUGGGGUUUGAAUGUUUUUGUGGUUCAAUAGGUUGAAAAAUUACUUGCUCUUCAUUGGACUCUCCAACUUCUCUACUGUCAUAUGUCCAGCCCUAUUCAACAUGUUAUUGAGGCCAAAUAUAUGUUAUAUAUAGUAGUAUUUAUUUAUAUACUGUGGUAACUUUGUCUCUCUGGGGUUUGAAUGUUAGAAUCUGCCAUCAUCCUCCUACUUCCUCUAUACCAAAAAGAAAAAAAUAGGGCUUAUUUGGAUAAAAUAAAGUAAAUGGUUCAUUUUAAGAAAAGGUAAUAGUUUUUAAUAUUUUGGUCAGGAUGUUAGGAAUAUAUAAAAGAGAACAAAUAUUGAUAUUCAAAAUUGAAAUUAUUGAAUACACUCUUUUGAAAUAAAAUUGUGUGAAAAUUAAGUUUUGUUGUUUAUGUCACUUAGGCAUUGCUUGGUAUGGUAAAGUGGGAAGAAAAUUAGAAAGACAUGGAAAAUAUAAGAGUAUGGUUGGUUUUAUAUAUAUCUGUUUAUGAGUUGAGUUAUCUUAUGAAGUUUAAAUGUCUUUUUGAAAUCUGAAAGAGGUUGAGUAAAAAUAUUAGGUCUGAAAAAUGAUUUGGAUAAAUAAAUUAGGUCCGUUUAAAAUAUGACUUGAGUUUGAAUAUUUAAGGUUUGAGUUUAGUCCCUUUUAAGUUUAUAAUAUUUUAUAUUAUGUAAUUUAUAAUAUAUUAAUAAAAUAAAUUUAUAUUAAAUAUAUAAUAUUAUUUUAAUGUAAAUAUUAAAAUAAUAUUAAGAUGAUUAUAUAAAAAAUUUUAAUAAAUAAAAAAAUAUUAAAUUAUUAAAUAUUAAAAUAAAAUAAAAUAAAUAUUUGUUAAAAAAUUUAAAAAUAAUAUUAAGGCUUGGAUUACAUUUUUACAAAUAUGAAUAGGUUUGGAUAAAAUUUUAAGUUCAGGUUUUGGUCUGAAUCGGGUUUGAAUAAGCAUAAAGUAUGUUAAUAUUAUUUUUAAAUUCGAUUCGGCUCAUGAGCAACUCUAAUUUUAGACAAUAUUUUUUUUCAUUAUUGAACGUUAUAAGGGUAUGUUUAAUUUAUUUAAUUUUUAUUAUUAAAUAGAUAAGCACUAACUAAAACAGUUGGAGUUAGUGUGGAAUCGAUUUAAUUGAUUAACAAUAUUAAAGAUUAAAAAUUCUUUGUGAUGGCUUGAUGAUUAAUAGUGUUUAUUGUCCCAAGUGUGGCCUAAAUUUGAAUCGCGAUUGUUGUUUGGACUCUAAAACAAGCUUUUUUUUUUAUUAAUUAAUGAAAAAGUGUAAAAAGAAUAAGGGGGAGGGAGCAGCCAUGUUUCCUGGUUUUGAGUUCAUUUUGAAAGAAUAAAGAUUUCCUUUUUCUAGAUAUAGGGUAUGGGUUGUUCUGAUUAAUGAUUGAAUUUAAUAUUAAUGUGUUAUUAUUAUUAUUUUACCAGUGAAUUAAUCAACAAAUAAAAAAAAUCAAUUAAUGAAGUUAAAGAAAAUAUUAUAAUGUAUCAAAUACAAGCUCUUAAAUUAAUAUUAUAUUUUUUAAUUAAGUAAUGAGAAUUUUAGAAAACCCUAACACUAAAUUUCUAAUCCUAGCAGCCAUGAUAAAGGGACAAUGUUGUUAAUUGAUAUGCCUUGAAUAUUGGAGGCAAUCUUGUCCUGCCUACCAUGUACACCAAUCAUAUAUACCCUUUAAUUUUUGUUCAUUUUGGUCCUUAUUGGACAUGUUAAUUUGUUAAGCAUUUGAUCCCAUUCUUUUUUGCUUAGUGUAGUAUGAACUGAAUUGUGAUUCUUUCUUUCCACUUUUUUUUUUCAAUCAUAAUAUUCUUUCAUUUUUUUUGUGAGGAUUGGAUAAGAUAUACAUAUUUUCUUGAUAAUAUUCUUUUUUCUUCCUUUUUUUUAACUCGAUUGGCAUGAAUAUUAUUGUCAAUACAGGAGAAUAUGGGUUCGAGUACGCUGAAGCGUAUUAUCCUCCUUUUUAUCGGUUGAGGAGGGACUAUGAGUUUUUUUAAGCAUUAUAUUGUGUAAAAAGGAACAGAUAUGAUCAAAACCUAUAAUAAGAUUAUUAAAAAAAAUUAACAUCAAUUGACUUAAAACAUUACUUUCAACAAGUAAUUUAAUAAUAAAAGUGUAUAUAAGUAUAUUUUUAAAAAAAAUUAAAGUAAAUAAAUAAAUGAAAUACAUGAAAAUUUUUUGAUUUCACACCGCUAUUGUAUUAAAGAAUAAUCCUACCAACCUUAUCAUUUCAAAUGUAGGUAUAGUGGCUAUUUUCAAUUAAGAUCCACAAUCAUCCAAUAAACUUAUUCUAAUUAAACAUUGAAAAAGGUUUAAGAAUAUGGAAUAUUAUACUUCAUACCAAGAGGGCCAUUAGAUCCACAUAAACCCAACCAAACUAAUUAAUAAAAUGGUGAGAAAAACCCUAAAAAAAUUAUGUUUUAAAAUAAGGGAUUGUUAUAUCAUGUGUAGCUAGCCUCACUGAUGUUAUAGUGCAUUCAUAGAGAGUUAAACACGUGUCCCUCAAUGAGACCAACUAUAUUGCGAACUUGGGGUUCACGAACCUAAACUUAAUAAUUUUUAAAAAGGGACAACUUCGCUAAAAUUAUGUGAAAGCUAUGUGAAGGUCUAGAGAAAUUGAUUGCUAGUUACCCUAAAAUGUCUCAUCUUAAAAUGUAGUAUCAUCAUCAUCGCUAAGGGUUUUCAAGCUUGUCCCCACUGUAGAAGGGUCAUGCAAAUAGCUUAUACACAUUCACAUAGACAUUCCUUCUUCUUGAUUUCUUGAGUCUUUAAAAAGUUAAAACCCUUCCCAGCCUUUGCUUCAUUCUCCUCUAUUCUACUACCAUCUUCUUCACCUUGUUUACCUCACUGGUUAAUAGAGAUAAAUAUUAAAAUUAUACAUGAAUUUUUAUUUAAUGUGUAAUGUUAUACAUGAACUUUGAUUUUGUGUAAUUUUUAUAAAUGAAAUUUUAAUUUGAUUCAGUUUUAACAAACCACUAAUAACAUUAUCAACUUGUACGUUUAUAUAUUGCAUUCAUGAAUGAUUAUAUUAAGAUCCAAUAUAAAAACAAACUAUUGUAUUUAUUAUUUUUAAAAGGUGUACAACCGAAUCAAAAUCAAAUUUUUAUGUGUAUGUCUGGAUUGCAAUCAAAUUUUUAUGUGUAUCAUUAUACCAAAUCAAAAUUCAUGUAUUAAAUUACAUAUUAAAUCAAAUUUUAUAUAUAAUUUUAUUACGUGAAGAGUGGAUAAUUUUUUAAACACAAGUAAAAAUUAAAAAAAAUACAUAUAAAAAUAACAUUCUAUGUAAAAAAAAUUUAAUAAUUUUCAUUACAUGGGUAAAAUUUUCUUGAAAAAAAAACCCUUAAAGAAUACAUGGAAAAAAAAGUUACCCUAACAAACCAUGAAAAGAUUAGACAUAGUAAUUAUUUUUUCCUCCUAAUUAAUAACCCUAAAAAAUACAAAAAAAAAAUUAGGAUUUAAUUAUUAUUGAAAAUUCUCUGGCCUGGUGACAAUAACAUUCUUGGAUCAAAUUGAUAUUUUCUGUGUUGAAAAACCUUCCAUUUUGAGCCAAAAUGAUGAACCCAUUCUUCUUUAGUACUGUAAUGAGGAAGGUAUUGCUUAAGCAUAAUUCCAGUUUUAUUACAAAACCUCAUUAUGUCUUUAUUUUGGUCUUCAAAAGCUUUCCAAGUAUCAAAUCCACUUGAAUGUAAAAAACCCACUGUGUAGAAUAUUUCUUCAUCUGGUAUUACAGCUGACAUCCUAUCAUCCCACCUGCCAUUAAUUCAAACAUUCAAAUUGUUCAUUAUUUUAUGCUUUAUAUAUAAAAUUCAUGAUGAUCAAGUUUUUGGUUAAAAAAAUUUUAUUUACUUAAAUUAGUCAUCGUAUCAAUUAAGUCUUUCUUGUAGUUUAAUUUUCAAUUUUAAUAUUAAACGACCGUUCAUAUUUUACAUGGAUAAUAUUUAAAAUACAUGGAUUAAAUUGUAAAUAAGUGUAUACAUACAUUAUGAAUAAAUUAGAUUUGACGUGUUAAAUUAAUGAAAUAAUUUUCCUUCUUUAAUAUGUUAGAUCUAAAUUGUCAAUAUGGUAGGUACACACAUAGGGGUGAAAGAAGAGUAGUGCCUUGGCAUCCUAAAAUGGAAAAAUUAUGUUUUAAACCGUUUAAAAUUUAUAAAAUUAUAGAUUAAUGUAUGAAAAAUUGUAAUUUAACUUCUAAAAAGAUGAAAUUUUGAUUUAAUCCUAAAAACUAUAAAAAUAUAAUCUAAUACAAGGGUGAAAUUGCAUUUUUAGAUUUCAUAAAAAAAUAUUAUAACUUAAUAAUUUCGACCCUCCACAAAAAAAAAAAAUUCCGGCUUCGCCUCCGUACACAACAUACUCAAACAACAUUUAAUGCUUAAAUUGAAAACUAAGCUGACUUGAACUCCUCAAUCAGAUGUGGACCAAUUUAGAAUAUAGGUGAUAGUUCGAGGCAUUUAAUCAAAAUAGCCCAAAAAGAAAUACUUACUUUUGUCUGUUCAUAGGAUAAACGAGGACAGGUCCUGUAGUAAUAUUCCGUUCAAGAACAAUGCCUCUAAAAACACCAUUGUUGAAAUCCGAUAUCUGAGAUUUAGGUAUAAAAAGAUUCAACCAUGGAUGUGGAACAUCCCAUAAUCCUUGUGAUUUAAGCUUCAGUUCCCCACUUCGAACCCUAUUCAAAAACUCUUCAUACCCAACGUCUUUUCCAAAUAUAAAUCCAGGCAUGUAAUUCAUACCUUGCAGAACCUGUUCCAUCUCCUGCAAUAAUAAUAAAAAAACAUACAAAAUCAAUAUGAUAUGCACUACUUAUAAUUUUACGACACCGACAAAUUCGACCAUUAUUUUUAGUUUACCUUGUCGACUGUGUGUUUUGUUCGAUCAUCGUAAUGCUUAACGAUUUCAAGGCAGUAUAUGAUUCCAUGCUUGGUUAUCAAUGAGAUUAUUUUGGGAUGAUCUUUAUAUGGAAAAAAGGACGAUCUCCAGUUAUCUGGUGAGCCUUGAUCCAUAAGCAAUGAACCUUCUAAAUAAUCCAAUGCACUUUUAUCUUUUCUUCCAUUUUUUGAGAUUAAAAGCUCUUGAUCUUUGGUGAAUGAUGAAAAAUCAUCGUACAGUAGUCGAACCCAUUUUACCUGUUUAAAAAUAAUUAAAUCAACCAAUUAUUUAAGUCCACAAUCUUAAUAAACAUGAUAAUUUGUAACAAUAUUUACCAUAAAAGUACAAUAAAAGUUUUCGUGUUAAGAAUCAAAUUACUUUUUAUCUCCUCUAUAUUAAAGAGCAAAUUAAUUAUUUCAAUUAAAAUUUUCAUUCUUCUCGUACUAUAAUAUGCACGGACCAAUUUUUAACCAUAUAAAAAUUUUAUUGGAAAGAGACUAAUUUUUUUAUUCUUUGAGCUAGUUAAAAAACCUAAUAUUUACCCUUUUCGGUGCUGGUUGAAGUGGAAUUCUUGCUCUGGUUAUUAUUCCAAAUUGUCCUAAACCUCCAAGAACAGCAUAAAAAAGCUCUGAAUUCAUCCUCGGCGAGCAUGUCAAAAAAUCGGCUUUCCCUGAAUUUAAAAAUAAAAUUUGCUCGUAAAUAACUGCAUGCAUGCAUGAUGCAACCAACAUACAAUAUUAUAUAAAUGAUGAUGAUGAUGAUGGUGAUGAUGAUCACCGUUUGAACUUUUGUCCUAUGGGGUUUCCUAGUGGGGACCCUAGAACGAAUACAUUUAUAGAAAAUUAUUUCAAUAGGUUGGCAUGAAAUGGACUGCCAUUUAAAAUUAAAUGUACAUAUGAUCAACCGUCAGGCACCAGCUAAGAAAUGUAUAAAAGUAUUAUAGAAUGUAUUUUAUUUAUUUUAUUUAAAAUUUUUAUAAAUUAGACUAAAAAUAAAUUGACUUUUUUUUUUGUUAAAAAUUUCAUUUAAUUUUACUGUUAAAAAUUAAAGUAACUAAAAAUAACUAAAUAAUUACGCGUGUCAUGUCACAUGUACUUUAAUUUAAUGUAUAGAGUCGUUUUUUUAUCUAAUAUAUAUAAAUUAAUCUAUUUAUUUUUUGAAUGAUUCGAUUCUUAUUAUAAUGUUGUAUAUGGUAAUUUUACCCAAAGAAUGCUGAAAAAUGAGUUUAUUGUUCGAAUCUUUGUGAACAGGACAAAAGAAUAUUGAACCCAACUCGAGAUUAAAAAUUGAAAAAGAAUACGAAAUCAGAUACCUGUUAUAACAUCCAUUUCAAGAACAUUACUGAUCUGAGGACCGUAACGAAAAGUUUGUCCACUGAUUCCAGCAUUGGAGAGCGUUCCGCCGACGGUUAAGUACAAAUAAUCGGUCCAAGAAAUGGGUGCAAGUCCGUAUUCCAACGUCGCAUUCAACACGUCGAUCCAAAGCUGUUCGCCGCCGACAUCGGCGUAAAGCCUGUCUAUCGAGACCCGGAUUCCGGUUCCGUUCCGACGUUUAUUCGCCAUCGAUCUCAUGUCCACCACGACCCCGUUUUCCGCCAUCGCUUGACCCCUGACAGAAUGACCGUGCCCUUUGGCUGCUAUACCAAAAGGAACUGAAUUGGAGUAGCUGAAUUUUAUGAGUGCAGCAAUGUCUUGUGGUGCUGAAGGGUGAAGAACUGCUUCGGGUUCGGCUUUUACGAUCCCGCCAAAGUCUCGAGAGGCUGAUUCGAUGGCAGAAGGGUCGACGGAGAGCUUGGUUGCAAGAUCAACGGCUCUGAUAUCCUUGUGAUGGACAUCUAACGGCUUUGAUAUCUUCAUGAUGGACAUCACACGGGUUAUAAUGAAUAUAGCUGUGAAAUAAGCUGGAAAUUGAAAACUCAUCACCAUUGUUUCUUUCUUUUUUCUUUUUGAAUUAAAGAGAAAAUGAAAAUUAAUGGAAAAAAAAUGUAAGCGAAAAGGGAAAGAAAAAAAGGCUAUGUCUUAGCUUAUUUUUCUAUGAGAUGUUCAAAGGGAGAAGAUGGUUAUAUAUAGUGCAUAGGAAAAUUUGCAUGGAAAUGAUAGAAGGUUAGAGCCGAAGGAAACGACGUCGUUGGCUAUCUGUAUUGUAUAUUUGUAUUGUUAAUCAGUAUCUAGUGCUAGUCAAAAUUAUAUUUAUAAAACAUUACGUAAUUAUUAUUUUUUUCUUAAAUUGAUUAAGAAUAAUGUAAAUUUUUUUAUAAAAAAACAAAAUCAAAUGAUUUUAAUUGACAAUUUGAGAAUCUAUUAUUAUUUAUUAUAAAUAAUAUAUAUAUCCAAAUAAUUAUAACUACUCAAAUUAUUAUAAGUCGAUUGAGUCUUAACUCAAUCGGUAUUAGUAUUGUUGUAAAUACAAAAGGAUAUAGAUUCAAAUAUGCUAAAACACAUUAUAAAAGAUAAAAUUACAGUUUGAAACAUUUAAAAAAUUGAGAAGAAAUUCUUCAAUUAGUAAAAAACUUCUAAAGUCGCUCAUGCUUUGUGUAUUUUAUUACUAUGAUUAUCACUACUAUGAUUAGUAUUAUUAUUAAUUAUCAUCAAAGAUUCCUCUGGCUAUAGCUAUAGCCAGGUAACCACUCACCCACAUGGAUUUUUAUUACUUGUGGGGGACCCAAAGCCGAGUUAUUUUCACCGUCCGAUCAUGAUCUUAUGGUCAAAAUUAGUCAAUAUUGGGUCAAUUUGGCUUCAGAUUCGAUAAAUUAUAUUGUUUAAAAUAUAUUAUUAUUUUAUACUCUUGCUAUUUUAGGAUGCAAGUUUGGUCAAAAUUAGGUAAUCAUCUAAAGCAUAUUCAAUUGCUUUUUAUUUUUAGGUUUUGAGGAAUUUUAUGAACUAAGGCAAUUUUUUUAAAAAAAGUUUCUUUUUUUUUUGUGAUUGGAUUAGAAAAUUUCCAACUUUCAAUUCCAGAUAUAUGAGGGUGGAACCAUUGAGAUAUAAAAUUUAACCUAUCAAAUUAUUUUAUUUUUAUUUUUAUUUUUAUAUUAAAUAUAAAAAUUUUUGUAUAAAUCAUGCCAAAACAUUUUCAUUUGAAUCAUCCCACAUAAUAUUUUUUUAAAAUAAAUAAUUUUAUAACUUAAUUAUUGCAUGUAAUGUGUGAUAUAUAAUUAAAAUUUCUUUAAAAACUUGAAUAAAUUUACAAAAAAAAGUUUUCUUUAAGAAAACACUAAUUAAUUAACAAUUCCCAUUUUGUUUUAAAGCUGAAUUAAAAAAAUUAUCCUACUAAUUAUCAAACUCUUUUUGAAUUAAUUAAUGAAGUUUCAAACUUUCAAAAAGACUUUGGAGAACAAAAUUAAUUAAGUUUAAUUAUAGGAUCUAAACUUAUCUCAUAUAUAUAUAUAGACAUCAACUAUAUUAUCUAGGAAUAUUAAAAAAAGCAAUUUGCAUUCAACAAUAAAAUAUAACUAGAGGACAAGUAUCAUGCCAUGCACAAGGAAGAAAAUUACAUGUUUCCCUUUAUUAGUAAAGUAUUAUAGAGGCCCCUAUAUUUGAGAUUGGAUAGCAUUUUGUCGCCUCUAUUAAAAAAUGGGUAAAUUAGUCUCUAUAUGUUAGAUCAAAGAGCAAAAUGGUUAUUUAUUACUACCGUUAAAAAUCGAUCAUUGUACGUCAAUAUGAGGUACAUGUGGCAUAUUAUAUGUUAUUGUCUUUUUAAUAGUAUAAAAUAAAUAAAAUUUUUAACAGAAAUGACCAAUUAGUAAUUAAUUUAACCAUAUUUUUUUAGUAGACAAUAAUUUCAUCAAUUAGAUUUAAUAUUUAAUUCAACAAUUAUAUACAAAUAUUAAAAAUAAUAAUCCAAGCAUCUAUAAUAUUUUUUAUAAAAAAAAUAAAUUAUAUUGAAAUUGUAUAAUGAUAUAAAUUAUGUCCUAGAUACGGUUGGAAUUCAAGUAUUUAGACUAAAAAAAAGAACAUAAAUUCAAAAGGAAAAUCUUUGACCUAAAGAUCUGAUAGGUAUAAAGACCUGUCAGAUAGGAGACCCUUCAACAAUUUCCAUGCACCUAUAUAGCUUGUAUUAAUCUUAAAAUGUAGUUAAGAAUAUAAUGUUUAACAUUCAUGUGCAACAUGCAAUUGUCUAAAAUAUUAAGAAACAUGACAAAUCAAAUGUAAGAAAGAUCAAUGUCCGAUGGGAACAUCAAGAAACUGUAUAUGCUGAUAACAACUAAGCAUGCCAUACUCACAUGGCAAAACAGUGAUAGUUAGGUCUCUUUAUACCUAAUAUCAUACAGUGAAAACAAUGGUGCCUCCACAUAAUUGGGAUGCAUAAAAACGAAAUUGAAUUAUAAAUUUUUUAAAGGUUAAUUUGAGAUUUUAUUAUUUAAUUGAAUCAUAAUUUUAAUUUUUGAGACUAAAUUUUUUUUCCUGUCUCUAUCCGCUUUAAAAUUUUGAAAUAAUUAUUAAUUCAUGAAUUAUAAUUAAAUUACACUUAUCUUCAAAUUACAAUUUUUUAUUAUAUGGGGUAAAAAGUUAGCCAAAAGUUAAAAUUUUUCACCAUCCAUAUAUAUCAAAUCAUCAUGGCCAUUCUUGAUAUUUUUGAGGCUUUAGACAAAUAAUAAAUUAGAUGUCUUUUAAAAGAAGUUAUAAAAUAUAAUACGAUAAAAGUUGAAAACUUUUGGGGUCCUAAAUUUUUUUCCCAUAUUAAAAAUUGAAAAAAUAUUUUAUUUUUAGCCUCUUCUAGCCUUACACUUUGGACAUCUGCACUCUCAAACAACCCCAAAGCUGGGCCUACAAAUUAUUAUUAUUAUUAUUAUUAUACAUGUAAAAUCAUUUGAAUUUAAUUUGUUUUUUCUUUUAUACCAAAAAAAAAAGUGAGGUAGUGAAUUUUCCUAAUCAUGAAUGUGAAAUUCAAAACAUUAUGAAAAGUGGGGCAAAGGGGAGAAUUCAUAUAUAUUCUUUUAAAUGAGUUGUUCUAUAGGUGUCAAUAUAAUAAUCCUAUAUAUAUUUACCAUGUGCUUUUAACCUAUAUUUAAAUUAUUAAAAUCAACUAAAGAAAAAACAUCAUUAUUUCUUAAUCCUGCUUAUAGGAUUAAAAGGUUUUUGAUAAUAUUUACGGGAAAAGUUUGUAUGAAAUAAAAAUAUUAUCAUUUUCUAAUAGUUCAAUGCCCUAUUAAUAUUUUCAUUUUAAAUUUUAAGAUUUUCAUUAUCUUGAAAAUUUUGUAAGGACAUAAUAGAGAAAAGAGGGAAGACAUAAUAAGAUACUGAAUAUAUUUUUUGAGAUCAAAAUCACUCUACAAGAUCACAUGGUCCUAAAAUGAAAAUCGAAAAUCAAUUCGAAUCGUCAUAAAUUAUAUAAUAAAAAAGGCAAUAACUUUGCACGGCCAAAAUCUAUGUCCACUGUGAUCCCUUAUCACGUACAGCAAUCAUAUCUAAACUCAUACGUGCAUGAAAAAUGAAAUGAAGUACAAAUAAUUAAAGCACGUUUCUUAAUUACGCAGCAUAUGAAUUUGUUCUUUAAUUUGCCAAAAUAAAGUUGGCUCAUCAUGUGAAGAGUGUAAGGAAUAUCUUUUCGAUUGAUUUGAACUUAACCAUAUUUCUCUUUCACCAGUUCCCAUAAUUGACAGCUAUAAACUGUGUUACAUCGAAUUAUAUGUUUGAUAUGAAUAUAUUUAAUCUUUUUAUAAAUAUUAUAAUGUAUUUAAUUAAUUUUAAAAAACAAUAUUUUUAUAUUUAUAAUUGAAUAUGUAUGGGAUACAAAUAUCGAGCAUGGUGAAGAAGAUUUGCUGUCAUGCCCGUGGGUGGAAGGUACUUAUUGGAGCACCUAAGGUAAAAGGAAAAAAGUUUGACCAAACGAUCCCACUUGCAAAUGCAACUUGCUAUAGGUGCUUUUGGCUGCCUAUUAGGGUGUUUUACAGCACAAAUUUUCAGCAGAUAAGCUAGAAUAUACAUCCUAGAAUAGUAGGAGCCAUUGGGUCAAUAGGGCUCAGAUUAUUCUAAAUUUAGAUAAAUUUUAGAUUUGAUUCGUUUUGAGUUUUAAGUUCUUUUAAAUUUAAGUUUUUAUUAUAUUAUAUUGAUUCGAAUGAAUAUGAUAUCAAUUAAUGCGUUAAUUACAAUCAAUUUGAUAGGAAUAGAUUUAAAGGAAAUGAGUUAUGUCAACGAAAAUAAAAGAACAGUAUUAAUUUAUUGUUAUACCUACGCUUCGCGAAUUUACCUUUUGUAGUACACCUUCCAUUACAUAAGCCCACAACAACGCAAGCAUGCACUAUGGGGAUCACAUCGGAUAGAUGAGAGAUAUUUGUAGAUUAUAUCUACUAUUGUUUUGUCAAGGCAACUCAUAUUUAGAGGUGAGCAAAAUUCGAUUUGAUUCGAAAAACUCGAUAAAAAAUUUAAAUUUUAAAUUAAAUAGUUCGAAUUUUUGAAUUAAUCAACUUAUUCGGAUCAAUUCGAAUAAAAAAUUAAGUUUUUCGGUUUGACUCAAAUAUGAAUUACACAAUUCAAGUUAUCCGAAAAUCCGAAUAAAAAAAGACAAAACUACGUUGUUUUGAUAAAUGUUUACUUUUUUAAAAAGUUAAAAUUUAAAAUAAUUAAAUUAAAAGAUAAAAAUACGUCAUUUUGAUAAAUGUUAACCCAUUAAGUUUCAUUAUAUUAUUCAUGUAGUUAAAUAAUCUUAUACUUCGUUUACUAAUUAAAUAAUCGACCCAUCUAAACGCAACAUUAAGUAUAAAUAAUAGAAUUCAUUAACUUGACUCGAUUUGACUUGAAAUUUUUUGCCUCGAUUCGAUUCAAUUCGAAAAAAAUUAAAAUUGAGUUCAGUUACUAAAAUAGGAUUUGUCAACUCGACUAACUCAAAAUUUUUUGACUCGAUUCAACUCGACUCGAUCGAAUACUCACCCUACUCAUAUCUAAAAGAAAAUGAUAUCUAUAUAUCGAUUAGAACCAGCAUGUAAUACGCGCCUAUUAUAAGACCCUUUUAAGGUCAAGAAUUCAAGAUAUCGCUCCAACUCUCUCUUCCAAACACUAAUAACAUCUCCUACAAUUAUCUCACCGAGUGAACCAUCAUCAACCACCAUAAUUCUUACUUAAUAUCAACAUAUAUUAUAUUUAUAUAUGAUCCCGAAUGAACCAUCUACCAUUAUUAAAUAUAUAUAUUGCUUGUGAUGUAUAAAUUUUUGCAGUGGCCUGCAACUUCAAAAGAAUCAAUCUCAUAUUCCGAGUACGUAUCUGCAAAUAUCAGAUACGUUUGAAUGAUGAUAGUCCAAUAUUAUAAUAUGAAACCAAAGUUGUGUUUGUACGAAUUUUGGGUCCCAGUUGCAGUCCAAAUUGGUACCAAAAAGAUUAAGAUUUGGAUACUCUCUCACAGCAUCAUCAUCCUCCCAUCUUUUGUUACCUCAAUCAAUCAUGCUAUCCGUACUCCAUUGAUGCCUUCCUACCACAACAGAAUCUGUGAAGUUCAUCUCUUGUAACAGAUUAUGUCUUCUUUUUUUCCUUUUUACCCCCAGAGUUUUUGCGUGCCAUUGUACUUGUAUUUUGUUCUUUAGUCACCAUUGCUAUGCCAUUGUUUUAAAGACAAUACUCGUUUAAUAAAUGGUUAAACAUGUUUCGAUUAUAUCUUUUUUAAUCACCAAAGAUGAUGUGAUAGUUUUUAAAAUUGGUAUAAUAAUAAUUUUAGUCUUUAAUAUUUAUAUAUUGUGCCAAUUUAGUUUUGAAUUUAAAAAAAUUAACCAACAUUGAGGCCUAAACUUCUUUUCAAUCUAAGUUAAUCCCUGGACCUAAAGUUCAAGCUCUAAUGUAGAAACAAUUGUUAAGUUCAGAUCCCAAUACAAGAAUAAUUGCUAAGUUUAAGGACUAACUUGGAUAAAAAAAUUCAAGCCCUUAAUCUUAAACAUUUAAUAUUACCAUUUUAAUAAAAAAAUAUUUAUUUAUUAUAUAACUUUUAAUGUGUCAUAAUCUAAACAUGUGAAUUUAUAGGAACCUAUAUAUUAUAUUCUCUUCUCUUCUAUUUAAUUUCAAGCAUAAAAGAAAACGUGACACCUAUAUAUUGAUAUAUUCUUUAGGUCGGGUUAUUUAUGCAGCAUCUUUUACUCGUUUGCUUUUAUUUAUAUAUAAAUAUAUUUGGUAAAACUAUAAUGAAAGUCCUUGUAUUAAGAAUCAGAUAGCAUUUUACCCUAUUUACUUAAAAAAAAUAGAUAAAUCAAUCUUUGUACAUAAAAUCAAAUAGCAAAUUGGUCCUUUUGUUACAAGUUUCAUCAAUUUCUACUGUUAAUUGAUGGCAUGCCAUUGUUUGAUUGCUUGAAUUAGUCCAUCCACAUAAAAAAUUCCAUGAAUUUCAUAGUAUAUUAAAAAUUUCAUCCAUUAUGCUUGAAUUAAUCCCUCCGCGCCAAUAUUUAACAGUAGAAACGGAUGAAUUUUUUAACAUAAUGACUAGUUUUCUCUUUGAUCUAAUGUGUAGAGUCUAAUUUACUCAUUUUUUGAGUAGAAAAGACAAAAUGCAAUCCAACUCCUAGUAUAGAGAUCUCCAUGGUCCAUUUACGAACAUAAUUUCAUAUGAUUAUUAUGUAUAAAUAUAUAGGUGUACAUACUUGAAAUGUUCCUCUAUUAUAGAGACCUGAUUAAAUUAGUCUCUCUAUUACUAAAUGGAUCAAUUUAGUCAUUAUACUAUUAAAAGGAAUCAAAUAAGGCCAAAUUAUAAUAAAGUUAUCAUUUACCGUUUAACAAAGUUAAUAAUUUUAAAGUUUUUAUGAAUCUUUUGUUAAUAAUUAAACUAUAAUUUAAAAAAAUAUUUUUUAUACUGCAAAUGUUAACUUUGUUACAAUUUAGACUUAUUUAAUUCUUUUUAAUAGUAUAGAGAUUAAAUUAAUCCAUUUAAUAAUAGAGUGAUUAAUUUGAUUCAAUUCCUAUAUCUAUAAUAGAACCUGAUGGUCCGACCUGACCCGAAGGGCUGUCCAAAAAGUGGGAGGGUUUGGAAAAAAAUAUAAGCCCGAAAAAUGAGCUUUGGCAAAAAAAACAAGGCCUAUUUUCUAAACGGUCCGAGCCUCGGGUAAGCUUUUUUUUUACCCUGGCUCAACCUGAAUUUGCAAAAAAAAACUUGCUACUGUUUUCACUGCUUUUGUUAUUUUUUUUUUCCUCGUUUUCUCCCCCCUGUUGUUCUAAAUUUUCGAUUAAUUUGUAUGACCAUCAAGGAACUUUUUUACUUAUUUCUUUUAUUCUAAUGGAUUUUUUUCUAAUUGUUUGAUUGUUGGGAUUAGUUAUAACUUUAUUGAAUAAAAAUUUCAAAAUUUUGACUCGAUCCUCAGAAUCGAUAUUUCCCUAUUCAUCUUCUGUUAAUUUCAAUAAAGAGAGUUUUUUUUUUCUAUUGCGAAUGAUUUUAUAUUGAGUGUAUCUAGUGUCUGUUCAAGUUUGUGAUAAUCAGUAGUAAAAAGUAGAGCAUAAAUUUUAUUUAUCUAAAACGGAUCUAUUUAUUUUUUAAAGUUUGAUUUAUGCUUAAAGGAGAAACCCAUUUUUUUUUAAAUGCAAUCUCUGACAGUGCUGUCAUUUUGGUAUCGUACAGAACAAACAAAUCUAAUCUGAUUCUCUCAAAAAAAUAAAUGUUAGGAUUUGACCCAACAAAUAUAUAUAUUUUCAAAGGACUGUCCCAAAUCAUUAUCCCUUCUUUUUUUUCUUCAACAAAUAAUUUUUUUUAAAAUUAUAUAAUAUUUACCACAUGUUACAUGGGCAAAUUUAUAAUAAAAAAACAGUGCCAUAUAAAGAAAAAUAACAACAAAAUUACAAGUAAAAGCAUCAUAUUCUUAUGACAAAAAAAAAAACCCCUUAAUUCUUGACAAAAUAGAAGAAAAAAUUCAAAGGAAAUAAAAAUUUUCAAAAGAUUCUUUCAAUGUGAUAGCCGCAGAUGUGACAGAGAAAAAGAAAAGAAAAUCAAAUGCCCAUUAUGAAAGACAAAAUUAAAAUAUAACUUAAAAAUAAUUAAUGCUCUCGUGGGACACCGUUGAUCUGUUGAAAAUUGCUUGAUUCAUAUAUGAAUUUUUUCUAAAAUUUAAAAUUGUGAAAAUAUUUUACUUAAUCGAUAUGUGUAUUGUUGCUAAUGUAGUAUAAUAUAGAUUCGAAUAUAUUGAAGUGCAUUAUUUUUUUAUUUAUAGGUUAAGAAAAGGCUAUGAAUAGUUCUAUUUAUUACGUCAAAAAGAACAGAUAUGAUCAGAACUUAUAAUGAAGUAUUUAAAAAAUUUUAUGAAAAUUUUUUAACGUGGAAUUUGUUAGUAACGAGUUUAUGGUGUUAAAGAAGAUGAUGGUUUGUGUCGAAAGUCACAAAAUUUUGUACUAAUUGGACUUUCAAAUUUUGUCCAAAGCUUCAUUAUUCUAAUGUACUCAAUAAAGCAAAACAAAAAUGAUUUAGAAGAAUCAGAUUUGAAAAUUUAGUCACACCUUAUUAGUUAUUACAUGAUGCCCCACGUUAUUUAAAUCAAUUUAGUUUUUUUUUUAAAAAAAGAAGACAUUUUUAGUUUAAAAUUUAAAAAAAAUUUCGAAUUUCAAAUUUAAUUUAUCAAAUAUCAUCGAUUCUUGAAAGUUAUAAUAUGAAAUUAUUGAACUAAUUAAGCCUCAAGUUCGAUUUUAUUUACCUUCAAUUCUUAUUACAUAUGGUUGCUGUUAUUAAUGAAAUGUAUGAUUUGAAUAUAAUAAAAAAACUCGAGUAACAAAUAAUGUUGAUAUUCGAAUUCCAAGCUGUAUCGUUUUCGUAUAUUUUAUCGUACUAUAAUAAUAUAUAUUAUAAAGUAGAGGAGGAUCUCUUCUGUAACUUUUUAUACAAUUAAAAUUUUAAUGAUUCAACUGUUCAAUAAUGAUUUACAUAUAAUAUUUUAGAUCGAUACGAGGGAGAUAUCAAAUUUAUUUAAAACUUUGCAUACAUGACAAGUAAAAUUAUAUCGAUAAAUUCAACAGUUGAACUGAUAUAAACGGGUCCCUUCCCUAAAAAAAUAAUAUUUAUAUAUAUUGAUACUUAAUAAUUUUUAUUAUAUAAAUUUUCAAAAGAUUUACAUACGUUUUUUUAAAGAGUACGGAUGAGCAGGACAAGAAUUCUAAAUGAGAUCAUCAAUGGGAGUGAGCAAUAUAGAAGAAAUAAAUGACGAAAUGCAUUACAUAUACAACCCAACCACUCAUGAUUCCAUAUCUACAUGAUCUUUGGAAUGAAAGAUAACAUGACGGUCCAACUAUCCACAUUAAUUAAUAUAUGGAGCAUUUCAACUCAUUUUCUUUAAUACAAAAUAUUAGAAAUGUUGCCGAUUGAAUCUUAACUCGAUUAAUAUUAAUAUUAUUACUAGUGCAGGAGAUCAUGGGUUCGAGUACGUUGAAGUACAUUAUCCUCCUAUUUAAAGGUCUGAAAAUAGCUAUGCCUAGUUCUAGACAUGGUAUCGAAAAGAGCAGAUAUGAUAAGAACUUAUAAUGGGAUUAAUGUUCAAAAUAUUACACCUGUUCGUAGGUCGGAUUUGUUUGACUUGUUUUAGGUUGAGUGCAGAUUUGUUUUCCUAAUUUUGAGUUGGCUUGAUUUAUUGUAAUCAUCCAAUUAUUGGUAAAUUUCAUUUUGGUCAUCCAAUUAGAAAAAAAAAUACAAAAUAGUCAACUAGUUGUUUGAUUUUGUCUUUUUUAGACACCAGCUAUUAAAAGGUGACAUAAAGUUAACAUGCAAACUUUUAUGGGUAUAUUCAGAAUAGAGAAUGACUAGAGAGGUCUUUUUACUGAAAUAAUUGAAAUAAACAAGAAAUCAAAAAUGAAAAAGGAGUACCAACAAGUGGUUGAGUACAAUGGUAAGACAUAUUACACUCUAAAAAAAAAUAUAGGUUUGACCAUUAAAGAUAAUAUUAUUAAAAAUAGCAGUUACAAAUAUCAAAUAUAAACCGUAAAACGAACUUGUAAAAGAAAAAGAAAAAAAAAAGCGUUUUGAAACACUUAAUAAGGGUCUUUUUACGUCUAGUCCUUGGUGUCUUAAAGGCUGGGAAAGCCCCGAGACUAACCAAUUAUAACGCCCACAUAGAACUUUUUAUGGGCCCAAGCCUCAAGGCAUACUAUAUUUACUUCAUAUAUAUGUACACAUAUUCUAAGAACUUAUCUGUACUAACUCGAUUAUGUGAUUUUGACUUGAUUAUUGUGAUUUUUUAAAAUUAUUUUUUAUUUAGAAAUUUUUUUGAAUAUGCUUUCAUAUUCAUGGGUGUUGCAUAUAAGAAUGUGUCCUACAUGCAAAAAGAAAAAAAAUUGCAAACUAGUUCAAUUUUAAUGACCGUUAAAUUUCAGGUUGUAAUAUCUUAUUAUGAAAUUUAUUUGUCCGUUAACUUGAUCAACCCAUUUAAUACAAAGAAAGCAAUUACGAGAGUCGACUUUCUCUCUUAUAUAUAUCUCGUCCCAUUUCUCUUUUCUUUCCACUAAAAUUCUUCCCAAUCUCUUCCAGAAAAAAACUUAUUAUUUUCUACAUGUUUUUUAGAAAAGAAUAGUCAUUUUAAAGCUUUAUGGAGAAUACAUAUAAAUCAUGUCGUAAAUAUAGUAAAAUUUUCAACUCAAUUUUUAUAAAACUUUUGCUAUAUUUGUAGAAUUUUUUUUAAAGAUUUUGAGGAAUUAAAUAUUACUUUUUGAGAUAUUUUGAACAACAAAAAGAUGGAGUUGUUUGUCCUCGAUAUAAUUUAGAAUCUUUGAAGGUUAAUGAGCGUAUCUUAGACCAUUUGAAGAGUGUUAGACUAUCAAGACCUACAAAAAUAAAAUCUACUUCUAAAUAUAAUAUUAGCAGAUAACGGCUAGUAGGGUCGUAUUCACAAUAAUAAUUUUACAGUAAAAGAAACAAGUAAAGUAAAUUUAGGGGUUUUGAAAAUUCAAAGGGAAAAACUUUAGCCAAAUGUAAAAUCUUUGUUUGAUUCAUAGAUUCAAUUAUCGACGCAAGGAUAUCUUCAAUGUCUUUAAUAAAUUAGUUCCAGUUACUAAUUCAAUGCCGAGCAACCAAUCUCUCAUUGCUUGUUCAGUAACUAAUAGGCAAUUCAUUUAAAAUUACUUCCUCAACCAAUAAAUAACCUUAUAACUCAAUGCCUAAUAUUUAACUUACUGACAACAUUAAAAACGAGAGACAUUUAAUUCUAACAAAAAAAACUCACUUCAAUGAGGUUUAUUUAAGCUAGACCAUACAUCAACACUACAUAAUUAUAAACUACAACAUAAACAAUUAUGUAAUUCAUCAUUAGUAUUAGAAUGAAUUAAACAAUUAUAGAUUUAAUUAUUAUAAUUGAUUUACUAUUUUAUGUUUAUAUAAUCAUAUACAAAUAAUUAUAUUAAUUCAAUAUAAAAAUAAUUUUAUUUUUUUAUUUUUUUAAAUAUAUAUAAAUAAUUAUAUUAAUCUAAUAUCUACAAUCUAAAAGUUUUUUUUUAGGAUGAAAAAUCCCAUUUAAUUCAAAAAAUUAGUUCUACAAUGGAGAAGUCCUUAUCGUAAUAGAAAACACCCCUAAUUCCUAUAAGUCCAUUGAUACGAGUAUAUAUAUGAGCUCGGUGGGUACAAGGAGGAUCCUAUCUAUUGUUGUUCUUGCUUAUUUUGUUUUUGCUAUCACAAGAUUUGCUGAUAUUUCUUAAGGAUUGUAUUUUUUUUUUCCAAACAAUACAUACUUCUAGACCUGUUCAUAUGUCGGGUUAUUUACCCAAACUUAAAGGUUUAUUCGAAAUUUGAGAAGGUUUAAGUAAAAAUAGUAGACCUGAAAAAUGGAUUUGGACAAGAAAAUUAGACCCAUUUAAAAUAUGGGUCGGGUUUAGGCUUAAACAUUCAAAGCUCAAGCUCGACCCAACCUAUUUUUAAGUUUAUAAUACUUUAUAUUAUGUUAUUUUUAUAUAUUAUAUAAUUUAGAAUACAUUAAAAAAUAAACAUAUAAAUAUAUAAUAAAAACCUUUAAAUAAUGUUAAGAUUACUAUAUAAAAAUUUUUAAUAAAUAAAAAAAUAUUAAAAUAUUAAAUAUUAAAAUAAUAUAAUAUAAAUAUUUUUAAAAAAAAUUAAAAAUAAUAUAGGCGGGCCUAAAAUGGACUUGAGUUGAUCUUUUGCAAAUAUGGACAAAUAUGGAUAAAAUUUUAAGCCUAUAUUUAGGGUUAGACCAAGUCAAGCUUGGGCAAGUAUAAAAUAUAUUAAUAUCAUGUAGGAAUGCUAUGGAUUGGGUCGGGCCUAAGCAUGAUAUUAAAAUGUUUUAUGUUUGCCCAAGCCUGGCCCGACCUAAAAUAUGAGCUUAAAAUUUUGCCCUAACCCAAGUCCAUUUUAAGCCCACUCAUAUUAUUUUUGAUUUUUUUUUAAAUAUUUUAAUAUUUGAUAAUUUUUUAUUUAUUGAAAUUUUUUAUAUAGUCAUCUUAACAUUAUUUAAUGUUUACAUUAGAGUAUUAUUGUAUAUUUAGUAUAAAUUUAUAUUUUCAUGCGUUCUAAAUUACAUAAUAUAUAAAAAUAACAUAAUAUAAAAUAUUAUAAACUUAAAAAUGGGUCUGGCCGGAUUCAGGCCUUAAAUAUUCAAGCUCGAGCUUAGCCCAUAUUUUAAAUGGGCCUAAUAUUUUUAUUCGAGUCCACUUUUGAGCAUAAUAUUUUUACCCAAACCCUCCUAAAUUGUAAGAGAGGGGCCUUCAAGCCUAAACGAGUUAUCCACCAUAAGCAAGUAUAAUAUUAUGCUUAAACUCAAAUAAAACUGACCCAUAAACACCUUUUCAUAUUUCCAUCUAUAAAUAUUCUAAAGGGAAAUAUAUACAUCAUGCUUCUGCAUAUUUGACAAAUAUAUAUAUCAUUGGUACAGUUUAAAUAUUAUUAUUUGCUGACACAAAUGGUUUAUUAUGUGUCUGUAAUUAUCGAUGUCAUUGUCUGAAACCAUGUCUGUGAUGUGAACUUUAUAGCUUUCAAGCUUUGGUUUUUUCUUUGUUACCAAAAACAAGUUGCCUAUUAAAUUUUUCUAUGAAAUUAAUUACGUAUUAAGAUUUAAAUUAUUGAAAUUGACAUUUAAAAAAUAUAUGACAUGAAAUAGUUGAUCUACAUCCACAACUGAUCACGUUCCAUACGAGACAAAUGCCACAACAACUAUUCCGUUGCCUAUGCACAUUAACAAUUAUUCCAUCGCUAUACAUUUUUUUUAGUAUAUAUAUUUUUAAUAAUAUAAAUUAUUAAAUUAGUCACUUUUGUUUUUCUUAAGUUACAUUUUAGUUGUUUACGUUUGAAAUGUUACGUUUUAGUUAUUUAUAUUAUCAUUUUGUUACUAAAUGAUCACUCUAUCGUUAAGAUCUAUUACCUUCUACACGGCAGUCUGACGUGACAGUUAAAGAGUUUUAAAUGCCACAUGUAUAUCCAGUUGGGAUGAGAAAAGUUGAAUUUUUUUAUGAAAAUAGAAUACAAAAUUUUGCCCAGUUGGGUAUUAUUUGUUACCAUAAGAGAAAAAAAAUGACAGAUAAGGAGAAGAAGAAAUGGACGCACCAACCUCUAUAAUUGAUUCCUAUUGUGGUUGCUUAACUAUGUUGAAAACUUUAUAGUCAAAUGAAAAUCUAUUUUAACUACCAAGUUGAAUUACCAUUUGAAAGGUAACAAAUAUUACGACAAAGUGGCCAUCUUGUAAUAUAACAACAAUGUAAGUAAUUAAAAUAUAUAAAUCGAAUGAUAUUGUAAUAUCAAAUCGAUAAAUAAUAUUUUAUGAUUCGAUUUUGUGAUUAUUUUUUAAAUGUAGGUUUACAUUACUUGCCAUUUGAGCACAUCCUGUGACGCAAAAUAGAAUCCAAUCUCUGCAACUUAAGUUGCUGCUUAAAUUUGUUAAUGAAAUCGUCAGCUUUAGCAUCAACACUAUGAUCUUCCUCUUCAAACGGCGUCGUCUCCUCCACUUCUUCCUCUUCUUUUUCCACCUUGCGCCUUGAUUUCUUCAUCUUCUCUGAUAAUUCCCUUUGUGUUACCGUAGGCUCUGAUUGGACUCUUUUUACUUCACCAUGAACCGGACCUAAACCCGUUUCUGAACCGUUCGAAUCAGUUCCAGUGAGUUCGGUUUCGUUUGGUUUAACCGAAUCCGGUUUGUAAAACGAUUUGACUCGCUCUAAGAGCGACGGUGCUCGGCUGAGUAGUGAUUUUUGAACCGGUUCAAUACAAUCCGUUUCUGGACUUUGAGGAGAAUAUGAAUAUCUGUAGAAGUUGAAGGACUUGACUCGUUCGAGAACCGACGGGGCUCGCUCCAGCCGAUAGGCUGCUGAGUCGUCAUCGAUGUCUGGGUUCGAAAGAGGAAACCUGUACGUCGAGAAGUUGAAAGACUUGAUGCGGCUGAGGAACGACGGAGGUCGGUGGAGUGACGGCGGUGGGGAUGAUGAAGAGUUGUAGUCGUCAGCGACGUAGGGCGUUUUGUGAGGACAGAGGCGGGAGAUGAGGAAGAUAGUGGCGAUGGUUAUGUUGAGGAAGAUGAAAAGAGAGGCCGGCGAUAACCAGGUCGCCGUUAAAUCUGACAUACCGGAAAACAUCAUGGUAAGGGGAAAGUAUAUUGCUGAGAAGACGAAAAAAAGGAAGUGAAAAUUUGGUGCUAGGCGCCUCGAAGUAGAAAAAUAAAUGUUGCUGCAUGGGCAUUUAAAAUCUUUAAAAUUUAAUUUAAUAUAAUAUCGACUUUUAAUUAUUAGGGUAAAUUUCACUAUUAGUCAUUAAAAUAUAGGUAAGUUUUAGUUUGGUCACUUAACUAAAAAAUGUUAUAAUUUGGUCAUUGAACUAUUCAUAGUUUUCAUUUAAGUCAUUAAGCUAUUAAAAUCGAUACUAAUGACUUUCUUUAUACGCAUUACCUACACCAAGAGUUCUCUUUCUCUUUCUCUUCUACAGUUCAGUUUUUUUUUCAUGAAACAACUUUGGACAUCAAGAAUUUGCGAGUCAAAAUUUAAACAGUUUUUUUUCGAUCUCUAAAUUGACCGUCAGAUCGACUUGGAUCUAAUAUAUGUUUCUCUACUCGUUGAUAGGUAUUGAUCCAUCAUACUUAUCUCUGAAUCAUCGCUUGAUGCUCGCUGACAAAACUUUUUCUUAAAAAAGAACUUAAUAGCCCAAUGAUUUAGUAACUAAAUUGUAACUUUUUUUUAAAUGACCAAAAUGAAAAUUUAACCAUAGUUUAAUCACUAAGAGUGUAGUUUACCCUUUAAUUUAAUAUAAUUUCUAAUCAUUAUUUGAAUUAUUCUUUUUGGUAUUAUGCUAGUGAGAACUUGAAGUAAUGACACUAUUUUUCAAAAAAUAUUUAAAAAUUCCAAGAAAUAAAUAAAUGGAAUAUAUCUCAUCAUCUUAAGUGUAGUUAAUAAUAAUUCUAUUGUUAUUGAUAUUAUAUGUUAAUUUAAAUCAUUAAUACAAUUAAAUUUUUUUAUUAAGACACAUUAUAUUUUUAAGAGGAGGAUUUUGAACAAUCAGCAACUAACAUUGACGAUAAAUUGAAAAGUAAAAAAGAUUAAAGCGCGAAGUUAAAUUAAUAUUUUAAAAUUACAAGAAAUAAUUAUUUUAACCAGAAAUUUGUGGAGACACAAAUUCCACGACAGAAUCUGCAAAACAAGCAAGUCAGCUUCCAUUGAUGAUGAGUACCCUAUCAAAGUUUCUUGGCCAAAAAACUCUUCUUUCGAUGAUUUGAUAGACCAACAUAGAAGGGUGGUCCUGAACACUAAGUAAAUGUACAGUCCUGAAAAUCGAAAAUAUCACCUGCAAAUUGACGACAACUAUGUGGAUCAAAACUUUCUUCAACAUUUGCUAUGAUGUUGUAGUCGCCAGCAAGUACCCAAGACUUGUCAGCCUGCAAAUAAACUAAAUGCUUCCAUAAUCUUCUUCUUGCAAUGCCCUCAUUCCUUCCAUAUAUAACAGUAAAAAACCUAUGCUUGAACACAUAAUUCACAAGUAAUACUUUGAUCUGUACUGAUAACAAAGCUCAAAGACAUGCUACACUGCCACAAAAUUAAUAUUCUAACAUUAUUAUCUUCAUUAUGAUUAAGCAAAAAAUGCCAACCCCGAUGAAUCUGCUGCAAAUUACUCUUUAUUCUAGUUUCCAUCAAACGUAUAACGUUUAGUUGAAGUUUGGUUGCCCUACUUACAAUACUUCUCUGUGGUCGUUCAUCCCCCUCACAUUCCAAACAAUCUUGGUUAUUCCAGUUGAAGGUAUCCCUAUGAUUCAACUUUUUCAAAAAAGGAAGAGACUGAAGAAGGAACUUAGGAAGUUUAAUAACAGUGUAUAUGGAGAUUAUGACCUAUUUCUUGUUGUACUGUGGUUCAUAAAUGUAAUACAAGAAUCCUGGUGGCUAGAUUGAAUAAGUUACUUAUUGAAUAAGUUACUUACCUAAAUCCAUGGCAAGAAAUCAGUCCACAUUCAUGAAAGGAAGACGUAUCUUAUGAUAAUAUCCUCCUUGCACAAGAACUUGUUCGAGGCUAUGGAAGGAAGUCAAUCUCUCCUCGAUGUGCUCUUAAAGUAGACUUGCAGAAGGCAAUUUGACUCAGUAAGUUGGGGCUUUCCCUUUGUUGUGGGGUAUCCUUCAACAUUUAUUGAGUGGAUAAGGGUAUGCAUUACAACUCCUAGAUUUUCUGUAUCCAUCAAUGUAGGCUUGGUGGGGUUUUUUAAAAGGUGCUAAAGGGGUGAGGCAAGGGGAUCCAUUGUCCCCUUACCUCUUUCUCAUUGUUAUGAAUGCUCUUUCUAAACUUCUUGAUGCUGUAGUUGAGAAUGGGCUCUUCUAUUAUCACCCAAAAACUAAGAAGAUCCAUUUAACCCACUUAUGCUUUGCUGAUGACUUCUUGAUUUUUGCAAAAGGAAGAACUGGUUCUAUUUUGUGGAUUAAGCUCGUGUUGAAACAGUUUUAACUCUUUUUCUGACCUAAAGCUAAACUCUUUCAAAAGUGAGCUUUAUUCUUCAGGAAUGACUGAAAAUGAGUUGCAUAAGGUCAAAUCACUUACAGGGUUUAUAAUUGGCAAGCUCCCUGUACGGUACUUAGGGUGCCUCUUAUGACUCGCCAACUAACUGAAAGGAAUUGUGCACCAUUAUAGGAUAAAGUAAAGGCGCGCACACACUCUUGGGCAGCAAGGUUCUUAUCUUAUACCGGUAGAGCUCAACUUAUACAAGCUGUGUAAUUCAAUAUUCAAAAUUAUUGGGCGAGAUAAUUUUUGCUUCCUAAAGCUAUUCUAAAGAAAAUUAACCAUAUGUGUAAAAGGUUUCUUUGAAAAGGAACUGAGGAAAAUGCUACAGGGCUUGGUUUCAAAGAUUUUAGAAGUUGGAAUCAAGCUAGCAUAAUUGGUCAUGUUUGGGCUAUUCUUAUGGAAUCGGGUUCUUUGUGGAUAACAUGAAUAGAAGCUUAUAUACUCAAAGAGAAGCAUUUGAUGCAAUUGCCUCACUCAAAGCUAUAGUUGGAGUCGUUGGAAGAAGCUGUUAAUGUUAAGGGAAGUAGCUUUGUAGGUGAUUACUCUACCAACUGAUAUUGCUGUUCCGCAAGGAUGUUUUGUGACGAAAAAAGUUUGGAAUGAGAUACAGUCAAAAGCUGUUAAAGUGCACCAUGGAGGAGGCAUGGAUGGCUUUGUAGAACAGGUUACCUACUAAAGAUAGGACCUCAAAUUGGGGGAUAACUAUUGGGAAUUAUCCAUAUUUAUUGAAAAUAAAAGAUAUGGGUAUCAAAUAAUAGAAAGUCAAAGAUAUGGGUAUCAAAUAUUGGAAAGUCAAAGAUAUGGGUAUCAAAUAUUGGAAAGUCAAAGAUAUGGGUAUCGAGAUAUUGGCAUAAUAAAAUCUGAGAUAUUUGCAAUAUAUGGUCCCUAAUUGUAAAGUGACUUUGCAAGUUGAUCCCUGAACCUCAACUAUAAAUAGGCAUAACCAUCUCUCAUUCUGUAUCUCAAACUUGCCAUUCUCUACUUAAGGCAUUGUUUUCUCUCUCUCUCUUUGUAAAUUCUCACUUGUAUUUUGGAGUGAAAUAUAUUUGGUAGUGCCCGAGGACGUAGGCAAAAUUUGCUGAACCUCGUUAAAUUCUUGUGUUCUUUAUUGUAUUAUUCUGCAUGAAUUGUGUGUGUGAUUGUAGUGAUUUAUUGUGCUAUUAAAUUACGAUUGAGGGAUAUUCUGGCUAGGAAAGACCUGGUACUUAAGUGAUCCUUGCGAUCCACCUCUCUUUCCUGGGAAUUGAACUUAGUGUGAUUUUUUAGUACAAUAAUUUUACUCUUUUACACGCUUCCGCACAACAAUUGGUAUCAGAGCUAGAUUCGUACUUGGGGAAUACGAUCGUUCACGGCACUGUUCACGUACUGUAGUUGGGAUUGAGGAGAAAAAAUGGAAAAGUCAUCGUCAAAGACUACUGUGACCAAUGCGAAAUUUGAAGUAGAGAAAUUUGAUGGUACCAAUAAUUUUGGUAUGUGGCAAUGUGAGAUCCUGGAUGUCUUAUGUCAGCAAGAGCUGGAUAUAGCCCUUGAAGAAAAACCUGACAAGAUGGAUGACAAGGAGUGGGCCAAGAUCAAUAGACAGGCAUGUGGAACAAUUCGCCUAUGUUUGGCCAAAGAGCAGAAGUACUCUGUCAUGAGGGAGACAUCAGCGAAGAAGUUGUGGGAUACACUGGAAGAAAAGUUUCUAACAAAAAGUCUUGAAAAUAGGCUUUAUAUGAAAAAGAAACUUUAUCGAUUCACGUAUGCACCCGGUAUGUCGAUGAAUGACCAUGUGAACUCAUUCAAUAAAAUUUUAGCAGACUUGCUAAAUUUGGAUGAGAAAUUUGAAGAUGAAGACAAGGCAUUAUUGUUGUUGAAUUCCCUUCCUGAUGAAUAUGAUCAUCUUACCACCACAUUGCUUCAUGGGAAGGACACGAUCAUAUUUGAUGCAGUCUGUAGUGCGUUGUAUAGAUCUGAGACUCGAAAGAAAGAUAAAAGAGAUCACAGAGAUACAAUCGCAGAAGUCUUAACAGUAAGAGGUCGUUCACACAGCAGCAAAUCUGGUAGAAGGGGAAAGUCCAAAGGGAGACCCGCCAAAAAUGAAUGUGCCUUUUGCCGUGAAAAAGGGCAUUGGAAAAAGAAUUGUCCUAAGCUACAAAAGGGCAAGGCUAUUUCUAAUGCAUGUGUAGCGGAGCAUGAUGAGGAGUCAGACUUUAGCUUGGUUGGCAUGGCAAUGGCAUGUCAAACGGAUGAGUGGAUUUUGGAUUCAGGAUGUACUUACCAUAUGUGUCCUAAUAAGGACUGGUUUUCUAGUCUUAAAGAGCUAGAAGGUGGAAUUGUUCUUAUGGGAAAUGAUAGUGCUUGUAAGACAAUGGGAGUGGGUACAGUCCAAUUGAAGAAUCACGACGGCUCAAUCCAAGUCUUGACAGAUGUUCGCUACGUACCUAGCCUGAAGAAAAAUCUCAUCUCAUUAGGUGCCCUAGAAUCUAAAGGGCUCACAAUCACUUUGAGAGAUGGAUUACUAAAAGUAGUAGCUGGGCAACUGACGGUGAUGAAAGGCACAAGAAGAAAUAACUUGUAUUUUUUAAAUGGAAGUACAGUUAUUGGAUCAACAUCAACAGUUUCUACAAAAGAUGUAGAUUCAGAGGCUACCAGAUUAUGGCAUAUGCGAUUGGGACAUGCUGGUGAAAAAGCUUUGCAGACAUUGGUGAAGCAAGGCUUAUUGAAAGGUGCAAAUUCUUGCAAAAUGGAAUUCUGUGAACAUUGUGUUCUGGGCAAGCAGAAGAGGGUAAAAUUUGGUCCAGCAAUUCACAAUACGAAAGGAAUUCUGGACUACGUUCAUAGUGAUGUGUGGGGACCUACCAAAGUAGCUUCUUUGGGAGGUAUGCACUAUUUUGUUACUUUUUUUGAUGAUUAUUCAAGAAAAGUAUGGGUGUAUCUAAUGAAAAGAAAAAGUGAAGUUUUGGAUGCAUUUCUGAAAUGGAAGAAGAUGGUGGAGACUCAGACUGGUCGAAAGGUCAAACGACUUCGAUCAGAUAAUGGUACUGAGUAUAAAAACGAUCCAUUUCUACAAGUAUGCCAAGAUGAGGGCAUUGUGCGACACUUCACUGUUCGGGAUACACCACAGCAAAAUGGGGUGGCAGAACGAAUGGAUCGAACUAUACUGGAGAAAGUUCGAUGUAUGUUGUCCAAUGCUGAAUUGGGCAAAGAAUUUUGGGCUGAGGCAGUUACAUAUGCGUGCCAUCUAAUUAACCGUUUGCCAUCAGCUGCAAUAAAUGGAAAAACUCCUAUGGAGAUGUGGACUGGUAAAUCUACUAUUGGUUAUGAUUCUUUGCAUGUAUUUGGUUCUACUGCAUAUUAUCAUGUAAAAGAAUCUAAGUUAGACCCAAGAGCAAAGAAAGCAUUAUUCUUGGGUAUAACUGAUGGAGUAAAAGGAUAUCGUCUCUGGUGUCCUGAUACAAGGAAGAUUGUUUUCAGUAGAGAUGUGACUUUUGAUGAAUCAACCAUGUUGAAGUACAAGGAUUCACAAAAGGAUGACAAAACCAGUAGUACUUUGCAGCAGGUGGAGCUUGAAAAGGUUAACGAUGAUCUAGCUAAUAUUGAAGGGACAAAUGAUGAAGAGGUUCCUACCCAAGAAUCUCUACAGCAAAAAGAUUCAAUUGCAUAUAGAAGGCCAAGAAGAGAGAUUCGUAAGCCUGCUCGCUUUGAUGAUAUAGUGGCCUAUGCACUUCCAAUUACAGAUGAUGAUGUUCCUUCUACUUACACAGAAGUAAUAAGUAACCCUGAUGGUGUAAAGUGGAAGCAAGAAAUGAAUGAAGAAAUGCAGUCUCUUCAUAAAAAUAAGACCUGGGAGUUGGUGACACUACCCAAGGGAAAGAAGGCAAUUGGAUGCAAAUGGGUAUAUGCAAAGAAGGAAGGAUUUCCUGAUAAAAAUGAAAUUCGAUACAAGGCUAGAUUAGUAGCAAAGGGUUACGCUCAGAAAGAAGGAAUAGACUACAAUGAAGUGUUUUCUCCAGUUGUGAAGCAUUCUUCUAUUCGGAUUUUGCUAGCCUUGGUUGCGCAAUAUGAUCUUGAACUAGUUCAGCUUGAUGUGAAGACCGCGUUUUUACACGGUAAUUUGGAAGAGGAAAUCUAUAUGACUCAGCCAGAUGGAUUCAAGGUUGCUGGAAAAGAAAAUUAGGUUUGCAAACUGACAAAGUCACUUUAUGGAUUGAAGCAAUCUCCGAGGCAGUGGUACAAGCGAUUUGAUCAGUUCAUGAAAGGGCAAAGGUACACAAGAAGUAAAUUUGAUCAUUGCGUGUAUUUUCAGAAGCUACAAGAAGGAACUUUCAUAUACUUGCUCUUAUAUGUUGAUGAUAUGCUAAUAGCAUCUAAGAGCAAAGUUGAGAUUGAAAGAUUGAAGACUCAACUCAAUCUCGAGUUUGAGAUGAAAGAUCUAGGAGAAGCUAAAAAGAUUCUCGGUAUGGAAAUAUGGAGAGAUAGAGCUCAUGAUAGAGUUAGCUUGUCUCAGAAGCAGUAUUUGAAAAAGGUACUACAGCAGUUUGGCAUGAACGACCAGACAAAACCUGUAAGUACCCCGUUGGCUUCUCAUUUCAAGCUUUCUGCACAACUAUCUCCUUCGACGAAUACGGAACGAGAAUACAUGUUGCAAGUUCCGUAUUCUAAUGCAGUGGGUAGCUUGAUGUAUGCAAUGGUGUGUACAAGACCCGACAUUUCACAGGCAGUUAGUAUAGUGAGCAGGUAUAUGCAUAAUCCUGGAAAAAGACAUUGGCAAGCUGUGAAAUGGAUUCUACGGUAUAUUCAUAAGACCAUGGAUAUUGGAUUACUGUUCAAGCAGGAUACUACACUUGGUAAAGGUGUUGUUGGGUACGUUGAUUCUGAUUAUGCCGGUGAUUUGGACAAACGAAGAUCAACCACUGGUUAUGUGUUUACUCUUGCUGGAGGACCAAUAAGUUGGAAGUCUACACUACAGUCUACAGUUGCGUUGUCAACCACAGAAGCUGAAUACAUGGCUGUAACAGAGGCUGUAAAGGAAGCUAUUUGGUUACAAGGUAUGGUUAAAACCUUGGGAUUGGUCCAGGAGCAUAUUAAUGUGUAUUGUGAUAGUCAAAGUGCUAUUCAUUUAGCAAAGAAUCAAGUCUAUCAUGCACGUACAAAGCAUAUCGAUGUACGUUUCCACUUUGUGCGGGAAAUUAUUGAUGAGGGGAAAAUUCACCUUCAGAAGAUUAAGACUGCAGAUAAUCCCGCAGAUAUGAUGACCAAGGUGGUAACAACAAUCAAGUUCGAACAUUGUUUGAACUUGAUCAAUAUUCUGCAUGUUUAACAGUUGAAGAAGGCACUAUCAAGUGUUGUUGACAAAGGCAGAGAGAAUUGUGUGAAGAUAAGAUUACUUGAAUCAAAUCUUCAAGGUGGAGAUUAUUGGGAAUUAUCCAUAUUUAUUGAAAAUCAAAGAUAUGGGUAUCAAAUAAUAGAAAGUCAAAGAUAUGGGUAUCAAAUAUUGGAAAGUCAAAGAUAUGGGUAUCAAAUAUUGGAAAGUCAAAGAUAUGGGUAUCGAGAUAUUGGCAUAAUAAAAUCUGAGAUAUUUGCAAUAUAUGGUCCCUAAUUGUAAAGUGACUUUGCAAGUUGAUCCCUGAACCUCAACUAUAAAUAGGCAUAACCAUCUCUCAUUCUGUAUCUCAAACUUGCCAUUCUCUACUUAAGGCAUUGUUUUCUCUCUCUCUCUUUGUAAAUUCUCACUUGUAUUUUGGAGUGAAAUAUAUUUGGUAGUGCCCGAGGACGUAGGCAAAAUUUGCUGAACCUCGUUAAAUUCUUGUGUUCUUUAUUGUAUUAUUCUGCAUGAAUUGUGUGUGUGAUUGUAGUGAUUUAUUGUGCUAUUAAAUUACGAUUGAGGGAUAUUCUGGCUAGGAAAGACCUGGUACUUAAGCGAUCCUUGCGAUCCACCUCUCUUUCCUGAGAAUUGAACUUAGUGUGAUUUUUUAGUACAAUAAUUUUACUCUUUUACACGCUUCCGCACAACAAUAACUAUUGACGACAGAUGUAUUUUUUGUAUGAUGCAACAAGAGUCCAGGGAUCAUCUUUAUUGUGAAUGUUCUUUCACCAAACCUAUUUGGCAGAUGGUGCUGCAGCUAUGUCAUGAGCUAAGACAGGCAUGUGCAAAGUUAAAAGGCAAUUCCCUCAUAUCUGUUAUGUUGCGCUUAGCAUGGACAACCUAUAUCUAUUUCAUAUGGGGGGAUAGAAAUUGAAGACUUUUUGGCAGGAAACAACAAGCUGAACAAGGUUUAACGGAUAGGGUUAAACAAAACAAAUCAUUCGUAUGAGACGAAGGGGAGUUAAAAGCAAUAUGAAUAUGAAACAAUCAAUCUGCUGUAUAUGGUUUUGUUUUUCAUAUAAACUUCUUCAUAAUUUUAUUAUUUUAAAUUAUUUAUUGAGAAUGUAAAUCGUAUAUACCAAUAUAAUGUACAUGUAGACAGGGAUGAAGGCAAAAAAUAGUUUUAGGAGGUUAAAAUUAAAUUACAAUAUUUAUUAUAGUAAAAAUACAAUUUCACCAUUAAAAUAGUCUAUACCUUUAUAAUUUUUAAAAUUUCUAAAAAAUUAAAUCAAAUUUUUAUCGUUUUUAAGGCGUUAAAGUACCAUUUUACUUUUACUAAUUUAAAUUUUUAAAAAAUUUAAACACCCUAAUGGAAAAUUUUUUAUUUUAAGAGACCGAGACCCCUGCCAGCCCCCUGGCUACAUGUAACACCCCUUACCCGUAUUCGUCUCCGGAAUAGGGUAGGAGGCAUUACCGGAGUUUACCGAAUUAAUUUUCCAUUAAUACGAGUUAAAUACUAUUCAUUUACUAAAACAUGUCAUGGCGUCCUUUAGAUGGGCCUCUAGAACCUAAAACAUAUUUCGAGACCAAACCAGAAUUAAAUCGAAACCAUAAGGAAUUUUUCGCAAAAUCCUAAAAUUUUUUUUUUCUGCUCAAUAUAAUCCCUUUAUAAAUAUCUAACCUUCCUUGCAAAUUUUAAAACCGAGACCAAUCCAACCAACCAAUUCAUUUCAAUCAAUUUGAUACCAAAUUAUACUACUAUUAUAAUUAUACUAUUUAACAUAUUCAUCAUUCUUUACUUUAAUGUAUAUUUCUUGAACAAGUCUUAGUAUUUAUAUAAUCAUCAAACCUUAUACAUGCCAUAUAAAUCAAAAAGAAAUUUACAAAAGUUACAGGAGAUAAUCUGAAUAGUGUGAUCCUCUGUGUUGAUCCGAUCCUCCGUAUACUUCCACGUCAAUCUACAAGAGACAUUGAUUACACUCAUGUAAGCUUAUAGAAGCUUAGUAAGUUCAUAGGCAUAAAACAUAAAUCUUACCAAACAUUUAUACACUUAUACAAUAUACACAACUAUUAAGUUCACUUGUCAACCACAGCCAUUGGUGAGUUCCCUUGUAUAAACUUACUACCACUUAUCCAUUUCCUUUAAUUCUUUUGGGCCCAUUUGUCACAUAUCAUUCUUUAACCAAAUUAGAGAAUGGUUACGGAAAAUUGAGUACUUCACUUUCACUUUGCCAUAGUAUAACUAUGGUCUUGCGUAUGAUCACUUAUCACCUUUUGAAGUCAUUGUCCUGCCACGGUCUUACACUGAUCACAUUUAUCACUUGUCACUGAUCAGAUAAGUGUAGUUAAAACUACCACUUAUUACUUAUCACUUGUCACUGAUCAGAUAAGUGUAGCUAAAGCUACCACUUAUCACUUGUCGCUUGUCACUUAUCGUUGAUCAGAUAAGUGUAGCUAAGGCUACCACAUUGAUCAGAAGUACUCAAAUCUGAUAUUCCGCUCAAUUUAAUCAUUUAUUCGAUUUUCGUGUUGUUAUUUUAUUCUCUAUGUAUCAAUAAAUAUAUUUCAUCAUACAUAUUACAUUAUAUAAUUCAUAAAAUUAACAUAUAAUCAUUAAACUUCAACCAUAUGAACUUACCUGGGUCGAUUUGCAAAAUUUGUGAAAGUUCAGGGACUAAUCAGCUAUUUUUUCUUUUCCUCGAAUUGCUUCGGAUUCUCGAUCUAUCAUUGUAAAAUCAUUCACUUAUCAGUAAUGACUUCAUCUUCAACCCGCUUAUAGGUAAUAUUAUCUAUAAUUUCAUUAUUUACUUAUGUAUAUUCCAAUGCUGUCCAUCAGUGUCAUAGUCACUAAAUUAUUUUUAUCUUUAGCUACCGAACUCCAAAUUAGGAUCCGCUAAUUUUCCCUGAAACUAGACUCAUAUAUCUUCUUAUCAUAAAAUUUUUAGAAUUUUUUGGUUUAGCCAAUAUGUACAGUUUAUUCUUUAAAGUCACCCCUGUUCUGCUGUCUGACAAUUCCGACCCUUCUUCACUAAAAAUUAAUUAUCUCUUCGUACAGAAUUUGGAUGAUGUCCAUGUUUGUUUCUAUUGAAAAUAGACUUAUUAAGGAUUUUAAAAAUAUAAAUUUAAUCCCCUAAUUAUUUUUCUCUAAUUUGUGAUGAUUCUCCAAAGUCAGAACAGGGGAACCCGAAAUCAUUCUGACAUUGUCUCACAAAAUCUAUUAUAUCUCAUGAUCUAUAAUUCCGUUGCUUACAUCGUUUCUUCUAUGAGAAACUAGACUAAAUAAGCUUUAAUUUCAUUUUUUUCAUAUUCUAAUUCGAUUUUUACAAUUUAUGGUGAUUUUUCAAAGUUAGACUACUGCUGCUGUCCAAAACUGUUUUAGUGCAAAUGUUGAUUUUGAUUUUUGCCCCAAAUUUCACAGUUCAUACAAUUCAGUCCUUGCUCAAUUAAUCCCUCAAUGAAGCUAAUUUUUCCCAAUUAAUGCUUUACCUAGAAAUCAUAAGUUAUUUCACAAUUAUUUAAAUUCAUAAUUUCCACAUAAAACCCUAACUUCAAACUCUUUCACCAUCAGGUCCCAAACAUUCACUUUCUAUUCAAUUCUUUCAAUAAAAUCAGCAUAUAAACAAUUUAAAACUCUAAUUCCAUGCUAAAUCAUCAUAUACUUCCAACACAUAUUCAAACAACUUCCAAUUUCUUUCAUAGAAUCAAAAACUAAUGAAUUCAACAAGUGGACCUAGUUGUAAAAGUCAUAAAAGCACAAAAAUUUCAAGAAAUAAUCAAGAAUUGAACUUACUUGCAGUAAAAAUAUGAAAAACCAGCUUAAGAAAACCCUUCUAUGGUGUUUUUUCUGAUGAGAAUGCAGAAAAAUAAUGAGAAUUCUAGAUAAUUCCACUUUAGUCCUAGUUUAUUAAGUAAAUUUUGCAAUAUUCCAAUUUUACCCUUAAUUCAUCAAUUUUCCUGCUGAUUUCAUGCACCUUGCCGUCCAGCCCAAAUAGACCUUGGGUCUAUUUGCCUUUUAAACCCUCUUUAUUUUAUCAUUUAAGCUAUUUAAUCAUUUCCCAUAAUUUUACAUUUGUUACAAUUUAAUCCUUUUUAUUCAAUUAACUAUCGAAACUUUUAAAUUUCUUAACGAAACUUUAAUACUAACUUAUUAACACUCCAUAAAUAUUCAUAAAAAUAUUUAUUGCUCGUUUUAAAAUUUUCAAACUAUCGAUAUCUCAUUUUCGAUUCUAAUUUUUAAAAUUUUUAUUUCUAGUACACUAUUCGCUAUUUCAAAAAUUUUCCUAACUUCACACUUAACUUAUAUUCACUAAAUUAUUAAUAUUUUCUACUCAUUUGUCGGAUUUAGUGAUCUCGAAUCACUGUUCCGACACCACUGAAAAUUUAGGCUAUUACAAUUCUCCCCCUCUUAAGAAAUUUCGUCCUUGAAAUUUGUUACCUGAAAAUAGGUUCGGAUAUUGUGAUAUCAUUGAUUCCUCUAUUUCCCAGGUUUCCUCCUCCACACCAUGUCGAUGCCACAACACUUUUACUAACGGUACUCGUUUGUUCCUUAACUCUUUAAUUUCUCAAGCUAGAAUUUUCACCGAUUCUUCUGAAUAAGUCAUGUCGAGUUGGAGCUCUAUUUCUGUAUAAGGGAUUACAUGUGAUGGAUCUGAUCUGUACCGUCUCAACAUAGACACAUGAAACACGUUAUGAAUCUUUUCAAGCUCCGGGGGCAAAGCCAAUCUAUAAGCUAUCGGACCGAUUCUUUCAAUGAUUUCAUACGGCCCGAUAAAUCGUGGGCUGAGUUUUCCCUUUCUACCGAACCGCAAAACUUUCUUCCACGGUGACACUUUCAAGAUACAUGAUCACCCACAUUAAACUCUAUAUCUCUUCUCUUUAAAUUUGCAUAUGAUUUUUGCCGAUCGGAGGCAGCUUUUAAACAAUCUCGAAGAAUACGAACUUUUUCUUUGGUUUCCCGAAUCAAGUCCACUCCCAUUAGUUUCCGUUCACUUAAUUCAGACCAAUAUAAUGGAGUUCUACACUUUCUUCCAUACAGAGCUUCAAAUGGUGCCAUUUUAAUACUAGUUUGAUAACUAUUAUUAUAAGCAAAUUCGACUAAAGGUAAAUACCUUUCCCAGCUGCCGCCAAACUCAAGUACACAACAACUUAACAUAUCUUCUAAAAUCUGAAUCACUCGCUCUGACUGCCCAUCUGUCUGAGGAUGAAAAGCUGUGCUGAAAUUUAAUUUAGUGCCCAAAGCCUCCUGUAAUUUACUCUAAAAUCUCGAAGUAAAUCUCGGAUCUCGAUUCGAAAUAAUAGAUAUUGGAACUCCAUGUAAUCUCACAAUCUCAGAAAUAUACAAUUCCGCUAAUUUCUCCAAUGAAAAAUUUGAUCUGACUGGAAUAAAAUGUGCCGAUUUUGUCAAUCUAUCAACGAUAACCCAGAUUGAAUCUUUCUUUUUUCGGAGUCACAGACAAUCCUGAUACAAAAUCCAUCGUAAUGUGUUCCCACUUCCAUUCAGGAAUCAUAAUAGGUUGUAAUAAACCCGUUGGUACUUGAUGCUCUGCUUUUACCUGCUGACAGAUUAAACAUUUUGCAACAAAUUCACAAAUCUCUCGCUUCAUACCAGGCCACCAGUACAUUCUUUUUAAAUCGCAAUACAUUUUUGUACUACCCGGAUGAAUAGAAUACUUACUAUUAUGAGCUUCAGCAAGAAUAUCAUUUUUCAAUUCUGGAUUAUUCGGAACACAAAUUCUAUUACGAUAACGCAACAUACCACCAUCAUCAACGCUAUAUUCUGAACUCAAAUUAUCCUAAACCGUUUGUCGUUUCAGCACUAGUUUCAGAUCAUCACUCUGUAAUUCACAGAUCCGUUGAAGGAAUGUAGAUUUUUCUUUCAAUUCUGCUAAUACUGAGCCAUCUUCAUUAACAGACAAAUGAACAUUCAUUGCUCGAAGUGCAAACAAUGAUGAUUUUCGACUAAGUGCAUCAGCGACCACAUUAACUUUCCCCGGGUGAUAAUCAAUAACAAGAUUAUAAUCUUUCAAUAGUUCGCGCCACCGUCUCUGUCUCAAGUUCAGCUCUUUCUGUGUCAUCAAAUAUUUCAGACUUUUGUGAUCGGUAUACACAUAACAUUUUUCCCCAUAUAAAUAAUGUCUUCAAAUUUUUAAAGCAAACACAAUUGCGGCCAACUCCAAAUCAUGGGUAGGUAAUUUUUCUUGUGCGGUUUUAAUUGUCGAGAAGCAUAUGCCACUACUUUCCCUGAUUGCAUUAAAACACAACCCAAACCAUUUAAAGAUGCAUCACUAUACACAACAUAUGGUAUACCUGAUUCUGAUUGAGUUAACACUGGAGCUUCUGUCAACAUAUUCUUCAACUGGUCAAAACUUUGUUGGCACUCUUCAGACCAUACAAAUUCAACAUUCUUCUGAAGUAGCCGAGUUAUCGGCAAUGCAAUCAUUGAAAAAUUUUUAACAAAUCGGCGGUAGUAUUCCGCUAAUCCUAGGAAACUUCGCACUUCUGUUACAUUCUUCGGAGUUUUCCAAUUCACCACUGCUGACACUUUACUUGGAUCUUCUCGAAUUCCUUCAGCUAAAACAAUAUGACCUAGAAAUCCAACCUCAUGUAGCCAAAAUUCACACUUGCUGAACUUUACAUACAACUGCUUCUCUCUCAAAGUCUGUAACACACUUCUCAAGUGUUGUGCAUGAUUAGGCUCGGUCUUCGAAUAGAUCAGUAUAUCAUCAAUAAAUACAACCACGAAUCUAUCCAAAUAAGGUUGAAAAAUUCGAUUCAUCGAGUCCAUAAAUGCAGCAGGAGCAUUAGUUAAACCAAAUGGCAUUACCAGAAACUCAUAAUGACCAUAUCGAGUUUUAAAAGUAGUUUUUGGCACGUCACAUUCUUUAACUUUCAGCUGAUAAUAUUCAGAUCGAAGAUCUAUUUUUGAAAACACAGCAGCACCUUUCAAUUGAUCGAACAAAUCAUCAAUGCGGGGCAAAGGAUAUUUGUUCUUGAUUGUAACCUUAUUUAAUUGUCUGUAAUCUAUACACAAUCUCAACGAACCAUCUUUCUUUUUCAGAAACAAAACAGGUGCACCCCAAGGAGAUGUACUCUGUCUAAUAAACCCCUUAUCUAACAAUUCUUACAACUGAGUCUUUAACUCUUUUAAUCCAGUCGGUGCCAUUUCGUAUGGUGUUACGGAUAUUGGAGCUGUUCCAGGGAUCACAUCAAUCACAAACUCAACUUCACAAUCUGGUGGUAAACCUGGCAAUUCCUCAGGAAACACAUCAGCAAAUUCAUUAACAACUGGCAACUGUUUCAACUUUGAUUCAGAAUCCCGAGUAUAAAAAAUAUAAGCUAAAUAUGCUUCAUUACCCUUCCGCAUUAGCUUCUGAGCUGAAAAGGCUGAAAUAAUUCGGACAUUAUCUUUCAUAUUUCCAAACUCAGCCGAAAUUAUUUCUCCUGUCUGAUUUUUCAAAUCAAUCCGUUUCUCUCGACAGUUUACUACAGCGUCAUGUUUUGUUAACCAAUCCAUCCCCAAAAUAAUAUCAAAUUCCCGAAAGGGUAACAACAUCAAAUCAGCAGGGAAUUCACAACCUUUCACUUUCAGUGGACAAUUACGACAUAUUAAAUUAACCAUCACACUUUGACCUAAUGGAUUAGUGACUUGUAUAUCAUAAUUAGUGGACUCAACAGAUAAUUUCUUUUUAGAUGCUAGCAUAUUGCAAAUAUAUGAAUGAGUAGACCCAGGGUCUAUUAAUGCAUAAACAGUAACAUCAUAAAGAUAGAAAAUACCAGCAAUUACAUCAGGAGCCGUAGCCUCUUCCCUUGCUCGAAUGGCAUAGGUACGUGCUGAUGCUCUAUUCUCUGAUUGACUAACUGGUUCUCUCAUACCCGAACGGGUAGCCCCUGUAGCACUACUCUGGCCCGAACGUCUACUUAUUUGAGGAGUGGUUCUCUGUAUCUUUUUCUGAUCCACUUCAUCUUUUUGCAGCUGGGGACAAUCUCGAAUAAGAUGAUCAAUAGCCCCACAUUUAUAACAAGCCCCCAUCUUAGUCCUGCAUUCACCGAAAUGAUGUCUUCCACAAUAUUGACACUUAGGCCGGGGAGUAUUCUGAACACUACUCACACUUGUUGCAGGUCUAUCAAAUACCCUGAAAUCAGAUUGUCUUGAUCUACCUCUACCCAAUCUUCCCUGCAUGGAUGUAGUUCGACUAAUUUCUUCUCUAGAUUUUUUCACCGGCAAAUCUGAAAAUGACUUAGAAGCACCUCUUUUAAAUGACUCUUUAUUUUUUUGAUCUCGUUGCAUUUUUCUGUUAUAUACUUCUUCGAGCUUUUGAGCACGGUCUGAUAGAACAACGAACUCCCGUAUUUCAUUACCCCCAAUCAUCAUUCUAAUCUCAUCAUUUAAUCCUUCUUCAAAUCUGAUACACAUUUCUUCUCAGUAGGUACAAUGUCUCGAGCAUAUUUGCUGAGGUAGACAAAUUCUCUUUCGUAUUCAGCCACUGACUUAUUUCCCUGCCGUAGAUCAAGAAAUUCUCUCUUUUUCUUGUCUAGAUAUCUUUUUCCCAUAUAUUUCUUUUUAAACUCGUUCUGGAAAAAUUCCCAAGUAAGUUUCUCUGCAGGUACUACAGCUUCCACAGUUUCCCACCAGUUAUAUGCUUCUUCUUUGAACAAUGAGACAGCACAUCGUAGAUAAUCCUCCGGAGAACAAGCCAUCUGUUUAAAAAUUCUUACCAAACUCUGUAGCCAAUACUCAGCUUUUACAGGGUCAUCAUCUGAUCUCCCUCGAAAUUCAUUAGCUCCAAACUUCCUAAGCUUUUCAAUCGGAGAACGUUUACUAGUUUCAAUUAUUGAAGGAGGUGGAGGAGCAACCGGAUGUACCACAGGUGGUGCAGUAGGGGGAGGAGGUGGUUGAGCCUGACUUCUUUCUUGUAUCAUCUCCUUAUACCUCUGAUUCAUAACUCCAUAAAUCAUAUUUUUAAGUCCUCGCUCUAACAUCAUAGAAAUUGGAAUAUCACUACUUGUUCCUUGUUUAGAAGUCUGCACUCUACUGUUAGCUUCCUCCUGUUCAGUGCGUUCAGGUCUAUCUGACAUCUUUAUAAUCGAAGAAUAUCUAUAAAAAUGACAAAGAUUAGAUCGGAUCAUACACAUCACACUAUCACAGAUUUAUAUGGCAUGUAUUUCUAAACACUUUACACGUAACACAUGUUCCGAGAAUAGGCUAAACCGGGCUCUGAUACCACUAAAUUAACACCUCUUACCCGUAUUGUCGCCGGAAUAGGGUAGGAGGCAUUACCGAAGUUUACCGAAUUAAUUUUCCAUUAAUACGAGUUAAAUACUAUUCAUUUACUAAAACAUGUCAUGGCGUCCUUUAGAUAGGCCUCCAGAACCCAAAACAUAUUUCGAAACCAAACCAGAAUUAAAUCGAAACCAUAGGGAAUUUUUCAAAAAAUCCUAAAGUUUUUUUUUUCUGCUCAAUAUAAUCCCUUUAUAAAUAUCUAACAUUCCCUGCAAAUUUUAAAACCGAGACCAAUCCAACCAACCAAUUCAUUUCAAUCAAUUUGAUACCAAAUUAUACUACUAUUAUAAUUAUACUAUUUAACAUAUUCAUCAUUCUUUACUUUAAUGUAUAUUUCUUAAACAAGUCUUAGUAUUUAUAUAAUCAUCAAACCUUAUACAUGCCAUAUAAAUCAAAAAGAAAUUUACAAAAGUUACCGGAGAUAAUUUGGAUAGUGUGAUCCUCUGUGUUGAUCCGAUCCUCCGUAUACUUCCACGUCAAUCUACAAGAGACAUUGAUUACACUCAUGUAAGCUUAUAGAAGCUUAGUAAGUUCAUAGGCAUAAAACAUAAAUCUUACCAAACAUUUAUACACUUAUACAAUAUACACAAUUAUUAAGUUCACCUGUCAACCACAGCCAUUAGUGGGUUCCCUUGUAUAAACUUACUACCACUAAUCCAUUUCCUUUAAUUAUUUUAGACCCAUUUGUCACAUAUCAUUCUUUAACCAAAUUGGAGAAUGGUUACGGAAAAUUGAGUACUUCACUUUCACUUUGCCAUAGUAUAACUAUGGUCUUGCGUAUGAUCACUUAUCACCUUUUGAAGUCAUAGUCCUGUCACGGCCUUACACUGAUCAAAUUUAUCACUUGUCACUGAUCAGAUAAGUGUAGUUAAAACUACCACUUAUCACUUGUCACUGAUCAGAUAAGUGUAGCUAAAGCUACCACUUAUCACUUGUCGCUUGUCGCUUAUCGCUGAUCAGAUAAGUGUAGCUAAGGCUACCACACUGAUCAGAAGUACUCAAAUCUGACAUUCUGCUCAAUUUAAUCAUUUAUUCGAUUUCCGUGCUAUUAUUUUAUUCUCUAUUUAUCAAUAAAUAUAUUUCAUCAUACAUAUUACAUUAUAUAAUUCAUAAAAUUAACAUAUAAUUAUUAAACUUCAACCAUAUGAACUUACCUGGGUCGAUUUGCAAAAUUUGUAAAAGUUCAGGGACUAAUCAGCUAUUUUUUAUUUUCCUCUAAUUGCUUCGGGUUCUCGAUCUAUCAUUGUAAAAUCAUUCACUUAUCAAUAUUGACUUCAUCUUCAACCCGCUUAUAGGUAAUAUUAUCUAUAAUUUUAUUAUUUACUUAUGUAUAUUCCAAUGCUGUCCAUCAGUGUCAUAGUCACUAAAUUAUUUUUAUCUUUAGCUACCGAACUCCAAAUUAGGAUCCGCUAAUUUUCCCUGAAACUAGACUCAUAUAUCUUCUUAUCAUAAAAUUUUUAGAAUUUUUUGGUUUAGCCAAUAAGUACAGUUUAUUCUUUAAAUUCACCCCUGUUCUACUAUCUGACAAUUCCGACCCUUCUUCACUAAAAAUUAAUUAUCUCUUCGUACAGAAUUUGGAUGAUGUCAUGUUUGUUUCUAUUGAAAAUAGACUUAUUAAGGAUUUUAAAAAUAUAAAUUUAAUCCCCUAAUUAUUUUUCUAUAAUUUUUGAUGAUUUUCCAAAGUCAGAACAGGGGAACCCGAAAUCAUUCUAACAUUGUCUCACAAAAUCUAUUAUAUCUCAUGAUCUACAAUUCCGCUGCUUACACCGUUUCUUCUAUGAGAAACUAGACUAAAUAAGCUUUAAUUUUAUUUUUUUUCAUCUUCUAAUACGAUUUCUACAAUUUAUGGUGCUUUUUCAAAGUUAGACUAUUGCUGCUGUCCAAAACUGUUUUAGUGCAAAUGUUGAUUUUGAUUUUUGCCCCAAAUUUCACAGUUCAUACAAUUCAGUCCUUGCUCAAUUAAUCCCUCAAUGAAGCUAAUUUUUCCCAAUUAAUGCUUUAUCUAGACAUUAUAAGUUAUUUCACAAUUAUUUAAAUUCAUAAUUUCCACAUAAAACCCUAACUUCAAACUCUUUCACCAUCAGGUCCCAAACAUUCACUUUCUAUUCAAUUCUUUCAAUAAAAUCAGCAUAUAAACAAUUUAAAACUCUAAUUCCAUGCUAAAUCAUCAUAUAAUUCUAACACAUAUUCAUAACAACUUCCAAUUUCUUUCAUAGAAUCAAAAACUAAUGAAUUCAACAAGUGGACCUAGUUGUAAAAGUCAUAAAAGCACAAAAAUUUCAAGAAAUAAUCAAGAAUUGAACUAACUUGCAGUAAAAAUAUGAAAAAACAGCUUAAGAAAACCCUUCUAUGGUGUUUUUUCUGAUGAGAAUGCAGAAAAAUAAUGAGAAUUCUAGAUAAUUCCACUUUAGUCCUAGUUUAUUAAGUAAAUUUUGUAAUAUUCUAAUUUUGCCCUUAAUUCAUCAAUUUUCCUGCUGAUUUCAUGCACCUUGCCGUCCAGCCCAAAUAGACCUUGGGUCUAUUUGCUUUUUAAACCCUCUUUCUUUUAUCAUUUAAGCUAUUUAAUCAUUUCCCAUAAUUUUACAUUUGUUACAAUUUAAUCCUUUUUAUUCAAUUAACUAUCGAAACUUUAAAAUUUCUUAACGAAACUUUAAUACUAACUUAUUAACACUCCAUAAAUAUUCAUAAAAAUAUUUAUGGCUCAUUUUAAAAUUUUCAAACUCUCGAUUUCUCAUUUCCGAUUCUAAUUUUUAAAAUUUUUAUUUCUAGUUCACUAUUCGCUAUUUCAAAAAUUUUCCUAACUUCACACUUAACUUAUAUUCACUAAAUUAUUAAUAUUUUUUACUAAUUUGUCGAAUUUAGUGAUCUUGAAUCACUGUUCCGACACCACUGAAAAUUUAGGCUAUUACACUACACCCCUGCAUAUAGUGCUACUUGGGUUAGAGUGUAAGCUAUAGUGAUAUUUACAGUUAUUGGACUAUCACCAUCUAAGGUUUGGCACUUCACCGUUUCGCUUAGCAACACGACGCUUUUAUUGCUCCCUACAAUACCGAUUUCACGGUUUAAGUUGCUCCUAUUUCGCAUAAAUUGCUUUUGCUUUCUUUUUCUCUGAUUAAUAACAUGUUUCAAAUCACCAAGUUGUCUCUUAUUUACCCAUAAAUUCAAUAAAAAUUCAAAAGAUUGAUCUAUUCAAAAAUUUCUAGAUCUACGCUUAUUUUUAACUCCCAAAAAAAUUUCAUCCCUUACUACUCUCUUUUCUAUCUUCGAUAACUUUAAAAAUAAUUAAUAUCAUCUUAAAAACCUAAUUUAAUAAUUUUUUUUAAAAAAACCCAAUUUGUAAACCUUAGGAGAUGGCUAAUUUUUAAUUAUUUGGAUAAAAAUAUAACAUAAAUAAUACAAUAAAACCAUUUCAAACGAAAUAGUUUGACCCAAACCUUAAAUUGACUCUAGGGGCUUAGAGUAGCAAGGAUGGAAAUAAUGAAACUUACAUUACUUGCCCUUAAGCACAUCCCUAUACCGCAAAAGAGAAUUCAACCUCUGCAACUUAAGUUGCUGCUUAAACUUUUCAAUGAAAUCAUCAGCUUUUGCAUCGACACCAUGAUCGUCGUCUUCAAACGGCGUCGUUUUCUCGAUCCCUGUAUAUGCUGAUCGUUUCAUCUCCAUUUCUUUUUCUGCCUUGCGCCUUGAUUUCUUCAUCUUCUCUUUUAAUUCCGUUUGUCUUACCAUAGGCUCUGAUUGGAUUCUCUUUAUCUCACCAUGAACCGAACUUAAACCCGUUCCGGAACCGUUCGGGUCAGUUACAGUGGGUUCGGUUUCGUUUGGUUUAACGGUGUCCGGUUUGUAAAACGACUUGACUCGCUCUAAGAGCGACGGUGCUUGGCUGAUUAGUGACUGUUGAGCCGGUUCAAUACAAUCCGUUUCUGGACUUUGAGGAGAAUAUUUGUAGAAAUUUGACUUGACUCGUUCGAGAAUCGACGGGGCUCGCUCCACCCGGUGGGCAGGUGACCCGUCAUCGGUUUGGAGGAAAUGAUGGUUGACGUCUUGGCUCGAAAUAGGAAAACUGUACGUCGAGAAGUUGAAAGACGUGACGAGGCCGAAGAGCGACAGAGAUCGGUCGAGUGACGGCGAGGAUGAUGAUGAUGAUGAGUUGCCGUCGUCAGCGUCGUACGGUGUUUUGUGAGGAGUUAUACGGCAGAUAAAGAAGAUCAUACCGACCAUGAUGUUGAGGAAGAGGAAAAGAGUUGUUGGCGAUAACCAGGUCUCCGGUAAAUUUGACAUAUCGGAAAACAUCUUGGGAGAGGGAAAGUAUAGCCGUAAAGACGAAGAACAGGAAGUGAACAAAUUGGUGUUGAUUUUUGCGUAGGCACCUCGAAGCACAAGAAUAUAACAAGUCUCUGCAUGAGGGUCUUUAUAGGUUUAAUGUAAUUUAUAAGGGUUUUUAUAGGACAUGUGGUAGUAAUUACUUUUUAUUUGUCAUUACAUUAGAAGUUUAAAUUGACAUCUGUUUGACAUGCAUGACAUCAUAAUUAAGUUCGACAAUAAUUUUCAAAGUUUGAAUUAUGAUUUGUUUUUUUAAUAUUAUUUGCAUUCGAUUAUAAUUUAUAUUCACGAUUUUUUAUUACCUCUUUUAAUAAUAUCAUUCAUAACGUUCAAAUCUGCAUCCCCUCUUCAUCUAUCUAUUUCUUUCCCUUUUCAAUAUUUUUUUCUUAGUAACUAAAUUGUUAUCUUAUACAAUGUUUUAAAAAUUAGAUUGGUGAUUAAAUCAGUCAAAUUAUUAGUUUUCAGUUCAAUUAGUUUAACUAGCAGUUCAACAACAAUUAAAUAAAAAUUAAAUUUUUUAUAAUAAUUAUUAAAAAUUAUAAGUUAAUCCAAACUUCAAUUUUUGUCUUGAUUUUCAAUUAUUUUUUGUUUCAAACUAUUCCUUAAAAGUAGGUUCAAUCUCUUUAUUUAAAACGAUAUAGCAAUUGAUUCCCAAUUCAAUCCACUAGUCUAGUUCCAACAACACUAUACCAUUAGCUUUCCUUCUAUCUUUUCAACACAUGGAUGGUUGUUAUCAAUAGGCUUCCUAUGGAAGACAAAUUAUUCUUGAGGGUUAGGAUAUUGAGGAUCAUUGUACCCUCUUUGCAAGGGGAGUUGGAAACAAGGGAUCACUUGUUAUCUGAAUGUGUUCUUGCAAAGAAGUUCCGGAGAUAUCUUAGAACUAUACAACAUUCAGAUAAUUUUUUCUGGUAGUAAGAAUUCAUUUAGGGGUGAAGUUAAUUUUUUUUAGAAAUUCUUUUAAAAAAUUAAAAAUAUAAUUAUAUUAAUGUAAAAUAUAAAAUUUUAUAAUUUUAUAAUUUUUAAGAGAUUAAAUUAUAAUGUUAAUUUUUUCUUUUGUUUUAAAGAGGGCAUAAAUUAAUUUUAAAUUUUAGGAGGGUUGAAAUACAAUUUUAUCAUUAAAUUAACUUAAAACAUUAUAAACACUCAAGAGACUAAAAGGAAUAGUUUUUCAUUUUGGGAGGAGGGGGAGGGCUGCAUGCCUGCCUCGUCCCCUUUAGCUUCACCCCUGGAUUCAAUCCAUGCACAAAUUUGAAGGAAAAAGCUCUUAUUAUCAUUUUAAAUUUUGCUUGGUUUAUGCAAAAGUGAAGUGAAUUUGGAUAAUAAAUAUUUAUAUGUAUUUUGAAUUUAUUAUAAAUAGUAAUUAUAAUAGCAAAAUUCAGCUAUUAUUUUAAAUUCACAAAAAAAAAACAAAAAAAAAUUAUCCCUUAUAAUAUUUGACAUAAAAAAGAAAUAAAAUAAAUAUGAUUAGAAAGGUACAAUUAUACCAUAUAAAUAUACAAAUAUUUUAAAUUUUAUUUAAUAUAAGUAAUAAAUAUAUUAAAAUUUAGGAUAUAUUAUUAAAAUAGUUAUUUUUGUUUACUUCAUGUUAUAUUUUAGUCACUUAUAUUUGAAAUGUUAUGUUUUAGCCACUUACGUUAUCGCAUUGUAAUUUUUUAGUCAUUGAACCGUUAAUUGUUGUUAACGGUAUAACGGUAAGCUGAUGUGACAUGUUAAAUCAUCAUUUCAAAUAAAAAAUUAGGUUAAUUUAUACAAUCAAUCCUCAUUUUUUUUCAUUUUGAGCAAUUUAAUUUUUUUUCUUUUAUAUUCUUUUAACUUUCCUUUUUUUUUUUUCAUUCUCUUUUGCUGCUCCCUCUGUUUUCCUUCCUUCUCCAUUCCUUUUAACGUAGUUUUUCUAUGUUUUUCAUUUGUUAAAACUAGUCCAAAUACUUUUAAUUUUUUAAACAAUUUAAUUUUUUCGAGUGAGGCAAGUUUGCGGACUAGUUUUAACAAAUGGAAAGCAUAGAAAAACUAUGUUAAAAGAAAUUAAGAAGUAAGGAAAACAGAGGGAGAAGCAGAAGAAAAUGGAAAAAAAAUUAAAAGAAAAUAAAAGAAAAAAAUAAAUUGCUCAAAAUGAAAGAAUAUAGGGAUCAAUUGUAGAAUUUUACCUAAAAUUUUCAUUUGAAAUGAUGAUUUAAUAUGACACAUCAGCUUACCGUUAACGUCAAUUAACGACUCAGUGACUAAAAUGUUACAAUACGAUAACGUAAGUGACUAAAACGUAUUAUUUCAAAUAUAAAUGACUAAAAUGUAUCUUGAGGCAAACAAAAGUGAAUAUUUUUAUAGUUUUCCCUGAAAUUUAUAUGUUUUAAUUACAAUUAAUCAAAUAAAUAUAAUUGAAAUUAAGUAAUAUACUCGGGUUUUAGCACCAUCAGCGUUCAUCUUUUCGAUCGUAACAUCAGAAUCAGAUGAACAAUCUCAAAAGAUUUAAUACCUUUUUUAUCCUUAUAUUAUAAUUAAAUUAUCACUUUAAUAUUUAUACUAUUUUAUUUUAUCAAUUUAGCCCCAAUACUUUCAAUCUUUUAUUCUAUCAAGUCUGCUAUCCAACCCAAAAGCUAAGGGACCAAGUGAUAGUUUAACUACAGUUUAGGAGCCGAAAGAGGUAUUAAGCCGUCCAAAAAGCCCAGGCCGGAGGACACAAAUAUUUUCCUGCGCCACGAUGUAGCGAAUACCACGCUCCAUUAUAGCAAGACUCAGAUUUUUCGAGUUCAAAGUCUAGUAUAAAGCUCAAAAUCUCUCACUAACUGCUGAUGUGCCUUAUUUCCCACUCUCUUCGAUCAAAGUUUCAUAAUCCGAAGGCGAAGAGGCAAAAGAUUAAUGGUAAAUCUAUAUCUCAAUUGAUAUCGAAGCAUUUCUAGAGUUUUCUAUGAAUUUGAUUAAUGAUAUUGUUGCAGGCUCCUCCCGCAAAGCCAAUAACGAGUCCAGUCUCAGAUGCAUGGUACCCAACCCUAGCCCUCUUAAUGCUCUCCAUUGGUCUUGUCGUCACCGCUUCCUUCUUCAUGUAACAAUCUUAAUCUUAUCUCUUCCACAUUUUUAUUUGUUCUUCUUAUUAGGUUCGACUUCGGAGGCAAUUUUCGUUUUUCCCUUUAGACGUAAAUAUUUUGAUUUACUAGAUCUGUUCUUUUUAAUAAAUAAAGUUGAUGACUGGUUAUACAAUUAGGAAAAUCAGCAUAGGAAUUUCUGAUUUAGAAUGUACCUUCAAUAGAUUUUGAUGAGACUUUUUGAAAGAAAUUCUUUUAUUAGCCAAUUUGGUCAGUACUGAAUACAAGUGUGAAUAUGAAGUUGAUGGCUUUUGUUGGGUACCAUACUACAUUACUUCUGGUUCCCUUUGGUUUACAAAUUUAUUUUCUCGAUGAUAGACCUGUCAAUUGUGCGGGUCAAGUCACAAGUGAGUUUUGAAUCAGAUUAAUUUGGAUCGGUUUAACUUGGGUUUUAAAAUGUCAUUUCGGUUCGGGUUGUCUGGUUGUUUUGUGUUUGUGGCUCAGUUUUCGUGUUAGAUCAUUACAAGUUGAGAUUAAUUCGGGUUUUGGUCAAUUGAGUUUAAGUUGUUUCAAGGUCAGAUCAUUUCAAAUUCAGGUCAUUCCAAGUUCGGGUAUGGGUUGGACGGGUCUAGGUUUACUUUUAUGGUCAAAUUGGGUAGAGUUCUGGUUGAUCGGAUUGGAUUUCUGGAUUCGGGGCAAAAUUGACAUGUAUCUAGUUUUCUAGUUUGGUUCCAGUGUUUCCAAGUUUUAGAAAUUUAAUCUCUUACUUCCAUGGCCAAAGGCAUGAAGCAGAUUCUAAAAAGAGAUUCAACAUUUUGCAUGUGUAAAGUUGUAUAUGAGCUUGGCUAGUUUGUUGUUAUGAAGCUUUCUUCAUUGUUCAUGUUUCGUUGAAUUUGCUAUUUUAGCUUCUUUAUUUUCCUGGUUUUGGAAGAUGGUGCAUUUUGCAUUCAAGUAAACUUAUAUGAGUUCAAUCUUACUGUUAGAAGAACUUAAGAGUUUUCUUUUGAUUGAAACUGUAUUUAUGAUUCCUUUAAAUCUAUUUGCGCUUGGUUUUGCUUUAGAAAAUAUUGAAUUUCUUCGUUUGCACUGAUCUCUCAUCUCAUCGUUAGAAUUUUGAGGUUUCUUUCCAUUGAACUGUACUUGUUGAGGGUUGGAUGGCUACUUCUGUCGGGAGAGGUCUAUGAAGUAUCUAUCGCCGAUAGCCUGGAGAUUCCUCAACAAGUCAAGUAAUCAAUUCUCGUAUGUCUGUGCUCUGUUUGAACCUUGAGAUUUUGUCCUCCGACCCUACAAAAAGCCCGAGUGCUUGAAUUAGCAACAGGUUUACAAAGUGAGAGCGUCUCAUAGUGACUGAAAGACAAAACAAUGGCAAACUAAAGAGUUUGCCCAUGGCUAAGCUUGAACUCCUGACCUGUAGCCUAUAGGUCAUUAAUGGGGGCAUAUGGUACAACUUGGGCUAGCCUUGUUGUUGAGAGGUUACGGACCCUCUACAGUACUGAUUCUACCUAUGAAUGUACUUGAACUUAUCUGUAAUUUUGCUUACACUGCCGAUCGCAUAAGCAGAUGCUGAUUGCUUCACCAUUUUACAUUGUCCAAAACAAGAUCCCAUUUGAUACAAUGCUUCUUAGACCUGAUAUUACAUCUGGAAAAUUUUAUUUAAAAAAAAAAUGUUUCUUUCCAACAAAUAUGCAGCUAUGAAGCAACUUCUUCGAAGAGAAAUCGAAGUCUUGCCAAGGAGCUCAUCACUGGCGGAGUGGCAUCGGUCUUCCUGGUACAACUUUUUCCUUUGUAACUGUUAUUGGCUGGAUUUCUCGUUCAUAAUUCAUGUAGUUUACUGAUACUUGAUUCUCCGACAUCAUCGCAGGGCUUCGGGUCACUGUUUUUGCUACUUUCAGCCGGUGUUUAUGUCUGAUUUUUGAUAUCGUUCAACCGGCUUACAGAGUUUUGCAAAGAAAAGGAUUGGUGUCUGCUUUUCUUGCAUUUUUGUAGUUUAUCAGAUCAGGAAAGCUUCUUUGAUAAACAUUUUGAUGUCACUUGAGUGGUUUUAUUGGUACAUGCUUGAAUUUGUAUAUUCAUGUCAUAAGCAUGUUUCAUUCAUGUUACAUGCACGGAUUAGGAUCUAAAUUGUUACCAGAAUCUUAAUUAUUCGAAUUUUAUUUUUCCCGUCGAAAUAAAAAAUUCAAAAAGUAAAGUGAAUAAUGAAUUUAGUAACAUGAAUUUAUAGUAAAAAUAAAGAGUAUAAUAGGUUUAGAAUGUGCUUUCGGGUAUUUGAUAUUAUCCACAAAAGUAGAAGUAGAUGGUAAUUAUAAUAUCUGAAUUCAAAUAUUUCGUGGUUAAAAUUUAAAAUUUAAUCUUCAAGGUGUUAGAUACCUCUAAGAUGGAUAAUUUUUUAUUUAAUUUUCUUAAAAUUUUAAAUUAUUAAAUUAAUAAAGAUAAAAUUAUAUUUUAACUCUUUUAAAAAUAUGAAAACAUGAUUUAAUCUUUUAAAAAUUAUAAAUAUAUAAACAAUUAAAAUGGUAAAAUUAUAUUUUUAUUAUAAUAAAAAUUAAAAUUUAAUUUUCAUCCCCAAUUUUGCCGUUAAUUACCUCAUAUCAUUAGCAUAAGAUAAAUAUACUAAAUAAUUUUUUAAUUAAAAAUACUAACAAAAGCUUAAAAAAUUUAAUUUAAAAAGAAAAAAAAAUAAAUUUUAACUUUCAAAUAUAGGGGUAUAGAGAGACUAACAACUUUUUUACUGAAUUGGCAUUUUUACCUUGAACACAAAUUUAACACUAUAUUUUACUUUUGUAAAUAAUUAAUUUAGCAAUUUAACAGACUCAACUAUCCAAUAAUUCAAAUUAGAUUAAUUUAAUUGAGAUAAUAAAUCUACACAAAAAUGAAGCAACGAUAACCCACCCAGAAACUAUAUUUAGUUGCACUAUAACAUAAAUCACCCUGAAUUUAGCAAAUCAUGUAGUUCACGUUCAUCUCUCUCCCAUUUCUAUAGCGUAUGCUUGAAUCUCCUCCUUUUUUCACACCCACUUACAUUAUUAUGACCACAUACGGAACAAUUCCGGCCGAGUUGCCGCCAUCAUCGAACUUCAUUUCCCGAGCUAAAGAGCAGAUCCGAUCUGGCCUUGGGACUCGAAGACAAUGGAAGGAGAUGGCGAAUUUCAAAUCCAUAAACCUCCCUUCAAAUAUAAACGAAUCCAUACAAAGAAUCAGAACCAAUGCGGCGUAUUUUCGUGUGAAUUACAUGAUCAUCGUGUUGUUCGUCCUCUUCAUCACCUUGCUUUGGCACCCCGUAUCGCUCAUAGUCUUCAUCAUCAUGAUGGCUGCGUGGUUGUUCCUUUAUUUCCUACGUGACGACCCGGUAUCGAUCAAAGGGUUCGUCAUCGACGACCGGGUCGUGAUGACGGGGCUGUUGGUCGCCACCAUUGCAUUGCUUAUGUUAACCGACGUGACGGAUACUAUCAUCGUUGGCCUUUCGGUUGGAUUGGCUGUCAUUUUGGCACAUGGGAUGACAAGAAGUACUGAUGAUUUGUUCAUUCGCGAUGAAGAAGAAGUGAUACAAUCGCCCGCCCCGGUGUCGGUGUGCAUCGCCGAAGAAUCGGUGCCGUUAAAGAACACGGCGUCCUCUUCUUAUUCUUUGUCCUAACAGUCUCUCAUGAAUGCUUCCGUUGAUGUUGUUCGAUUUCGAACCAUAUAUGCAUGAAUUAGGGUUAAAGUUUGUAUAUUAUAUAUUUUGCUGCAUUAAAUUAUAAAAUUUAGUCUUCAUCAUUAAUCACUUUAUAGGGACACCAUAGCAUUUUGUCACAAUAAUGCUCAAUUAUGGGUGGAAUGGCACUGCAUAUUACAGAAAUUAAUUUGAUGCCAAUGAAGAUGCUGUUUUAUGCGAAGUCAUUUUGUUGAUGGAGAAAAUAGCAGAGGUGAAGCCAUGGACAGAAUUAAAAUGUAUAUUUUUCUAUAGUAAAAAUGUAAUUGCACUUUUAAUAGUAUAUAUCUUUAUAAUUUUUAGAGAAUUAAAUUAAAAUUUUAUCAUUUUAAAGAGGCCAAAGUGUAAUUUUACUAUUAUUAAUUUAAAAUUUUAUAAGUUAUAAGGAAAAUUUUUCUUUCUCCACCUUUAAAAAUAAUAUCGAGAGAGUUUUACUUCUGAUCUAAUUCGACUCCAAAUUUAAUUGUAAUUUCAUAUAAUUACAAGAGAGUAAGAUAUAAUAUAUAUAUAGUUGAAGAUUAUUUGUCCAUAUAUAUAUAUUAGGAUAAAGAACUUAAAUAAGCUAAGAAAGUAAAACAAAUAUUGUAGAGAAAUGACUAAAACUAAACACUAGUCAGCAAGCUUUUCUAAUACACUCUCUCUUAAAAUCCUUCCUCGCCAGUAUUAGGAUAAGCAUCAGAGAUAAGAGUGUUAUUAAACAAGAAGGAAUAAUAUCAUAAAUAUGAUAGCUUGCAUGAAAUAAGGCUGCCUGAGAUGUUCAGAAGUUGUGAUUUUAAAGCAUUGAACACUUUCAAACAGUGAUUUUCGAGGAGAAUGGUUUCCAUACCUUCAGUGUUAAGCCAUGAAAGUGUUUCUCGAAUACGGAGAGUGCCUCAGCUAGACAUACAUGGAUUAAACAAGGCAAAGUGAUUACCAUAGAAAGCUUCCAAGAAAGUGUCAUGUUCAUCACAGAGCACCGCAACACAGCUAGUAUACAGUUCGAUGACCCGCAUCGGUUGCUGCAUCCAUAUUGCACUUAAUAUAUGCAGGUGGUGGGCGACAAGCAAAGCAAUCCUUCAACCUAGAACUGUCCAUAGGUAAGUCUAUUUGGAAAGUGGAAGGGUUUGAAUAAAAAUAUAAGCUCAAAAAAUUGGUUUGGAAAAAAAAGUAAAGUCCGUUUAAAAAACAAGAUUAGCCUUAAUAAAGUUUUUGGCACAAUUAUAUGUUAUUUUGCUACUAUUUUCCCACUGUUUUGCAACUAUUUCACUAUUAUGUUGCUACUAUUUUAUUAUUAUUGUUUAGAUAUUGUAUAACUCUUACUUUAUUAUUAAUUUUGCCAAUAUUUUAGAGGCAUUUUAUUGUUAAGUUGCACCUAUCGACUUCAUUUGUUUCACUGAAUAUGUGUUUCAGAAAAUGAUUUACUUUUUCGAAAAAUCUUAAUAUUUUCUGGUGUUUGGAUGAAUAUAUGCAAAAUACUUUUUGUUGUUUAGCGAUUUGAGAUUUCUAAUAAAAAAUACAUACAUUUGAGAUUUUCUUUUUCUUUUUUCUAUUGUUUAAUUGUGUUUAUUUUAUAUUUAUAAAUUUAUAUUUUACAUUAUUCUUUGUAAAACAAAAACGACAUAAACAUCUAUGAAUAUGGUAGUGAUUUUCAAGAUUAUACAUAUAUACAUAGUGAAGUGAGGGUAGAUCAUGGAGCAGAGCAUGUCAAUUGUGAAACAAUGUCAGGAGUGAAGCCCAAAAAAAAUUAGGAGGAUAGUAGAAUUAAAUUAUAUAUUUUUACGAUAGGAAAAAUAUAAUUUCAACAUUUUAAUAGCCUAUAUCUUUAUAAUUUUUAAAGAAUUAAAUCGAACUUUUUAUAUUUUUAAAGAAUUAAAUCAAACUUUUUAUAUUUUUAAAGAAUCAAAGUGUAAUUUUACUGUUACUAAUUUAAAAUAAAAAAAUUCUAUUUUAAGAGUGCGAGCCCCUACCAGCGGCAACUGGCUUCACCACUAAACAGUGAUGGAUUAACAACAUCUUCUCCCGUUCCGUUAUAUUGCCAUUCUUACUCACAAUUUUCUCCGUUUAAGAAACGGAGCGAUGCCUUCAUGGUGAAAAUGGUUUCUAAUUGUCCGAAUUCUCCGACUGACUAUCAAAUAAAUACGAAGAAGAAAUUGUAGUCUUUUGAUCGUCAACAGUUUUAUAAUAAAACUACAGCCAUCAAUUAAAAUACAGUAUCAUUGACAUUUUAAAUUAAGUACUGUUGCUGGAAAUUGGAAAAUUGGCCAGUUUGCUUUUCAUGCAUCCAGUCCAAAACUGAGUCGAGGAAUCUCAUGUUUGCCUCUCUUUUUCUUUUAAUAAUAAUUUUAAACGUAGGGUAUGAAUAUACGUCAUAAUCAUUAAAUAAAAAUUAACUAAAAUAUUUUUAUUAAAUACAAACCCUCAACCUUCUUAGCUUAAUUAGUAUGUGUAUUGUUAUUAAUAUAGGAGGACGUGAGUUCGAAUACGUUGAAACGUAUUAUCUUCCUAUUUAUGAGUUAGAGAGGAGUUAUAUAGAUAGUUUCAAGCAUUGUGUCAAAAAAAAAUAAAUAUAAUCAAAAAAAUUUACUUUAAGUCCUAACUUCACAAAGAGAUUUUGUAAAUACUUUAAAUCUUCCUCUUUCACUAACAUUAGUUAGAUUAAAUAAUAAAUAUUUUGAUAUUUAAAGUUUUAACUAGAUUAAUAUUGAUAUUGUUAUCAGUAUAGGAGGACAUGGAUUUGAGUACGCUCAAGCGUAUUAUCCUCUUAUUUAAGGAUUGAGGAGGGGUUAUGAGUAAUUCUAAGUAUUGUAUCGAAAAGAACAAAUAUGAUAAUAACUUAUAAUAAUAUUUAUGUUCAAAAAUUUAAACUUAAAACUAAAAAAAUAAAGAAAAUCUCAAAAUAAAAAAAAAUCCUCUUUUUCACGAACAAGUUAUGUGAAUAGUUAAAAUUUGCUACAAAUUAUUAAUUAAAAUUAAUUUAUUUACUAGCUCAUAUAUUAAAGCAGGGUGAAUAAAAAAAUACUACUACUAGACGUAGCAUGAAUAAUUAACUAAAGUCGAACUAAACAACCAGAAUAAAUCUUGAAAAAAACUCACAUAUUUACAGAAAAACUUUAAUCUUGAGAUUUUGAAGUUUCCUAGAAUCUCCAACUUUUCCAUUAAACCAAUACCUCGUGUAUAUAGAAUUCAAGUUUUAUAAAGAGACAAAAGAAAUAUAAUAAUAGAACAUUGUUUUCUUUUACAGAUUCAAUUUAAUUUGAUUUUGAACUUAAUCUAACUGAAAUUAACAUUUUAAAAAAAACAUUAGAUAGGAAAAAUAUAAAAGCUAGAAAUUAGUUCUUUUAAAUGAAAAUGUAAAAGCUGAUUGAGUUUUAGUUCGAUUAGUAUGAACAUUUCUGUCAUCAAUCCUCUUUGCUGAAAUAUAUUUAUCCUCCUAUUUAUAGAUUGAUGAAGAAUUAUAAGUAAUUCUAAACGUUGUCUUGAUAUGAUCAAAUUAUUAGAUAUACAUUAGUUAGAAAGCAUAAAAAAGAUUCAUAUUAUUCCCAUUAGCUUGAUGAUUUACAAAUUCUGGUUUCUUAAACCACCCAGAUUCUUGUUCAUGUUUUUUCAUUAGUUGAUUCAUAAAUUCUCUUCUUCCUUUUUCUGCCAUUUUUAAACAUUACAAUAUAUAAAAUUAUACUUGAUACUCGCAUUUUAACAUGUUUUUGUUACAAUGAAACACCUUAAACUCACACUUAGGCGAAAUACACUUUAAAAGCAGCUUCGCUGUAUGUUCUUGUUUGAUAACAGCAUCAGCUUUCUCCACCAGAACAGCCGUAACGAUCCUCUCAUACCCUCCGCCGCCACCGCUAGCGACGUAUGCCACGAGCGCCGCCUGAACCGGAGGUAAACUGGGGUUAUAAGCCGCCGAUUCCAUGUAAGACCCUUUGUAUAUCUUCCCUUCCACGUCCACUAACGCCACCCCUGAUGGACACCCGCUGUACGGCGCGUGGGAUGCAUUCGCCGCUUCCAGAGCCGCGUACUUUGAAUUGUCACCGUCGCCGUUGAUUUCGCCGUUGCGGGUAUCGGAGCAAAACGACAAUCCGUUUCGGUGAGGCUCGAGGAGAAGAGGGACGUCUUUUUCCAGCAAAUCAUCGGGGCCGAACCUGUGAGGUAAAAAAUGAGAUAAAGGAGCAAAUUGCAUGUCUUUAUCGUUACGAUUGUUGAUCGUUUUGUUUUCGUUUUCCUUCUCGGUGGCGGUUAUGAGGAUGUUGACAUCGGCGGCGGCGCGUAGCUCUUGGAGGAACUGGCGACAAUGACCGCAAGGGGCGGCGGAGACGGCGAGGAACUUGAGACAUGGUUCCGCAUUGAGGGAAAGGUUGGUGAUUAAGAAUUGCUCGGCGUGGACGGAAUGGUUGAGAGGGAGACCCGGGAAUUCCAGAUUAACUCCGAAAAAGAUCCGACCCGAUGAGCCGACCCCGACGGCUCCUACGUGGUAGUUCGAGAUUGGCGGACGUGCUAAGGCCUGGGCGGAUUUGACCAACGACGGCAGGAGAUGGAGCACCGUUUGCCGUGAUUGUUUGGCCAUUUGUUCUACUUCGGCAGAAUCGAUUACGAAUCUGGGUCGGUCCAUGUCGGUAGAUGGGUUAAUGGGUUGACCCGGUCGGAGACUGUGGGACGAGAGUUCCUUAAAAUGGGGACGAAGGUACAAGAGGAAGAGGAAGGCAGUGAGGGAGGCUCAUUUAUAAUGGGGAAUCGGUCACAGUAACUUUUUUUUUACUUACUAACUUUUACUGCUAUUACAGACAGUUCUUUUUACUGUAUGGGUAGUAAAUUUUGAUAGGUCCAUAUUAUUUAGAUAGAUCCAUCAAAUCAUGGAGACAUAACGAUAUCCUAUGCGAAGGAAAAAAUAAAAAACAAUAUGAUAAAAAACAUAAAAUACAAAAUGUGAUUAUUAUAUUAUUUUUUCAAUUAAAAUUUUCGAUAAAAAUAUCAUAAUAGAUUUCAUUUCGUUCCAUUAAUAAAAAAAAUAGACAAAUCAAUCUUUGUACGUUAUAUCAAAAAAAAUUGGCCCAUGUUAAAAUUGAUCUCUAUACAUCAUCAUAAGGUAAACUGACACAUCACAUGCCACUAUUUUGGUCCAUGUUAAUACCAAUUUACUCUUUAAUCUGACAUAGAAAAAGUAUUUUGUCUAUAUUUCAGUAGAUGGAACAAAAAACAAUUUAACUUUUAAUACAAGAGUCUCGAUUAUAUCUGCUCAUUUUGACACGAUGCCUAGAACUACUUGUAACUCCUCCUCAACCCUUAAAUAGGAAGAUAAUGCGCUUUAGGGCACUCGAACCAACGUCCUCCUACAUUAGCUACAAUGUCUAUGCCGUUCGAACUAAGAAUCAAUCAGCAUCAAAUUAAUCUUAUUUAAUAAAAUAAAAACAAAAUAUUAUAAUAAUGUAAAUUAUAAAAUUGAAAUUGAAAAUAAAAUGAUUAUUACUAUCACGUCUCAUAAUUCAUAUUUACCAUAUAUAUACAUAUUCAUAUUUAAUUUAAUCAUUCAUUUGAAAGAGACAGGGAUUUUAUUGAGUGAAAGCAAGAAACUGAGUGUGAAUGAACAUGGAUUCUAUUCAAUGGGGGCUAUUAUUGAUUGAAAAUAAUCACACAUUCAAGUAACCCACAAAUAGAAAUAAAUAAAAAUAAAUUUAAAACAUUAAAAAAAUCCACUGCUCUUUGUUUUGUUUUUAUUUUCUUUUUCUUUUUAAUCUAAUUUAUUAAUAAAAUUUACCGAUUGAGUUUUAAAUCAAUUAGCAUAGAUAUUAUUGUCAAUAAAAAAAACGUAAAUUUAAGUACGUUAAAACAUAAAUAAUUUUAAACAUUAUUUUAAAAAAACAAAUAUAAUCAGAAUAUAUAUCAAUAGCAUCCAACAGUCAACUUCAAAUCCUAUAUAAAUGCAACAACAACAACAACAAAAAAACCAUAAUAAUUUAUCUUAAUCUGUCAUCAAAUUCUGGCAUUUUGCAAACUUUAAUAUUCAUAAGAUAAAGCCAAGAUUUGUACAAUUUUCCCUCUUCAGGAGGGCAGCUGUACAGCUAUGAAUAUUAUAUAUAUAUAUAAUAUAUAUAUAUAGUAUAAUCUCCAUCUAUAACCAUUUUAUUAAUUUUUGUUAUUUAUUUUUUACUUAUUGAUUACAAAAUAUAAUUAUUCUAAUAUUUAUUAUUUGAAUUAUAAUUGCAACCAUGUUUGUAUUUCUUUUCAAAAAAAUAUUUUAUUUUAAUUUUCACGUAUCACUUAUAUUUUCAUUGGCAUGAUUUUAUUCUACAUUUAUUUAUUAUAUCAACAAAUAAUUAUAUUCAAUGAAUAUGAAAAUAGUUUUUAAAAAAUAAUAAGUAAAUAAUUAAAUUAUUAUUUAUACUCCACAAACAAAUUAAGGGAUUAACAAAUAUAAAUUAAUUAUAUAUAUAAAUAUGAUACUUACUAUACUCUCUAUUAACUUUCCGAUUUUAAAAAGCAAUCCCAAGAGACAAAAUCCACUGGCUAUAAAAUUCCGAUUGGAUGAAAUUGAAAUAAAAACUUAUGAAUGCACACAUUAUUUAUAAUAAUAAUAAUAAUAAUUAAUCAUUCAGAAAUCUGUCUCGUCGGUGUUGGAAGAUAAUUAGGUCUAUAUACAUACACAUUCAUACAUGUCUUUUCCAAAGGAGCUAGUGGGUCAUUGUUGAAGGGCAUGUUGGCCACUCGAAAGUUGCAUGAUUUCGUGAUGGAGAUGAAACCUUCCACCACAUGCAAAAAAAUAUAUAUAUAUAUAUUAACUCGAUUGAUACAAAUAUUAUUGUUAAUACAAGCGGAUGUAAGUUCGAAUGCAUUAAAGCGCAUUAUCUUCCUAUUUAUGAGUUGUGGAAUGAUUAUAAAUAAUUUUAGAUAUUAUGUCAGAAAAAACCGAUAUAAUCAAAACCUAUAAUAAAAUUAUUCAAAUAUUCAUAUGUCUAUGUUUAUAUUUAAAUUAUUUUAUAGUUAAUAAUUUAUAUUAUAUUAUAUUUUAUCAUACUCAUGAUAUGUUUAAAAAUGUAUGUAUAUAAUAAAAUUUAAAAACAUGAUAUAAUAACAAAAAAGGUAAAGCUAAGAGGCUUAAUAUUGUAAUGUUUUGGAUUUAAACUCUUUCAUGUAUUAAAUUUUAUAUAAAAAGAUAAAAUUAUCCUCAAAAUAAUAUUUAUUACUUAUUAAAAAUAAUUGAUUUAUGGUAAAUUUUUUACUGAACUGGUGAUUCGAUUGAAAAUGAAACAGACUCAGUAAAACAGUUAAAUAUAAUUUAUUAUUGAGUUUAAGACCUACAAAUAAGGGAUUUAUGAUAAAUUCAUUACGCAGUUAAUGACUCGGUUAAAAGUACUACUAACUCAAUAAAAUAAUAAAUAAAUAAUAGAUAAAUAUUUCUAUCAUAAUUUAAUUUGUUUUCUGAUAUUUUAUUCGUAUUCUCGUUUUUGUUUUAAAACCCAUAUGCUUAUUAUUUGUCCAAGUGAUGCUGACAUUGGGUGAAUUCUUUGUUUAUCUUAGUUGCUGCAAGCUUGCAAGCAUUUGUUUUUAUUCUAUACUGAAAAAAGCCUAUUUCGAUUAAAGAUAUAUUAGCCUUUUUUUUCCUUCUGACACUAAAAUUGUACCCUUCCAUGGUGGCCUCUUGAUCAUCGCCUAUGAGUUCAAAGAUGAUGACCUUUACAUUUGUUGGUGUUAAUUGAAAAUGAGUCUUAUACGGUAUGGGUUGGAUGUUAAUAUGAGAUGAUAUUCACUUUGUUCAUAGGAGAAAGGAUUAUAUGAAAUUGUGAUUUCAUAUUAUCUUUAUCAUUUUUUUAAUAAAAGAAUGACAAAUCAGAUUUUUUUCCUCCUAACUUUUAGUAUUUUUAGUUGAAUUUGAAUUUUUUUUUCUCCUGUUCAUAGUUGUUUUUGAGGGAAAAAAUUUCAAUAAGAAAUAAUUAAGUGAAAGUGUUGUGGAAGUUCUUAUAUUAAUAGUCAGAUUAUAUUUUAUCACUUUUAUUUAAAAAAUAAAUAAAUUAAUCAUUGUACUUUAAAUUAAAUAGUAAACUAGUCAUUUUUUGUUAAAAAGUUCAUUCACUUCUACUGUUAAAAAUUGGUGACUAGCGAAAUAACUAGAUAAUUACAAAUGACAUGUCAUGUACACCUCAUGUUGAUGCAUAAUGACUAGUUUUUAACAUUAAAAUUGAUAAAAUUUUUGACAAAAUAACUUAUUGCUUUUUAAUUUAACGUAUAAUAAUCAAUUUGUCUAUCUUUAAAAUAAAUAAUAGAGAAUAUAAUUAAAUUCUUAAUAUAAAGAACUCUACAAUAUAUUUAUCCAAAUAAGCAUAUAAUCAUUUAUCAAAUCUAAAAUAUCUGCCCUCAGUUCUAUUAUGGUGGUGUUGGUGCCUUAAAGUGUUACAAUCCUAAUCAUGUCAAAAAUUAUAGGCCAAUCUCCUGUUGUAUAGUUAAUAAGUGCCUAGCCGUGAUAUUGGUAAAGAAGAUCACCACAUAGGUUCCUACAAUGAUGUCUCUUUAUACAAGACAAAAGCAUCAUGGCUAAGAACACAUUAAUGGGAAAUUAGCUUGGUAGGGGUUAUGGUAGAAGCAAAUUAUGUUCACUUAAAUCAAACAUUGAAAAGUCGAUUGAGUUUUAAUUCGAUUAGUAUUGAUAUUGUUAUCAGUUUAAAAAGACGUGGGAUUGAGUGUGCUAAAACACAUUAUUCUCCUAUUUAAGGGUUGAAGUGAAAUUAUGAGUAAUUCUAAAUAUUGUAUCAAAAAGAACAUAUAUAGUACGAGGAGUUUAAUGUUGAAAAAAUAUAUUGAAAAGCUUGUAUUGCAACAUCUAAAUUUUCUAUGUCUCUCUAUGAUAGUGGAAUGAAUUUUCUUAAUGAUUAUAAAGGAGAGAAAUUUAUUAUCUCCUUACCAUUUUGUGAUCCUUAUGAAUAUGUUAUCCAAGCUUUUGGAUAUUGCCAUUGAAAAUGGCAUAUUUUUCUCCAUCCAAAAUGUCAUAGAAUAAGAAAAGAAUAAUGGUAAAAAAAAAACCUUCUUUAGUCCCUUUUAAAUUUAAAAUUUAGUGAAAUGAUCCCUCUUAAAAAAAUUAGAACAAUUUAAUCAUUGUCAAUUUUCAAAACUGAGCAAUUAAGAAAAAUUGAUUACGACGUUAAUGUUUUUCAUAAAUUGUCCUCAAAUUUUACACAUUCUGUCAGUUUAGUCCUAAUUUAACAAAUUUAUCCGGCAAUAUUUGUGUGAAUGUUGAGGCUGAAUUUGUUGAUUUUUUAGAAUUAAGGUCAAAACGGCAAAAUAUAUAAUACAUUGAAGGCUAAAAUUGUUAUUAUAUCAAUCAAAAUUAUGUACUAUUGAUGGAGGACAUUAACGCUGUGAUUAAUUGUCCUUAGUUGCUCACUUUCGAAAUUUACAAGGACUAGAUUGCUUCAAAUUUAUUGAGAGGGGCUAAUAAGUGUGUUAAUCGUAUUUUAUCAAAGACUUGCAUAAUCUAAAGCAAAAAUUUUCAAAUUAUACUAUUGUGAAUAGUUUUUUUUAAAGGGUAAAUUAUAUUAGUAGUAACACAAUUAUAAGUGUUUUUUUGUCAUUCAAUUAUGAAAAGCUACAAAAUUGUUACCCAACUAUUAGUAAUUUUCUUUUUUGGUCACCUAAUUAUUUCAGAUUUUUGAGUUUUUCUAUUUUUACAUUAACUAAUUGGUGAUAAGAAAAAGACAAAAUUAAAUAAUUAGAUGAUCAAAAAAGAAAUUUACUAAUAGUUGAGUGACUAUUUUAUAACUUUUUAUAGUCGAAUGACAAAAAAAAAACCAUAAUUCAGUGACUUCUACCGUAAUUUACUCUUUUUUAAGAGUAAAGAGUAAUGUAAUUCUAGUUUGAAAAAUAAAAAUGGUGACCCUUAUUAAAAUUUGAAAUGGAUCCUAAACUAAUGGAAUACGUUGGUUCAAUUGAUAAGUUGGUUUAGUUCAAAGCACAAAUUUUGAGUUUAUUUCUUAUUUUGUUCACGUUAAUUUAGGUAAAUUAGUUAAAUAGUCACUUCAAGAUUAUCUCUUUCUUAUUUUGGUCAUUUUAUUUUAUUUCAUUUUUUGAAUUUAAGAACCGCUGUUAAUAUUUUUUUUUUUAGAAUUUUAAUUAUUUUGAUUACUCUUUCGUAAAACACCAAAUGGAAUGCUGAGUAGGCUGCCACAUGUGUAUUUAUUUUUACAUGUAAUUAAAAUAAUUUCUCAAAAAAUUUAAAUUAUUUUGCACAAAACGACAUUGUUUCAACCAUGAAAAAAAAUAAACCUGAAAAAUUCAACAAAAGCCCGCUUAAGUUAUUCUUCGACCUUUCUUAGAUCAGUAUGGUUUGUAACCUUGAGGACACCUUUAAUGGUGGAACAAGGAGUCUCGAGGGUAUUGUUCAUUUUCACCCGGUCAAGUAUUUCAAGUGGGCGGGUACAAUGACCUUGGGUUUGGGUUUCGAUGGUUUGGCUUCUACAGUCGGAGUGUUUCUCUCUUUCUCAUCGCCUGAUCGCCAUUAUCAUCAUCUUCAGUUUGGCCGUGGGUGCUUUCUUCAAUAGCCUCCAGGUGAGCAGUCUUUUCUGAAUGUCAAAGUUCAAACAAGAAGGUAAUGUAAGGUAAGCAAGUGAGUGAAAAAGCCACAGUGAUAAAAGGUUUUGAGAGCAGGGAAAGUUACUGCUUGCUGAUUUAGCCCCAGAUGGAGUGGAAGCAGCAAGACAAGUCAUCUCCAGAGACCUGUCGAAAUGAAUCCCUGGAGGGUUCUCACUUCUCAACUUUAAUACUAAAAGCAAUCAAGGCGCCCAUUUGCUUGUUCAACACAUCAGCUUCUUAAAUUACCGCUUGCGCUUUUGCCCUAUAAAACUUGUCCACUUUGUUGAACUCAUCAUCAAGCCUUCUAAAGUAAACCAGCUGAUACUUUCCGUUAACCUCGUCGCCAUUAAUCUCGGGUUCAACAAGAUCGAAGGAAACCUCCCGGUGAACGUCGCCGAUUAUCCAACGUUGUCUUCCCUGUCAUUGUGUUACAAUCGCUUACGUGGCGCGAUCCCUUUGGGUUACGCCAUAAGCUCGAUUGCAAAUUGCGUACUCUUUUUGCCGUGGCAAGCACAGCUGAGAAUAUGCCGACCUCGUAGACAACUAUUCCCAAUUUCCGGUAACCUUCGUAUCGCCGGCAAAAAUUUCCGCCGGAGGUUUUCCAAUCAAUAAUGGUUUAAACCAUUAAGAAUUUAAGCAUAAGAUUGUGUUCUUUUCUGGGUCGAAACACGGUCGUUGGGUGCAAAAUAAUUUAAAUUUUUUGAGAAAUUAAUUUAUUUACGUGUAAAAAUAAAUACACAUUUGACGGUCCAAUCAACAUUCAGUUUAACGGGAAAAAAGUUAAAGUUUAAAAAAUAAUUUGGUAUUUAAAUUUUUUUUCUCAAUUAGGUACCUAAAAUUGGUAUUUUUUUAAUUUAAUAUCUAAGCUUUUUUUUAGGUUCAAUUUGGUAUAUAAAUUUAUUUUAUUAUAUACAAAUUAUGCAAAACACUAACGGUGUUAACUUUUUUUUUGUUAUGCUACAAACAUAUUGUCAGUAUUAGAGAAAAUUCAUAUUAAAAAAUAGGUAUUGAACUAUACUUAACCAAUUAAUAUUAAAUAAUAUUUUUUAAACCCCAAAUUAAAAAAUUAUUAUUUUUUAUUAAUAAAAUUAAAAAGUAGUUGAACAUAUAAAAUAAUAAAAAUAUUAUAUCAUAUGUCAUAUGUCGGUCAUACAUUAAUUAUUUUUGCUACUUUAUAAAAAAAUAACAUUAUCUAGAGUAAUUUAUAAAGCAUUUGACAAGUACCAAAUUAGGAAGAAAAAAAAAGAGACAAAUUCAAGUAUCAAAUUGGAUCCACUAAAAGUUUAAGUACUAAUUUAAAAAAAAAAUAUCAAGUUUAGAUACUAAAUUUUAAAAAAUAUAUAUUAAAAUUUAGAUACCAAAUAUUAUAUAAAAUCAAUUUUAAAUAAUAAAAUAAAAUAACCUCCAACGUCAUAACAAUCAUUUAUUAUGUCGUAAUUCUUUUCCAGUCACUGCGUUGUCUAGGACAUGUUUGUGUCAGAUUAGGCUAAUGUUUUAGUUUGCUUAAAUAAUUUUAUCAUGAAUUUGUCGAUCCAGGGGAUCAAGGGGUGAAGCAUGGUGCAAACACCAUGAUUUUAAAUGAUCUACGGCUGAUUUUAAAAUUAUAAUAAUCAUGCAUUAUCUAUCUAUAAUAUAUCUAUAUUCAUAUUUAUAGAUGUAUAAAUUUUUGAAUUAGUGUAAUAAAUUAAUUUAAUAUCAUUUUAAUUAAAAUUUACAAUUUAAAUUUUAAAUUAAAAAAUUAUUAUGAUAAUAUCUUUCAAUAUUUUACAUAACAUAACCACCUAAAAACAUAUUUAAUUUUAAUUUACAUUGUUAUGAUUUUAUCCAUAAUUUCAUGAUUUUAUAUUUUUUCAUAUUUUUCAUUAUUUUUGUUUUGUCUAAUAUAUUUUCUUUGAAAACAUAUGUGGUUUUAUUUUUAGUUUCUAGACAUAUUUUUGGCGUAAAUAUGAGAUUUAUCAAUGCAACGGUGUCACCAUAAAGAUUAGGAACCAUUCUCAAAUGGUCUUACUACAAUAGAUCAUAGUAAUUGUCAUAUAUCCAAUAUGAUGACGAGGAUGAUACAUCAUUCGAGAAUUGACCUUUUGUGUAUCAUUGAUACGGUGGGUUUCUUGGGGCUUUUGGCAGUUGCCUCUUGAUUGAUCGAUAUGAGUUGUUAAGUUGAUUUGAUGAUGACGGUUUAAGAUGCAAAUUUCAGUGAUUUUGUAACAUCCCGAAAUAGGGCCUAAACGGAAUAGUGGUUGCGAAACCACAAAUCCGAGGUAGAAAAAUUUAUUUUAUUAUUAUUUUGAGGUUCAUGGUAUGAUUGCAUGAUUGUGUGAAAAUUUCGUGAUGAAAUUCUAUGCAUAAAGUGCUUAAGUUGAGGUUAGAGACUAAAUCGAAUAAUUUGCAAAACUUGCAUUCUAGAAGUUUUUAGUAUGAAAUUACUUUGGAAUAUUAAUUAGGAGGGUUUAAAUAACAAUUUGACCAAUUUUAAGUUCAUGGACAAAAAUUAGGACAUGGAAGGAAUUUUUGAAAGUUUAGUAAGGAGGGGUAAUUUGGUCAUUUGGAUAUUAAUUGAAUUAAAAAUGAAAAAAUAACACAAAAAUGGUCAGCUUCUCAAUUAGUUUCUGCCGAUUUUUGCUCUCCUCCAUAGCUGGGGUUUCUUCAACUUUCAAGCUUCAUAGUAAGUGAUUCCAAGCCCCGUUUUUAAUGAUCUUUACGUUUUUGGAGUCCCGGUAACUUGAUUAAGCUUAUUUUAGCAAUAAUUCAACCUAGGGUUCAUAUUUGGAAAAAUACCCAUGGCUGAAAUUUGUGUAUUUUGGUGUUUUAUGAUAGAAUAUGAGGUUUUAAAUUAUGUUAAACAACUUAUGCUACUCGGUUUUAAGUGAAAACGAGUAAAAUGGCUUAAAUUGGAAAAAAACACCAAUAGUCAUAAGUAUAUGUUAGAGUGUGAUUUUGAUAUUGCCAUAGAAUGGAAAAAUGAUCAGCAUGUCAUAAAACAUAAGAAAAUAGGAUGAAGUUUAAUUUACGAGCCUUGGGGCAAAAGUGCAAAUAUGUGAAAGUUUAAGAGUAAAAAUAUAAUUUUGCAAAAAUUGGGUCAAGGACUGUUUUAAUAAAUGUGAAUAUUAAAUAAGUUAAAUUUGCUAUUAUAGAUCAAGAAGAACAAAAUUCGGGAGUAGAUCGGGGAAAAGAAAAAGUAAAUGACUAAAUUGUAAAGUUUAGUCACAUUUUGUAUCAAAGUAAGUUACAGUAAAUAAAUGCAAUAUUCUUUUAUUUUACAUUAUUAUUGUCAAUUUCCAGCAUUUAUAUAUUAUGUUAUGAAAAUAUUUAAAGUCGAAUUUAAGGUGAAGUGACAGAGGAAAAGUGUUAGAAAGCCCCGGUUGAACCCUAGGAAUGUUAGGAUAUUAGGGUUGACAGGACAGAACAGAAAUGAGCCAUGUAAGUCCAUAUUAUAUAUGGCAUUGGAGACAGGAAUAAUUCAUGUAAGUCCAUGUCAAAGAUAUGACAUUGGCAGGAUAUUGAUAGACAGGAACGACCCUAGUAUCCUUAGUAUUCCGAGUGGUUCAACGGGUCAGGAUACGAGUUAAAUUACAGUGAAUUAACAGCAAAGGAAAAGUAGAUUGUACUUAUGAAAAAGGAAAGGUCAGGUAAGAAAGAAGGUAAGGGAAUAAAGAAGAAGAUAGAAAUUGAGAAGUAAAGAAAUUUAUGAUGUUAGAUGAUAUUAUGCAUAAUUAUCCAUUAUGUUGAAUGUUGUGAUUUAUUUGCUUGUAAGCUUACUAAGCCUAGCGCUUAAUAUCUUUAUUUUCUUCUUCUUAUAGUACUUAUCUAGUCACUCGGGGAUCGAAGGAAACGUCGGAGGCCGAUCACACUAUCAAAGAAAUAACUCGGUAUAACUAGACGUUUUGUUUUGAGUAUGGCAUGUAUAGAAACUUAGCUACUUUUGGUAUAAUAUGAACAAUGAAUGAUGUGUAAAUACUUGCUAGUGAUUAGCUAAUAAAAUAACCGAUGAUAUACAUGUUUAUUAAUAUGUAUGAUUGAAUGAUGAUUAUCACAUGAAAAUUAUGAAAAAUGUGAAAGUAACCUAAAAACAG